GUCGACAAGAUUUGGCACUACAAUCAAAUUCCGGCGGCCGUGUUUCCUCACUUUCAAAGUUUAACAAGAUUGAUUGUGUGGCGUUGUCACAAAUUAAAAUACAUAUUUUCAGCGUCUAUGAUCGGAAGCCUCAAGCAGCUCCAACACCUAGAUAUACGAGACUGUAAGGAUUUACAGGAGAUCAUUUCUGAAAACAGAGCAGAUCAAGUGAUCCCUUAUUUUGUCUUUCCACAGCUCACCACUCUGAGACUCCAAGAUCUACCAAAACUUAGAUGUUUGUACCCUGGAAUGCAUACUCCGGAAUGGCUUGCGCUUGAAAUGCUUUUUGUGUAUCGCUGUGACAAAUUAAAGAUAUUCGCUGCAGAUUUAUUGCAGAAAAAUGAGAAUGAUCAACUUGGUAUUCCUGUACAACAGCCCCCAUUGCCGUUGGAAAAGGUAUGAAGCCAUUUUCUAGAUUUUUUUUAUCAAUAACUUAUUUUUAACUUUGAAAAAUAUGACAAAGCAAUGAUAAAUUAAUACUCAAUAAAUUGAAAACUUUUAUUAUACAAUAAUCUUUGCUAGUCUAGACUAAGGGAUCAAUGUGGUAGAUUAAUAAUUAUAUGAACUUUUUUAGGUAUAGCAUUUAUAAAAGAAUCCUUAGUCUUUCCUAUAGAAGAACUUACAAAAUAAAUUAGUAAUUUAUUAUCGUGCAAUAAAAUAAUUUCUUUUUUUUCCCUAAUUUCUUUUUUACCUCUAAAAUUAAUAUAUAAAAAAUCAUUUAAUAAAAUUUAUCAAUAAUUCAAUUUGUUUUUGUAAAAUAUAAUAUAAAACAAAUAAUAUAAAGUCACUGCAUGUGAUUGGAUUACUCAAAAUCAUUUGAGAGAACACCAAUUGACCUUGUCAGUUAUUAUGAUUGAUGAUGAUCAGAUCUUACCCAACUUGACGGAACUAUCACUAAGCGGAAAAGACGCGAAGAUGAUUUUGCAGGCCGAUUUCCCACAACACCUUUUUGGCAGUCUUAAACGACUAGUGAUUGCUGAAGAUGACUCAGCUGGUUUUCCAAUCUGGAACGUACUUGAGAGAUUUCACAAUCUCGAAAUACUCACACUGUUUAAUUUUUCAUUCCACGAAGAGGUAUUUUCGAUGGAAGGAUGCUUAGAGAAACAUGUGGGGAAGUUGGCAACGAUAAAAGAAUUAGAGCUGUACCGGCACUAUCAUCUGAAGCAGCUGUGCAAACAAGACUCCAAACUUGGCCCCAUUUUUCAGUAUCUUGAAAUUCUAAAAGUAUAUCAUUGUCAAAGUCUGUUAAUUCUACUGCCAUCAUCAUCGGUAUCUUUUGGGAACCUAACAAAACUUGUAGCUAGCGGUUGCAAGGAAUUGAUGCACUUGGUAACAUCCUCCACAGCAAAAACUCUAGUGCGACUCGUAUCACUUGGUGUAUACGGAUGCAGAGCAAUGACAGAGGUGGUAAUAAAUGACAAAGACGGGGUUGAAAAAGAAGAGAUUGUUUUCCGCAAAUUGAAGACGUUGGAACUGUGUGAUUUAGACAGCCUCACAAGUUUCUGCUCUGCCAAUUACACCUUUGAAUUCCCAUCUUUGCAAGAGUUGGGGGUGAUUUGUUGUCCCAAGAUGAAGAUUUUCACUACAGGAGAAUCAAUCACGCCUCCGGGAGUAUACGUCUGGUAUGGAGAGACAGCGGAUCAACGGUGCUGGGCUAAUAAUGAUCUAAACGCAACCAUACAACAAUUACAUGCUGAGAAGGUACGGAUAUACAUAUUACUCUCUAUCUCCCAUGAUAAAUUUUUAUAAAAUUUGCUUUUUAAAAUACAAUAUAGAUAAGAUAUUUGUUUAAAGUAAAAGUUUAAAUUGAUGAAUAAGAAUUUUAUUUUCAGCUGUUGGCGGUGCCGUCGUCGUUCUCCACCCGGUACUAAUUUCAUAGGCUUCUUAUGACUUGGGAGUUGUGAAUUUUUAGAAGAAAGUCUCAACUGGUAAUUAAUUUUUAUUUCAUUUAUUUGAUCUCAUGGCUUCUUUCGCAAUUUCAUCUGAAUUAUUUAGAAUGGGUCACUCGAUUUACUGUUAAAUUUGGAAUGCCAUUUUAAUGAUUCGUUCAGACUUUUAUGGACAGAUUUUGCAUCAUUGAAUGUCUUUCAGUCUAGUUUAAUUUAAUUUUUUUUUUGGAGAGUUUCCCUUGUUUUCUAAAAUUGUAUAAUUCCUUGCAUACUUUUUAUGAUAAAAUUUCAUUAAAAACCUUCAUAUUUUAUAAUUCCAUGAAAUCGUGCGUACUUUUUUCCUAUCUUUCUUCGCCAAUUAUUUGUUUUCAUCAUUGCUGUUCUGUUAUUUUAGCUUGUGCUCUGUUUGUUCAUUUGGUUUGGUUUGCUUCACACCUAUCUUUCUUUGGAAACUUAGAAGGCAAAGGAAGUACUUAGAAAAUGCUCUUCCCUAUGAACACAUAAUUAAGAACAGCUGAAAAUCAUUCAUCGGAUAAAAAAAUUAAAAAUAAUUAAAAAUAAACAAAAUCUAAUCAGAGCAUUAUGCCUGGAACAAAUCCUUAAGCCAUCAAAGCAAAACUCUUCGCUAUGAAAAACUAUAUUGUGGAAAUAUUGUUUGAAAACGUUGGAUACCAAGAAAGGGACUAAUCUGGUCUAGUUUUAUGAGAAGUGCAGAAGAACAGUAUUUUCUCUGUUGUUCCUAUUAAAAUUCUUUACUCUGUUAUUGUAGAAUGUCUGGAUACUCAUGAAGAUUCAGGUAACUCUUCUUCUGUGCAUCAUUUGAAAUAAGGUCUUUUUUUUUUUUUUUUUUUUUUUUUUUUUUGGGAAUAUCUCCUACUGGGUUUAUAGCUCAUACAAAGAGAUAUUCUCAAAUGAAGCCGGAUACUGGUAGAAACAAGGGAGGAAGUUGGCGCUGAUAAAAUGGUUAAUCCUGUCCAGACUUAAUCAUCUGAAGCAACUCCAAACUGGACUCCAUUUUCAAUAUCUUGAAAUUCUAAGGCUAUAUUAAUGCUUGUAAAAAUCUUUUAAGUCUAUUCCCAUGAUCAUCUGUAACUUUUGGGAAUCUAACAGAACUGGUGGUUUUCCAUUGCAAAGAAUUGUAACAUCCAUCCACUACAGCAGAAAGUCGAGUGCGGCUCGUAUCAAUGAAGGUAACUGGAUGCAGGCCAAUGACAGAGGUGUUUGACAGAGGUGUUAAUAGGUGACGGAGAAGAAGAUGGAGCACCAAAUUUAAUUUCAAAACAAGAGAUUGUUUUCAGCAAAUUGAAGACGUCGAGUCUGUGUGAUUUAGAUAGUCUCACAAGUUUCUGCUUUGCAAAUUACGCUUUCAGAUAAAGAUUCUUGAAACUGUCCUAUUUAGAGCUGACAUUUCCACUAGAUUUAAGAGAAUAUAAAAAAUUCAUUAAUCGUUAGUUUUUAAUUUCAUUAUUCAAUGAAAGUCCUGUCAAAUUAAAUUGCCGCUAUUGAAUCUCUCGCUCCCCUUGCAAAUCUCUAUGUGCAAGUACCUAAAUUUACAAAUUUUACUUCAAAUUAAUGAAUGACAUAAUUUAUUUUCAGCAGUACGAUAUGUUCUGAUCCCAUAGGCUUUUUAAUUUAUUACAUGGUGUUGUCAAAUUUGAAGAACAAGGUCCGAGGUAACAAUCGUUUUCAUUUCAUUUUGUUUGAUCUCUAAGUUUAUUUCAUCGUUUCAUCUAAAUUAUUUGCAAUGCGUCGGUUGGUUUCUUGUUAAUUUUGGAACAAAGUUGAUGCAACCAAUGGUUGCAUAUGAUGAGUAGGAUAUCGCUCUGAGAUCAUAACUUGAGUUAUAGAUAUCUAUCUAGGGCGUAUAAUAUAUCAUUAAUCUAUUACUAUAACAUUGUAUUGGUCUCGUGGUCCAGCUAGAAAUUCUAUUUGUUUCAUAGUUAUUUUACAAGUUUAAGAUAUUUUCUUAUUUUUCUUAUUAUUUUCAAGAUUUUUAUUUUUUUUCUACAAAUAUAAGAUUUAAGUACGAUUUAUUUUAUUUUUAUUAGAAGAAUGUUAUUAUAUAAUAAUAUUUUAGGUUUGCUUAUUUUGGUAAAUUCGUAAUAUUUAGAAUUAGUAUAAAGAGGGUCCAAAAUCCAAAUUUUGUUAUUCAGACCUAUCUAUUAAUAAAAUUUCAGACUUUUCAAAAACUUGUGUUUCUCUAUAUUUUCAAUCUCAACGUCCAAUUUUCCGUCAUCAUAAAUUCUAAUGCCUGGUUCCAUCAGGUCUCUCUUCUGUGAAGCCCCUGGAGUAAAAGCUCCGAAUGUGUUACCAUUGAAAUCAUGGCAGAAAACUUUAGUACUUAAUUAAGGCUCUUGAAUAAGACUCUUUAUGGCUUCAAUAUUUUACUUGAUAUGAAAAUUUCUUUCUAGAUAGAAUCAUUGUGAAGAUAAAUUGUGGUAUUACUGACAAUGAAUAAGUUGAAACAUCAACAGAGAUAAAUAUUGAGCAAUUAAUGUUACCAGCAAUCAAUUUGUGAGCACCAACAACCAUUUUCAUAUUUAAGCCGUUAGAACAGUAACACAAAAUAUGGCGAGUGGCAACCACACAAAUAAUCAAAUUCCUGAUAGAUUUUGAAAACUUUAAUUUGCUAGAUAUGUAUUUUAAUAUUUCAACAGGUGCAUCUUUUCUCUACUCAUGUGGCACGUUGAAUCAGAAACGGUUUGAAUGUCAAUAUUACUCCAAGUGCCUCAACCAAAUUCAGAAUGAAGAAAAUCAUCUGGUUACCUGCACUUUAGUUUAAGCAGCUGAUUAAGUUAAUUAGCACCAAGUAAUUCACAUACUAGUGAGAAAUUUCAUUAGUAAAUUCAUACCUGGGAGGAAACCAGCAUCUUGACGCUUUUGUGACCAAGAAAAUCUGCCAGAACCCCAAUUAAUGAAAAAAAAUUAUAACAUCAUUUACAUAUAAUUUUACAAAAUCAAUAGGACACUUACAGAGCACCUCCUACAGCUGGACCGGCAGUUUUGGUAAGCGACACCACAGUCAUAGCAAGUCCAUUAUGGUAUAAUGCUGUUCCUGUUAUUAUACCAUAAACCAAAAAAAUAAUUUAAACUUUUGACACAUACAAAGCAUGAAAAAGCUGAAAGCAUGGAAAUGUACUAAACAAACAAAAGAAAAUAUAUUUACCACUGCUCUGUUUUGCAGAAGGAACAAUCCAGUAAUUAUAGACACCUGAUGUUAUAAUUCAGGAAAAGUGAAAGAGAAUUACAACAUUUCUGAUAAAGAAGAUAUAAAAUAACUUUUAUACAUUCUUGCUAAUGGGUAAUAUAACCUAAGUAUAUGGAUCAAUGAUUAGGAUAUCCACUUACAGAUAAAACAUUCUUCAUCACAGAAGCACAGUUUAUCAAUAAGGCAAGGCUGAACCCAGAUAACAUUGCUAUGUAAGUGUAACUUGUCAAAAGCGGUAUCGAUAAAACCUGUAUAUACAUAGAAAAUUACGUCACCAAAUCCAUGAAGAAAAGUAUUUUAUAAACAAAUAUGUUUGAAACAAACUAUCAAAUGAUCUAAAUGCCACAUGGUUUGUUCAAAAUUUUACCCCUGCAAUGCGUGUUAUUAUUAUUGGCCCGAUCAUCCUCUCAACGUAAGGGUAUAGAGUAAGUUGAAAAACAAGGAGGCUGAAUCCUGCAGUAAGUUCAAAAUGAGGAGUUGAGGACAAUCAAUAAGCAGUUUUGUGGGGUUGAUGCAUGAGAAAAGAAGUUAAGAGGAACGAGUAACAUUUUCAGUUUCGUAAUAAGUAUAAAUGGGCAGCAAGAGUAUUGGUUUUGCACCUGAGAUGGCAAGAACUUGGCCAGCAUUUUCGGUUGAGUAACUCAGACCCCCGUACUUCCACGGGCUGAUAGCCCACAAUGAAAAUAUCUAACAGAAUAGUUGCAAUAUUAUGAUUUAAAAAAAUUACAUAGAUAAGAAAUUCUUAGGAUCAGUAAUAGCCAUAUGUCUUCUUUAUGUAUAAAACUCAAAACAAUCCCAUCAAUAGCAAUAGCACCCUCUGUUUCAGGUAGAAGUUAAGAGAUAACUUUGCAAAUAUCUAACAGAAAGCGAUCUGAUCCAGGAUCCUGGACUUUAUUCAAGUUCGGGAAAGCCAUUGGUCAUUGGACUAUUAAACCAUGUGGCUUAAUAACUGGUUGAGCAGAUCAUCUCGACCAGGAUAUUAUAGUUCACAUCGACCAGAAUAAUAUGUGGUGACCUCGAGCAGAUCACCUCGACCAGGAUAUUAUUGGUCAUCUCGACCAGGAUGUUAUUGGUCACCUCGAGCAGAUCACCUCGACCAGAAUAAUAUGUAGUGACCUCGAGCAGAUCACCUCGACCAGGAUAUUAUUGAUCACCUCGACCAGGAUAAUAUGUGAUGACCUCGACCAGAAUAAUAUGUGGUGACCUCGAGCACAUCACCUCGACCAGGAUGUUAUUGGUCACCUCGACUAGGAAGUUACCAGAAAACACGAUUCAGUCAAAACAUUUUCUCCGAAAUAUUAGGGACCAUAUUCUUAGUGGGCUGAAAAUUAGUAGUUUUCUUGAGAAUCCUAUGGGAGAGGAUAAAAACCGCUAUAUUUUCAUAUAAAAACCCUAAGGGGGGAUUCUUCUAGCUCUCUCUCUCUCUCUCUCUCUCUCUCUCUAAGCAACUGAACCCAUUGGACCUUUUUCUCCCUCUACCACUGAGAAAUUUCUCUUUCGCCUGUGAUUUCUUUAAGAUUGAUUAUUGUGAAUUUUUUUCCUUUAAAUUUACUUAAAAGCUUUUUGUUUAAAGCAAUCAUAAUUAAGCCACAUGAAUUGUGGUAUGGGUUUUUCCAAGUAAGACCCGAAUCGCUGACUUGAGCGUCGGAGAGUUCUCGCCGGAAAAACUUCCGGCACCUCCUGACUGUUGGUUGUGUUCACAGGCUCACAGGUUAUCUGCUCAUGGAUUGUCUGCUCAUGGGUUCUCUGCUCAUGGAUCGUCUGCUCACGGGUUAUCUGCUCAUGGAUUGUCUGCUCAUGAGUUCUCUGCUCAUGGAUCGUCUGCUCAUGGAUUGUCUGCUCAUGGAUCGUCUGCUCAUGGGUUGUUUGCUCAUGGGUUCUCUGCUCAUGGGUUGUCUGCUCAUGGGUUGUCUGCUCAUGGAUCGUCUGCUCAUGGGUUGUCUGCUCAUGGGUUCUCUGCUCAUGGAUCGUCUGCUCAUGGGUUGUUUGCUCACAGAACAUCUGCUCAUAGAAAAUCUGCUCAUGGUGCUAACUAAUCAUCAGCUUCCCACCAAACAAAUUUAAUGCUGAUGCAGGGAUCUGAGAUUUGACCAACUCAUCCAGAUUUCGGCAUCAACAAUAACUUUCCCGAACAUUAAAAUAGUUUAGAUUUUGGAUUGGAACAUUUUUAUGUCAUAAUAAAGUAGAAUAUAUAUAUAUAUAUAUAUAUAUAUAUAUAUAUAUAUAUAAACAAUCAAACUCAGGUAGAGAUGUUUAUACCUCGGUGUAAGCGAUAUCAUGAAGCGAGAAAACACAAUAAACAAUAGUAGAAGAAAUAAAGGGCCAAUUCUUCAUGAGGCUUUUCUUAGCAGUGGCCUCCUCACUUCCUUCAUCUUGUUUAAAUUCUGCAUUGGACCCACAGGCGGAUUCCAAAGCAUCACAUGAUACAUCAAGUGAUACACCAUCUUCAUUGUGUUUGUGCAAUGUCUCCUGCAUCAAAAAGCAUGUGAUGGUGUCAAUGUAGUCAUUAUAAGAGAAGCGAAAGUUAUAUUUUAUAGUCUCACCCAUAAGAAAAUUUGAAGUUAUGGGAGAGUUGCUAUUACAUGUACAAUUCAGCCUGAAAAGAGAGCUAAAGGCUACGUACCGGAAUCCAGCAAGAAGCAAUAGUUACCGCAAAAGCAAAGAGUGACAUACAGAGACAGGGAAGGAAGUAAGGAAACCUGCAUAAAUUUGUUUUUCAAAAUACCAUCAUAUUGAAAGUAUUACAGAAAAAGAUAAGGCUAAUGGCAGUAAAAAUUCACUUACUUUCCAAACAUAGAUUCUUUGGAAAAUGCCUUUGGAUAUUUCUCUGCUGGCUGGAUUGCAAAAUUAUCCACGAAUAUAUAUAAGAAUAAUAUUUAUCAAGCCAAACUACUAAAAAUUCAAAAAAAAAAAAAAAGCGCAUAAUAAUCAAGUAAAAAUUGCCGAACCUGGGCCAAAAAGCCACCCACUGCAGGGCCAAUAAUCAACCCUGUGCCCCAUGCUGUACUGAGCUGAAAUUAUAUCGUAGUUCUCAAGGUAAAUGAUGCUAUAAAAUUUUCUCAAGAACUUUGCAAUCAUACACGAACUGAUAAGCUCACCGUUGACAGUCCUAAAGUUUUGUGUUGAUCGCGCAAUAUUUCACAUGCAUAUGCCUGGUGGUGCAAGAGAAGUUUGAGUACAAAUAUUUACAGGAGUUAAAUUGGAAUUAUCAACAAAUACCCCCAAUCAAUACCUUAAUUGGUCCAAGUAAACCAUUCAAAGCCCCAAGGAGAAACCUUGUAGCUAUGGCCAUCCAGAAACUAACACUAAGCCCAAAGAGAGUGUUAAAAAUAACCCUGUGAGCAUUUUAAGACAAAUAAGAAACCCAGAAAUUGCCAAAAUAUCAUCAAUUUCAAGCUUGAUCAUUUGAAAAUAGAGGUCACUAACACUGUGAUGCAUCCUAUUAUUAUUACAGGCUUUCGACCACAGCGGUCAGCCACCAUUCCCCACAAAACAGAUGUUAGAGCUCUGCCAAGCAUGUAUGAAGACCAUUCAAUUUCAUCAUGGUAUUAAGAGGUUUGUCAGAUGCAUCCUAUUAUUACUUCUCGAGGAAUUUGAACUGUUAUAUUGGUCGUACAUACAUACAUACAUGCAUACAUACAUAUACACAUACUGAAUAUUGUCUAAGUGGUUUAUUUACAGGUAUUCAAAAUAUAAAUUAUUGCUAUGAUUUUAGAAAAUAUUGUCUUUUUUUUGUAAUUUAUAUUAAAAUUUUGCGACAAUUGUUUGGCUGGAAUUUUUUUUUUUAUAAGAAAAAUAGUGAUCUCACACUGAUCCAUAGUUGAGCCAAUUACCUAGUUAAAAGCUACCUCCAUAUUUUUUAUUUUUUACCCUAAUGCAUGUCUGAUUCUUUUAAAAUUUUACGUUAUAUAUAUUAAACAAAAAUUAUAAUUUUAAUCAUUGAAAAAUUAAUGACAGACAUCUUUUGAAUAAUAUUUUUUUAAAAAAAUACAGAGCUAGAGAUAAUGCUAUAAUUGAUUGAAUAAGAAGGCUACAACUUGAUGAUAACUUUAUUGCAAUGUUGCGUGAUCUCAAUAUAUUAUUGGCUUUUGUGUGAGUAAAAGUUGCUGGCUCGUGUUUUACUAAUUUGGGUUUGUAUUUGACUGGCUCGACAAAGAAUCGAUUUACCUCAUACUCAAAUUACAAACAUCGAAACCGGAUCUGUCAUUACGUUAAUUGGCCUCCUAAAAUAAUCAAUCACUUUCUCUUUAGUCUACUAUCCACUCUUUCCAGUCGCUUAGUUUCAUUCUAAUCAUCUAAACGGCUCUUUGGUACUGUUUCUUCUAUUCGUCAUUGUUCUUGUUCUGUUAUUAUUUAGCUUUGUUCACUCCUCAGUCUCAUUUCUAAUUCUGUACCCAUCAGCUCUUUUAGCUCUUUACGUCGUGAUAGAAACCCUUUUCUUGUUUCCUUCAUCUCAUCUGAAAAACACAAUUGCUUGUCCUAUCGCUGUCUCUUUGUUUUUACUUUCCUUUGGCCUUCUUCGCUUCUACGUUUUUGUCAGGCUUCGAGAUGCUGGAAAUCAUUGUGACUAUCGUCUUGGAACUUGUAAAAUGCUUGGCUCCUCCAACUGCACGCCAACUUGUUUAUUUGCGAAAGCGGAACUACAAUGCCAACUUUGAGAAUAUCAAGGCGGAAAUGGAGAAGUUGAAGGUUGAACGUACGAGCAUUCAGCGCAGGGUUUCAGAGGCGAAAGAAAAAGGGGAAGAGAUUGAAGAGAAGGUUGAAAAGUGGCUGGUUAGUGCGAAGUACGAACGGCAUCAUUGACCGGGCAGCCAAAUUCAUUGAAGAUGAGGAGUCAACGAAUAAGCGCUGUGUCAAGGGCUUGAGUCCUAUUUGGAAGAGUCGCUAUCAGCUUAGCAAGAAAGCAGAGACGGAGGUGAAGGCCAUUAUUGAACUUGGAGAAGAAGUUAAGAAGUUUGAUACUGUUUCCCACGGUACCAUUCGGGAGCAGAUAUGGCUUAACUCUAGCAAUGGUUACGAGGCCUUCGAAUCAAGACUUUCUACUUUGCAAUCUAUAAAAAAUGCAUUGACUGAGGCGAAUGUCAGCAUUAUUGGGGUGUACGGCAUCGGCGGCAUUGGAAAGACCACACUGGUGAAGGAGUUUGCUAGGCAAGCCAGGGAAAAGAAGUUGUUUUAUCGGGUGGUUUUAUCAGAGGUUUCAUAAACUCCAGAGAUAAAAAAAGAUUCAAGGGGAAAUUACAGAGAACUUAGGUCUGGAGUUGUCCGAUGAAGCUGAAUAUAGAAGAGCUAGCAAGCUGAAUGAACGAUUGAAGAGUGAGAAUAAGAUUCUUGUGAUUCUAGAUAAUAUCUGGAAACAUCUUGAUUUGGAGACCGUUGGAAUUCCUUUUGGAAAUAAUCAUAAAGGAUGUAGACUUUGAUAGACAACCAAGGAGAUCAGCUAGAGUUUCAAAGCCAAGCAGCAAGCUUGUGGACUUUGUUUGACCAUGCAAACCAUGCCCAUGCAAGCCAUGCAAUUGAUCUCCCACAUAACACUUUCAUGCGAGUUAGUUGGAAUAAGAGCACGUGAGGAAUUGAUAUUGAAGUAAAAGUGAUGGUUGUCGAAGCCAGUAAAAAUAAAUACCUACUCUAAAUAAAUUAUGUAUAGUGAUUGAGUAAGGUCGUGUCCACAGAGAUCGGUAAUUAUUUAAAUUCUUUUAAAAAGUAAAUUGCAAAAUGGGGGGAUUGUUGACAAUAAUAAAAAUCAAAUUAAAAUAACAAGAAUGCAAAUUAAAAUUUUAAUUCAAAUUGGGAAAAGCUCUGGUUGAAGGAAUUAACUCAGCUUGAUUUGAUUACUGAUCAUUGAUUCAAUUAUAAAUCACUACUACUUAUGAAUAGAUCGGUUAUAGCUACUGAGACCCUCUAAUAGUCAAUCUCUCCUUAACUAAUCGAUAACCAAAGUACGACCGUUGGUUAUUUCCCUAAUCAAUAGACAACCUAGAUACGAUCAUAGGAUUUAAUCAAUUGACAGCCUGAAAAUCCAGAGAGACCCAAAUCCUAAUAAAUAAACGCAUACAAUGGUUCAUUUAAAUUAGAUUGUUUAUUCUCAUAACACAAUGCACUGCUAUGCUAUUUGUCACAAACAUUAAAAUCUUCAUACGAUAAAUCAUUUAAUUGACAACAUAUUAAGUUGAUAAUUAAAUAGUGGUCAAUUAUCUAAUUAACAAACAUAAUCAUGACAAUAAUUCAGAGAAUAAACAAAUACCCAAAAAAUAAUAAAAUAAUUAAAGCAUAAGAAAGAUCUCACAGUAGUGAUGAAUCAAACCUUCAUUAACCUUCAACCAGAAUAAUAGGUUUAGUUCCUCAUAGAGAAAAGAGAAAAAUUUAGAUCUAGGGUUUUUCUCUUUUCAAAAAUCUCUCCUUUUCACAAUACAUUCCUCCCUUAAAUUCUCUUCUCCCUCUUCUCCUCUAAAGUUCUUUUUACAAUAAAAUACUGAUAUCUAAAAUAUUAUCUAAAUAUUAAAUUCAUAAUUACAAAAAUAACCAAAAAUAUAAAAUACGUUAAACUAAAAACUGUAGGUCCGCAGUUGACAGCAUGUGCCCACACCUUAUCAACACAGUUUUUCUGAAGCUCAUAAUUUCUCCAAGAAAUCAAUGAUCCUCAAAUAUCAUCUUGUAGCUCAAUUUUAGCACCAAUCAAUAGAAUUGCACCUACAAAAAUAAAACACAAGUAAAUCACUAUUAUUAAGUGCAAAACAUCGAUAUUAAAGGAAGUAAAUAAUGCAAAACUAGUGCAUAAAUUGUACUCUAACAAAAAGACUACAUCAAAGUUGUUGCCAAGAAUCAAGUUAAUUUAUUUUCUGCUUUGUUUUUAUCUAGUUGUUAAUAUUGAUUUGAUUUGGCUGGAUUUGAGCCAAGGUUUUAGGCUACAAAUCAGUAGUAUACUUUAUGUUUAUCUGUAUAAAUAAGCAGCAACCAUGACGAUUGAAAGGAAGGAAAUUAGUCAAAACAAAUACUGGUUGUUCAUACCAUAAAUUGAACGAAUAUCAGGCACUGCUUUUCUGUAUUUGAUCGGGACCUAUCAGACUAUUGCUGACAGCAAGAGAUAAUAAUGUGCUUUUAAGUAUGGGCUCCAAAGAUAACUUUUUGAUUGGCAAUCUAACUGAACAAGAAGCCUGGCGAUUGUUUAAGAUAAUGAAUGGUGAUGAUGUUGAAAGUUGUAAGUUCAAGUCUACAGCAAUUAAUGUGGCUAAGGCAUGUGGAGGUUUGCCCAUGCGUUGACUACUGUAGCGAGGGCACUGAGAAACAAGAGUCUCCAUGAAUGGAAGAAUGCCUUGCGAGAGCCUUCAAUGGUAAACUUCGAAGGGGUGCCUGCAGAGACUUAUUCAAGUAUUGAGCUGAGUUUCAAUUAUUUAAAAGGUGAGCAAGUCAAGAAAAUUUUUCUGCUUUGUCGUCUAGUAGGUAACAGUGUUUGGUUUUCAGACUUAUUUAGAUACUCCAUGGGUUUGGGCAUAUUUCAAGGAGUCAACAUUCCCUUCCUAUUUACCAAAGGUAAGUGAUAAAUCCUACAUAUCCCACUCAAGAAUGCAUAAGUUUCUUCAAUCUCAAGUACCUAAAGUUUUCUUCUACGUUUAUAAAAAUUUCAGCACCAUCUCCCUAUAAUUCUCCAAGCUCACGACGUAGCUAUAUAAGUGUUUAUGCGUUAUGCCAAAACAACACAUGACACCCAUUCACCUAGUACGUACCCAGAGAACACGAGGAGCAGCUACCGAAAAACCCAUUUUUACGUGGGAAAAAAACUUCAGCUACUAGCUACCAGAGAGAACUAUGCAUUCCCAAACUGUCCAAGCCUGGACAAUUCAAGAAUUAUUAAUAGACAUAUGAUCCUCACUAUCAUCCAAAGAUGACACUAAUAAAACAUGUGUCUAUUAAUAAUUUCUUAAACAAGUCUAAGCUUUCAAUGCACGUAUCAAAAGUUUAAAAUUGAAUCUGAAAUUUGAAUAACACAUAAAUAUCAUAAAUCUCUUCAAUUUAUUCCUGAUACAAUGUAGCAUUAUUUCACAUAUCAUUUCUUAAGCAAAACCAUAAAAAAUACAAACGAUAAAUACAUUUUCGCACUGAUGCAGAUUAUGUUUACUGAGCAAUAAGUUUUAAGUCAUUCAUGUUGAAAUACUUCUUCCUAUUCUUUCAACAUAUAACUAGUACGUACACACAAUUAAUAAAUUAAAAAAAAACCUGGUAGUGAAUCUUGGAAAAUCUUCCUUCUUUCUUUUUUUUUUGGUGGGAGGGGGGGGGGGGGGGGGGUGGUGGUUGGGGGAACUAUGAAUCUUGCAAAUCCUCGGGAAGCCAUGUUAAGACAAGGCCAGCUUACUAUUAGGGUAUGAAAGAUAAAACCUUUUAUUUCCUUUUCAGAAUAAAAAGAAUAUUGACAAUGUUAAAAAACAUCUAGAGGAUUUCAGGUCUCCAGAUCCUUACAAAUCAAGGAUAUUAAAAAAAUUUACUUAGAGGAGAAAGGUUAUGCUCAUUUGUAUCUUGUUAGAAGAAAUUGAUCCAAAGCCUCAUUUUUAAUUAGCUUCAUAUAGCCAAUGAUUAGGUGUUUAAAAACCAAUGAAUAUUUUUAUAAGAAAUCAACAAUAUUGUUGAAAGAAAAACCAAAUAAAAUUAAUAAAGCCAAUGAAUAGAUCAAGGCUCUUUGUGGUCUAAUAACUAAUCAAACUAAGUUGUGGGCAAAGGCGAAUAUGUUUGUUUGGUCAAUAAUAAGCUCAACAAAUCACUAAUAAUCACCUAAUCACUAUUCCUUAUGCUAUGCAAUAUAAUGGCCUGGGUAAUGGCGCCAAGGCAGACAAUAACUAGCUAGCCAGUUAUGAUAGUUGAUUAACUUAACCUACUGGAAAUCUGAAGACCAAAACGAAGAAGCUUUGCCUAGAACUACAAUAGGAACAUUCAUACCCAAAACUAAUAUACACGAUUAAGAAACUUGAUUAUAUGUAUAUUUUUGUUGGCCACACUUAAAGAGAAUUUUCAAAAGAUGCUAAGGUACACCAAAUCCCACUAUUUCAAACUCAUAAACACAAAAAACCAUGGCAAAAAUUAAUGACUAUAUAAAAUAAAAUCGGUCAUGGGGCAUUGAGAUUAGGACAACUUGAUUUGUAUACCGUAAAAUAACUAUAUCUGCAUAGUGAACUAUAUUUCUGUUAGAACUCUGAAGUUUUCUAUUAAACUUUUUUCUCUGUUAGGUAAACCACUUAACUAAAAUGCUUAAGCCAAUAUUGACAAUCAUAGACAUAAAAGUAUUAAUAGGCUCACUCAAGUGAAAUGAGCAUUAUUUCACACAUCCUUUAGGUUUUUAAGUCAUUUAGAAGUCAUUCAUGUUAAAAAAAAAAAACAAAUUCAUAUACUUUCAAUAUAAUUACUGCAUACACAAUUAACUAAUUAAAUAAAUCUGUUUCAGCUAGUAUAGGAACUUAAUUAAUCAAAGCUAGUAGUUAUAGCUAGGACUUGAACGAGGCACCUUUCAAAGUUCAAGAAGAGCAUCUGAACAGAAUGAAAGCACUUUGUAGAAAUGGUAAUGAUGCUUUACAUCUACAUGCUCUUACACAAUAUGAACUUUCAUUGAUUCAAGAACAUAACACUAAUCCAAGCUCUUACUCUACAAGUCAAUUCAGUUUGUAGAUGCAAGCCAUUGUAAAAACUUUUGACAUUACUAAUUAAUAUAGAAUCAGCAAUGUUAUAUAACUUAUUAGACAAUAUAACAAGCACUUGGCGAGCAUAUAAGAUAAACUAAAACAAGUUAAUUAGAAAAUGAAACUAAAACCCAAGCUCCGCUAUUCAUUGUAGAAGCUUUAAACAUAAAAUUAAAGUAAAUCUAAUGGCAAAACAUUAGAAUCGAUGUUGGAAUUAAAGCUAAAUUCAAUAGUAAUCCAAAUGAAUCCAUUUGAACUUUGUAAACUCCGCAGAACAAAAUUAAUUUGAGUGAGCAAACUCAUCAAUGGCACAAGAAAACAGGGGCUUCAACUUGUAGGAAUAAAAAUAUAUUGCUGGCGGGACAAAAAUUGACAAUAACGGCUACAAUGCGAAUUAAAAAAAAAUCAAAAUCUAUAAUUACAAGCUAAGUAAGAGAAGAAACUCAUAAUCACAAGCUUACCUCAAAAGAUGAAGGGAGAAGACGAUGAAGAAGAAGAUGGCCCGUGUUUUACGCAGUUCGCCGGCAACCAGUUAGGCUUACGAUGGUGGCUAGUAACACGGAGUCCAGCGAAUAGUUUUAAAUUUAAAAUUCUAAAAUAGUAAUAUACCGAACGGCUCUUUACGCGGGUAGUAACUAACAUAUGUGAUAGCGGUAUGGCCGUCACAUAAAGGGUAACAAAAGCAAGUCGGGGUACAAAGCUAGAGCCUAGAAGUUAGUGAUAUACGUAAUGGCUUCUUUUGCAUUCACAUUAGGGGUCACAUAUACCCUAGUUUCUUGUAGUACAUGGUAAACUAUAUUUGUACGAAUUCAUUUUUGUGUGCUUGUUGGAUAAUAAUAUAUAAUAAAUUAAAAUUUGGUGUAAUUUUCACAAUAUUGUAUUAUAAAUAUGUCUCGUUCAGAGGUUUUGAAAUCGUUUUGAUUGAUCAUAAUUGAUAUUUCCACAGUUGCAAAAGAUGCCAAAGAAAAUUUGAUUAUCUUAAGAAAUGAGUGCAUGAGAUAUGAAAUCAACCAUACCAUAAAAUCAAAUUUUAUCGUGUCAUCCUUCCUGGUUCAAAUUUAUGGAAACAAUAAUCAAAUGCAUCCAUGAACUAGUAUAUUCCGACAUAUGUACCAUCAAAUUUUUGCUAUGUCAUACUUAUACACACACACAUAUAUAUAUAUAUUGAAAUUUUAUUAACAACAAUUGGGCCAAGCAUAUGUUGGUACUUGAAGAUUUAGAAGCUCCAUCCUUGAAAAAAUAAGGCUUGACUGUUAUCAAUCUAAUUCUUUUUGUUUUAAGUUCUUAAUUAAGCUUUCUUGCUUGUUUUCAAGAGCCAGUUUUGUAGUGAUCGACAAACAUGAUUUGCAUAUAAUGCACUUGGCAUUUAUGUGUCACUUAUUAAUUAGAUUUAAAUUCUAUACAUUAGUUAAGCUGAUUAAUACUUUAUACUUGCACUAAAUGAUAAAUACUACAUAAAUUGAGAACACUAGUAACUAUGUAUCCCAACUAUGUAAUAUUUGUUUGUCACAAACCCAAUCAUGGCCUAAUAUUCUAAAUGUUAUUUAGGAUACCAUUUCAAGCCCCAUGAGGGCUCUUUCCGUUUAAAAAAAACAAGUAAGAAAUAGAUGUAGAUAGCCAUAAUGAUUUAAUUUCUACUGCAUACAUAGCUGUAAUUAUUUUAAAAGCUACAGGAUUACCAAAUUGACCCUAAAUCAAACCAAUAAAAAUGUUUAAAAGUAAUAAUAAUAAACCAAAGUAAACGUACAAAAAUUCAUGCAUAAAUUGAUAAUCAAUAAAAACAUUCAAAAGUUUAACUCCAACUUUUCUAUAAAUUUCAAAAGGCAUUAUCAAUUUUGUGUCUAAUUCUACAAAAUUAGAAAACUAAAGAAUAUUAUGUAAUUGACAUAACCCUUAAAUUUCAAAAGGCAUUAUCAAUUUUGUGUCUAAUUCUACAAAAUUAGAAAACUAAAGAAUAUUAUAUACUGAUAAUUAAAUAAUAUGCAAUUAAUAAUGUUAAAAAAAUAAUUUUAAACAUAUUGUCAACUAAAAUAAAUGGGAGAAUUGGAGUUCCAAGAUAAAUUCUUAUCUAGUUCCAAAUCAACAAUUGGGAUUAAUUUCAAUAUUAAACCCCGACUGCUUUUAAAAUUGAUCCUAAUGAUAUGGACAAAUCCCAUUCUGAUCAGUAUGGAAUCCCAAUCCCAUACCUUUAGAUUUCGAUGGUGUUUAGUUGGAGGGAGGAGAGGGGAAGGAAAUGAAUUCAAAUUCCUUUCACUUUUUCUGUUGUUUGGUUUUCACUAAUAUAUGGGAAAUCCAUUUCUAUUGAAAUUUAAUUUUCAUCAAAUUGUGAAUUUUGGAUUCCUCAACGAAGGCUGUAAAAUUCAAAUUCCCCUCCUAUUAGAAAUCAAAUCUUCCAAAAUGGCUCCUCUCAAAUAUUUAUCAAUUAUUUUAAUUCUUAUCAAAUAAUUCUUAUUCAUGAUUUUAUUUAUGAUUUUAUUUUUUAAAUUCAAAUUGUCACUAAGGAGUCUGACUUACUACCACAGAAAAGCAAAAAAAAAAAAAAAAACAGUUUAUAGAUUAUGAUAAUUCUAUAUAUUGUCUGAGAAUUGCAAUCCCGUAGCCGAAGUAGUUUUUAAGUACAGAAUUUCAGUCAUUUCUAUUUAAUUUUUUUUUUAAAUGUGAAUUGGAGGGAUCAAGAGCAGCUCACUGGAGGUUGAGGCCGACAUGGAAUCUGAUUAUCAGGAGAUCCGAGUGCAGGGAGGAUUCAAUAGUGAACCCGAAUGAAAUCGGGCGGGUGGGCCUGCCUAUGUGUUUUUCCAAUCCAUAUUAAAAGGAGUUUCUUUUACAAAUACAUAUUGGACAUAUUUUGACAUGUCGUACUAAAUUAAGCCAUCAAAAAUUGCUGGGAAGGGAGUAAUAUCUAUUUAUAACUGGAAAUUACUCACCGUACAAUGAUGGUUGGAGCUGCAUGUAUCAUUUAUUAUUAACAACUAACUUAUGAAAUGCUUUGAAUGUACCUCCUAGGUCGUAUUUACUAUACCGGUUAGGAGAAACUAUAAUAUUAAAUUAUUUGAUAAAUACUUAUUAUAAUUUAAAAAAUAUAUUAAUUUUGUCCUCCACUUUAUGAUAACAAAAUUAUAAUAUAAAUAAAUUAUUCAUUCUAUAAUCUUAAACUUUAUUAAAAUUCGAAAAACUAUUACUCUAUAUGAUAUAAUAGUGUGAUGUUAUUACACUAUUAUACCAUAUAAAAUAUAUUUGCUUUCUUAAAUUUUAAUAAAUUCUAGGUCUUGGACAGAAGCACUUUAUAUAUAUGUAUAUAUAAUAAUUCUCUAGUAACGACAUUCUCAUUUUAACAAAGUGAUGAUAUCGCUAACAAACUAAAUAACACACAUUUCAAUACACCAAUAGAUUAAAAAAAUACAAUUUUUAAUGUGUUAAAAUAUAUGUCUUUUGUAUAUUAUUGAUAUUUUCACUUUAACAAUGUGAGGGUCUCCUCACUAUAGAAGUACUUUAUAAAUAUUUUGUAUUUUUUUAAAAAAUUAUUAUUUAAAAGUCAUAUCUGACCAAGACUAAUAAUUUUUAUUUUAUUACUAUACUGUACUUUCAAGACAGAACACUUCAAUACCAUGACCUUAAUUUUUCAACUCUCUUGUACAAAGUUGUUGGCUGGUCUAUUUAGUUUAGUCUUUCAAUCAUUUGUCGUUUGAACUGAGAUGAUCCGAAUAAAGCUAUAUAUCAAUAAUUUCCUAGUGAAACUUUGGGAAAAAAUAAAAAUCAUGUCAUACAGUAGCAUUAUUUUAAUUCACAGCUUGAUUAUGUUUUGAGUUAACUUAUAGAUUAUUUGAAAUAAAAAGACUAUAAUUUAAUUUUUCCAACUAAAUAUUUUUAAAUAAUUUUGUUAAUUUAAUGAGUAAUUAUACACUUACAAAGUUACGAUAUAAAAUUAUAUCCCAGAAUCUCAAUAAUAUGACACCAAUUAACUACUGCUAUGUGUUUCUUAGUAAUUAACUUUUUAUACUAUUAUCAAUGAGAAAAUUAACUUCAACACCAAUAAACAAAUUUUAUAUUAAUACAUCCUCUAGGUUUAUUAUCAAAUAAUCAUGUCAUAAUCAAACCAAGCUACCAGAGCCUACUACUAAAAGAUUGAUUAAAGGGUUUUCCAAGUUUGAAAAAGUUAGUAGCAUUGGCAAAUGGCAACUCCCAGGAAUCUUCCUACUACAAUCAACCAUUCAGUGAAAUUCCCAAAUGGCACAAAGGACCCCGCCACCCGUUAAGUCACAUCAUUUAUUUAUUUGUGAAUGAAAAAUAAGGUUUCGAUCGUAAGAAAUGAACACCUUAUAAUGCAUGAUUACCUGUAUGUCAAGUUUGGCGAUUAUAAGUCAUCAUCACAAUAACUUUGGAGCGGAGCUAUCGGCACCCCCUUGAUAUCCUUUUCAAACCCCUUUUCUGCUUAUUUCCUCCUCAAUCCCUAAAAUAGCCUUUAUCUGUAAUUUUUCCGCAAACAAUUUCAACCUCCUUUCAGUUAUCACUCUUCAACCACUCCCACUUCAAGUUUCUUCUUUUUAUAGGAAAGGCUUUUGAUAACAACCCAAUAUUUUUUUGUUUUAAUUUUAUACUUUUCAGUUUAUGACAUUAUAUUUUAAAAUAAAUAUGUAUAAAAUACACACAAGGUUUAGUUAUCUCCUAGCAUUCUAAUAACGUUAGUAAUUUAUGAAAAUUUUAUAAAAUUAUCUUUCCUACAAAAAUAAAUUGUUAAGUGAAAAAAAUACUUUAUAUCAAAUUCUUACUCUUUUACCAUUGACCUUUUUUUUUCAAAAAAAAAAAUGGAACUUUUAAGUGCUUUAGUGGAGAAAGAGUCGGUGAGAAAAAAUCAUAUAUGAAUUUAAUAAGAUAAGAUUUAAGGGACAAAAUUGUAAAUGUAUAACAAGAGGGGUUUUAUAAGAAAAAUACAGGGGUGCCAAUAGCGUCACUCUAACUUUGGGCUUUGAUAUUUAAGGCUCCGUUUCGGACAAAUGCGUGGCAAUUGGACAACACAUCACUCAAUUAUAGAGUGUGAAAUAUUGAUAUUGUUCUUAUUAUUUUACGUAAUGUAUACAUUUUUCCUCUUAUUUUUGUUUGUUUAUUUAUUUUUGAUACUUAAUAAAUAUAAAUUUAUUUUUUAAUAUUUAAUAAAUAAUCCUAACCAGGCAAUAUUGCCAGAAAAUAACGAACAAUGAUCCAAAUCCUUUUAUUUUACAUAAAUAAUUUCAAUUCACAACAACUAUGACGUUACAUUACCAAACAAACACUAAAUAUUUUGAUUAUUGUAGUUUAUCUUUCAUUCAUAACAUGAAGAGUUUGAAAUAUGAUAUCAAAACAAAGAGUAUGACAUGUCGUGUUGUGUUCACAGAAGAAAUGUAAGCCAUGUCAUCCGAAAACUAAAAGGAACGUAUGACAAUCAGAAGCUGUCAUCUCUGAUUUGCUUACACUUUUAAGGAUAAAUUCUGGGUUUUCAGUGACAAUUAAAAGCUAGAGUGAGAAUUAGAGAGAGAGUUAGAUAUUCUUAUUCCUAGUCACUUGCUAUAUUUUGUAGGUCUUUUGUGACUCCAAUGAUAAAAUCGCUCAAUAUUUUUUUUUUGAUAGAGCCAUAUUUUUUAAAGCAUAAAGAAAGGCAGAAAUAUUGUAAAUCCAACUUAAAUUUUCUGUUCAUUGUGGUCGCUGCUAGUGCUAGCUGUUUUCUUAUUUAACUUUGUUCCCUUUUGCCAUCAGCUCUUUGCAUUUUCAUUGGAGCAAGCGACCCUUUUCUUGUUUCAAUUUCUGAUCUCAAAAGCACUCUGAUUCUCUGGACACUGAUUUUCUCCUUGUUUUGUACAAAUAUCAUUUCUCUUUCCCAUUUAGCCUUGAUUUGCUUCUACUUGACUAUCAAUUGCCCAGUCGUUGACCCUGUUGUAUUUCUAGUUCGUUCACUCCCCCCCCCUCCCCCCCAAAAAAAAUGGACAUUUUGAAAAGCAUUGUCCUAGGAGUUGUAAACUGCUUUGCUCCUCUAGCACAACACGAAUUUAGUUAUUGGCAUAACUCCGGUGCUAACUUUGACAAUCUCAAGGCAGAACUCGAUAGGCUCAAGGAUAAAAGAGAAAGAAUUCAGCGCAGAGUUUCUGAGGCUGAAAGAAAAAAGUGAAAAGAUUGAAGAGAUGGUUGAGAAAUGGCUGGUUAAUGUGAACAAGAGAAUUGACCAGGCAGCCAAAUUCAUUCAAGACGAAGAGGCAGCAAAUGAUGGCCGAUGUCUCAUGGGGCUGUUUCCUGAUUGGUUUGCUCGCUAUCAGCAUGGAAAGAAAGCAGAAACAGAGAAGGAGGCCCUUUCUAAACUCCGAGAAUAAGCUGAGAGAUUUGAUAAUAGAAUUUCCUACCCUACCAUUCGGGAGGAUAUAUGGCUCAAGUCUAACAAAGACUACGAGAACUUCGAAUCAAGACUUACUACUUUCAAGGAUAUACGAAAGACAUUAACUGAUGUUAAUGUCAGCAUCAUUGGGGUGUACGGCAUGGGCGGCAUUGGAAAGACGACACUGGUGAAGGAGUUUGCUAGGCGAGCCAUUGAAGACGAGCUUUGUGAUAUGGUGGUUUUUUCGGAGGUUACCCAAAGUCCAGACAUAAAACAGAUCCAAUAGGAAAUUGCGGAAAAGCUAGGCCUAGAGUUGUCCGAGGAAGCUGAGUUUAGAAGAGCUAGUAGAAUAUUUGAAAGAUUGAAGAAUGAGAAGAAGAUCCUUAAGAUUCUGGAUAACAUCUGGAAAUCUCUUGAUUUGGGGACUAUUGGAAUUCCUUAUGGGGUUGAGCAUAGAGGAUGUAAAUUAUUAUUCACUACAAGAGAUCUUGAUGUGCUGAUAAGGAUGGGAUCUGAGAAACAAAGAGCUGCCUGAGUGGAAGAAUGCCAUGCAAGAACUCCAAAUGCCUUCAGAGACAAGCUUCGACGAAGGAGUACCAGCAGAGGCACACUCAACAAUUGAGCUGAGUUACAAGUAUUUAGGUAAGCAACUCAAGGAAACGAUUUUACUAUGUAGUCUUAUUGCACCAACUUCAAUUAUGGACUUGAUCAAUUAUAGCAUGGGUUUGGGGUUUUUUGAAAGUGUCCUUAAGCUAGAAGAGGCACAUAACAAAUUACAUGCAUGGGUCCGUCAACUAAGAGACUCUUGUUUGCUGCUUGUGGAUGGUAGCAGUAAAUUCUUUUCUAUGCAUGAUGUUCUUCGCGAUGUUGCCAUUUCAAUUGCAUGUCGUGACAUGAAUGCAUUUGUGGUGAGAAAUAAGAAUAUGUGGGAAUGGCCAAAUCCAGAUGCAUUAAAAAAAUAUCUUGCAAUCUCUUUAAUAAAUAGUCGUAUUAAUGACAUUCCUGAAGGGCUGGAAUCUGCACAACUUGAAUUUUUACUUAUGAUUCCCAAGAACUCUUUUUUUGGGCUCAAUAUUCCUGAGAACUUCUUUAAAGGGGUGAAAAAGCUUCGGGUUGUAGCUUUGGUAAAAAUGCGGUUAUCAUCAUUGCCAUCUUCAAUCUAUCUUCUAGUAAAUCUUCAAACACUUUGCCUUGAUCAAAGCAUUUUGAGAGACAUAGACAUAGCCAUUAUUGGAAAGUUGAAAAAUCUAAAAAUCCUUAGCUUUGUGCGGUCUGAUAUUGUGCAGUUGCCUAAAGCACUAGGUGAACUGACUAAGCUACGGCUGUUAGAUUUAACAGACUGUUUCCAUCUAAAAGUUAUUGCUCCAAAUGUCAUAUCAAGCUCAACCCGAUUAGAAGAAUUGUAUAUGGGUAAUUGCCCCAUUGAAUGGGAGGUUGAAAGAUCCAAUAGUAAAAGAAGUAAUUCUAGCCUUGAUGAAUUGAUGAAUUUACCUUGGCUAACCACUCUAGAAAUUGAUGUUAAAAAUGACAGUAUUUUACCAGAAAGCUUUUUAACCAAAAAGCUGGAAAGGUUCAAAAUAUCUAUUGGAAACGAAUCAUUCAUGCCUCCUCAGAAGAAAACAAUGGUUUCGAAGCCUGCCGCACUUUUUGAUCAACAGUAAUCGUGAGAGUUUAAGAGAAUUGAAGCUCAAGCUUGAUUUUAUGGACAUUUGCUCCAUGAAAUUGCAGGGCAUCAAUAAUGUUGAAUACCGAUAGUUGGACAAGCUGCACGGUGUCAAGAAUGUUCUUUUCGAUUUGGACACAGAGGGCUUUUCACAGUUGAAGAUUCUCUGGGUUCAAAAUAAUGCUGACUUCUUUUUUAUCGUUGACUCAAUGGAGAUGGUCGCUUGUGAUGCCUUUCCUCUUUUGGAGUCGCUUACUCUUUUCAAUUUGAUCAACAUGGAGAGGAUAUGUAUGAAAAAUAAUUUCUUGAAACUUAUUUAAAUCCAGACUAAAUUACUGAGCAACAUCAAAUUGGAAGCGUACCUGAAUCCAUUGUUAUUAUGCACUAGAAAAGAUUUUUGAUCUUGGCAAUGGAUUUCCAAACUAGUCUCUAUCCUGUGUUAAGAAUUCUCACUGAGAGGAUUUUUGAGAAUGAAAAGAGAUUGAGAUAGAAUGGGGACCAUAACCACCGUAUAAAGAAAACUGACUAGCGGUUUUAAUUUUAUGUUAAUUAUCACUUCUGCUCCUCAUAGAAGUUAUAAUUAAACUAUAAUAUCUAUGUAAUUAACCCACAACUAUUAUACCCUUAGCCAUUUAAUUAACAUUAAAUAGAUCACUUAAUUGAUGGCUAAUUAAAUAAUAGCACACACAUUUUAUUUGUUUCAUGUGUGGCCCCAAAUAUUAGAUUAAUUAAAAUUAAUCUAACAAUGUAUUGAUCGGCUCAAAAUUGUGAUGAGUUGAGUAAUAUCUUCUGCCUCUCUAGAACAAAAUGCCUUCCAAGACUUGAGAGAAUUGCAGUUAUUAAUUGCAGGAAGAUGAAAGAGAUUUUUGCAAAUGGGGGAGAAGCUGAUGUUGACAACAACAAUGCAACUGAGAGGAUACAGUUUUCUCGAUUAAGAUCUUUGAGUCUGGAAAAUCCUCCAGAGGUUACAAGUUUUUUCCGUGAAGUGAAGACUCCUUCAGCAUCACCACACAGACGAGUGCCGGAAGAGGAAUUGACAAAUUCUUGCUCCAACGAAAUCAAUUUAGAUAGUUCAACUCAGCUUUUCAACGAGAAGGUGCAUAGGUUAAUACUUUAUUUAUUUAUAUAUGAUUUUAUUCUAUUGUGCAUUCUCUUUUGAUGUCAUACGCAGGAAAUAAUUAAAUCAUUAAAGAAUUAAAAGAAAAUGAUAAAAAGCAAAAAAGAAUCUCACGCACUUGCUAAUGGAGCUCUUAGCAAGUAAUAUGAAUUUGAUUGUAUACUCAGCUGUCUGUUGGAAAUUGAUUCUGACUUGCUUUAAUUUGUAAUAACAGAAGAAAAAUUUCAACAAGUGCUUCUUAUAUGGUUAUUGGUUCUAACGAGAAAUUUAUAUCUUUUUUAGGUGGAGUUGCCUAACUUGGAGGCUUUUGAGUUGUGUUCAAUUAAUGUCGACAAGAUUUGGCACUACAAUCAUCUUCCGUUCAUGCUUUCUCGCUUUCAAAGUUUAACACGAUUGAUUGUGCAGAGCUGUCCCAAAUUAAAAUACAUAUUUUCAGCGUCUAUGAUCCAAAGCUUUGAGCUGCUCCGAGAACUAUCCAUAGCGGAUUGUAGGGGUUUGCGAGAGAUCAUUUCGAAAGAUAGAGCAGAUCAUGUGACCCCUUGUUUUGUCUUUCCACAGAUGACCACUUUGAGACUCGAAAUUCUACCAGAACUUAAAUGCUUAUACCCUGGAAUGCAUACUUCGGAAUGGCCAGCACUAAAAACUUUAUAUGGGCCUCAUUGUGACCAAUUAAAGAUAUUCGCUGCAGAUUUAUUGCAGAAUAAUGGGAAUGAUCAACUUGGAAUUUCCGCACAACAACCCCUAUUUUUGUUCGGAAAGGUAUGAAGUCAUUUUCUCGAUUUUUUAUUAAUUAGAUCAUUGACGACUUUUGACUUUGAAAAAUAUACAAAACAUCGAUAAAUUAGUACUUAAUAAAUUGAAAACUUCCAUUACAUAAUAAUUUUUGCUAGUUUGGACAAAGGGAUCAAUGUGCUAAAUUAAUAAUUCCAUGAACUUCUUUAGGUGUAGCAUUAUAUUAGUUUUGUCAUAUAUAACCACUUACAAUAUAAAUUAAUAAUUUACUAUUGUGGAAUAAAAUAUUUUCAUACCAAUUUAUAAAUCAAUCAUUUUUUCCCUAAUUUCUCUCUUAUCUCUAAAAUUAACAUAUAAAAGCCCUAGAAUGAAUUUUAUCACUAAUUCAAUUUUUCCGUACUUUUUUUGUAAAAUAUAACAUAAAAGAAAUACUAUAAAGUCAAUGUGUAUGAAUGGAUUACUCAAAAUUAUUUGAGAGCACAUCAAUUGACCUAAUUAGUUAUUACGUGAUUGAUGAUGACCAGACCUUUCCCAACUUGAAGACACUAUCAUUACGGGGAAAAGACGUGAAGAUGAUUUUUGCAGGCUAAUUUACCACAACACCUUUUUGGUAGUCUUAAAGAACUACACAUAACUUUUAAUUGGUUUGACUGUAUCAAAAAGUCUUGAUAUGCGUCUUAUGAUGUUGUGAUAGCUUAUCUAUAUGGGUCACUUGACACGGAUAUAUGUAUGAAAAUCCCUUAAGGAUUUAAAAUGCCAGAAUCUUGUCAAUCAUCACAUCGUGGCUUGUAUUCAAUAAAGCUACAAAAGUCUUUAUAAGUAUUAAAACAAUCUGGAUGCAUGUGGUAUAAUCGCCUCAGUGAAUAUUUGAUAAAACUAUGAUACGUUAAUGAUCCUAUCUGUCCAUGUGUUUUUAUCAAGCAAUCAAAAUUUGAAAUUACUAUUGUCGCAGUUUAUAUUGAUGAUUUGAAUUUAAUAGGAACUCCUGAAGAGCUCCAAAAGACCGCUCAAUGUUUGAAAAAUGAAUUUGAAAUGAAAGAUUUAGGGAAAACUAGGUAUUGUCUUGAGAUGCAGACCGAGCACAGACUUAAUGGUAUAUUUAUCCAUCAAUCAACUUAUACUGAGAGAAUUUUAAAACGUUUCAACAUGGAUAAAGCUUACCCAUUGAGUACCCCAAUGGUAGUCCAGUCUCUUGAUCCGAAAAAAGAUCCAUUCCGUUUUAAAGAAGAUGAUGAACAGAUACUUAGUCCUGAAGUACCAUAUCUAAAUGCAAUUGGUGCUCUGAUGUAUUUAGCACAAUGUACUAGACCAGACAUAGCAUUUUCUGUUAAUUUGUUAGCUCAAUUUAGCUCUGAACCAACUAGAAGACAUUGGAAUGGUGUCAAACACAUUUUUCGUUAUCUUCUAGGAACAAUUUGAUUUAGGUUUAUUUUAUUCUAAUGAACUAACAAAAAAUCCAGGUCUUGUUGGUUAUGCUAAUACAGGUUAUUUAUCUGAUCCCCAUAAAGCUCGUUCACAAACAGGAUAUAUUUUCACUUUCAAUGGUACAAAGAUUUCUUGGAAGUCUACAAAACAGACUCUCGUUGCAACAUCCUCCAACCAUUCUGAAAUUCUUGCACUACAUGAAGCCAAUCGAGAAUGCAUAUGGUUGCGAUCUGUAAUCCAUCAUAUUCAAAGUACAUGUAGAAUAUCUUCAAGUUCAGAUAUCCUAACAGUGAUAUAUGAAGAUAAUGCUGCAUGUAUAGCUCAACUCAGAGGAGGAUACAUUAAAGGGGACAGAACAAAACAUAUUUCACCGAAAUUCUUCUACACUCAUGAGCUCCAACAGAAUAAGAAGAUUAAUAUCAAACAGAUACGCUCCACGGAAAAUUUAGCUUAUAUGUUUAUAAAAGCUCUACCUACAUCUACGUUCGAAAAAAUUGUAUAUGGCAUCGGCAUGCAUCAUUUUAACAAACUGUUAAAUUAAUACAUGUUGCCUUCAGGAAGAGCACUCAACAAGAGGAGCGUGAUCUUACAAGAGAAGAAUCGUAGUAAUAUUGGACACAUAUAUACUGUACUCUUUUUUUUCCUUUUGACCAGGUUUUCCCAUUGGAUUUUUACUGGCAAAGGUUUUUAAUGAGGCAGUAUCCAAUGUCAUUAGGGGGAGCACAUCUAAUGAAUAAUUGGUGAAUCUAAUGGGGAGCGUUGUAAAUCGUGAUGGAUUCCACCAAAAUAAUGCUCUCCCAUUAUCUUCUUUAUUGCUCUUCCCCUUUUUAUAAUUAAUAAUUGUGAAUAACCCCACCUUCUAAUGCCUAUAUAUACCCUUUCUUUGCUAAUGAAUGAAUACAAUUCAAUUUCUUGCUCAAAGCAUUUUGCUUGUUUUCUUCAAUAUUCAUUUGAGUAUUCCUUACUUAAAUAUCAUCAUUAAAUAAUUGCUUACACACAACUCCUUUAAAUUAUAACAUCCAUUAUCUCCGAAUUUAAAAUACUUUCAACAAUUUUUACGGAUUCUGGCAAUUGUUCACGCAACUAUUUUAAUCGAAAAUAUAUAUGGCUCCAUAAACAAUGAUUAUCUCUUGACAGCUGUUCUGCACUUGCUUUUUUUUUUUUUUUUUGAAGAAAGGAAGAAAUUCAUUAAACAGACAAAUGAGAAAAUAACCAGGGUGGUGGAACAUGUCUCCAUUCACCCGGACCUGACACAGAACACCCCACCUUAGCCACAACAUGGGCGGCGGUAUUCGCAGAUCUCCUUACAAAAGAGAAAGUCACCUCUUUUAAGCAAUGAGCCAAGGCUCUACAAUCUGAAAUAAUAAUACCAAAUCCGUUUUGAUAGUCCUUGGAGUCAAUCAAAGCAUUAAAAACUUGUAAACAAUCAGUCUCAAUAAUAAUAGGAAAAAACUGGGUGUUCUUAAGCCAACUCAAGACCUCUCACACACCCAAAGCCUCUGCCUCGCGAGCUCCAAAAUUGCCAAUCAAAGAUCCACAUUUUGCAGCAAGAAAUUGACCCUCAGAAGACCGGAUAACUGCGCCUUAGCUAAUCCUAGUAGUAGCGCGGGAAGUGGCAGCGUCCACAUUGCAUUUAAACCAUCCAACGCGAGGGCGUUUCCAGCAAAUAGAGCCAAGAGUUAAAUCUGCUGGCAUCUGAGUAAAGUGACUCAGUUGACGAGCCUUUUGCCACUGGAACAAGUCUUGACCAGCUUUAUUGAGCACUUGAGACACUCUGCCUACUACAUGCCUCCAAACUUUAGUAUUCCGAUUCUGCCAAAGACCCCAGUAAACCAUUGCAGCAAGACAACUAUCCUCAAUACUACACCGAGUAAAUAAAGCAUCCAACCAAGCACCAAAAUUCACAAAAUUUCCAGCAAAACCAACCAAGGAAACCAUCCAGCAUUGUUUGGCAAAAGGACAAUCAACUAAGACAUGAUAAAUUGUCUCAAGAGAUUCAUUAUAGAUAGUACAAUAAGGGUGUACCUCGACUCGACGACUGAGAAGGUUAUCAGCAGUGGGAACCACAUUUGCCACAGCUCUCCAAAGAAAAUUCUUGAUUUUGGCGGGCACAGCCAGCUUCCAAAUCUUACUCCAAACUCCACUGCCAGGCGGUUCCGAUAUAAUAUCCAUCCACUUGUAACAACUUCGAACAGUGUAAACUCCUUUUGCGUCAGGGAGCCAAUACCAAGUAUCACAAUCCCUCCGAGAGCUAAGAGGAAUUUGGAGAAUGCAGUCUCGAUCUCUUCUGUUAAACACAUCCUUUACAAGGUCAUAAUCCCACCUUCGGUGAUCAGGAAUCAUAAGACUGUUAACAUUUAUGUUUCAUAAUAUUGAUUUUGAUGAUAACAAACAAGAUUAAGAAUAAUUAAUCUUUUAGGAUCAAAUUAUUUUUUAUAUAUUUUAAAUAAAUCAUUAUUUUCACAUUAUAAAUGUUUUAUAUUUAAUGAAAAAAUGAUUUUAAGAAAAAUGAUUGUUUAAAUACAUGAAAUGUUUGUCAUCAUCAAAAAGGGGGAGAUUGUUAACAUAUAUGUUUCCAUAAUAUUGAUUUUGAUGAUAACAAACAAGAUUAAGAAUGAUUAAUCUUUUAAGAUCAAAUUAUUUUUAUACAUCUUAAAUAAAUCAUUAUUUUCACAUUUUAAAGGUUUUAUAUUUAAUGAAAAAUGAUUUUAUGAAAUUGGUUGUUUUUCAAAGUUUAUGGUUUAAUUAAAAGAAUUUUUGAAAACUUUGAAAUAAACAAGUAUUGCUUGAAAUUCUGGUAAAGGACUUAUUUGAAAAGUGUUAUAGCAUUUUGGCUAUAUCAUAAUUUCAGAAAGUUUUGGGAUUAACAAAGCAUUACUUAGAAAUUCUGAAAUUGGACCUAUUUGAAAUAUUUCAUAACGUUUUGGGCCUUAGUACAGUUUUAUAAAGUUUUGGGGUCAAACUAUAAUUUCAAAAAAUAGUGCACUGUGCAGGUUACUGUAGCAAGCGGCUUACCGGAUUCUAAAAACCGGAAAUCCGGAUUCGGGGCAGUAAGCAUCCGAAACGCAAACGGCUAACCGGAUGUCCAUAAACGGCAAGCCGGUUACGACAAAAAAUGUGCAUAACGGCUAGUUUUUGAGUUCAAACUAUAUAAACUCAAAACCAAUUCAUUUUUGGUAACUUAAGCAAGCAAGAACAAGUGCACACAACAUAUAUUGAGCUUCAACUUCGUGAAUCAUCAUUCAUUAAAUCAAAGUGCACACAACAUAUAUUGAGCUUCAACUUCGUGAAUCAUCAUUCAUUAAAUCAUCUUUGUUCUUCAAUUUGUAUAUCCACUCUUAAAGAGAGUUUCAUUGUUGUAUUUAUCAUUUCUCAUAAAAUUGUGAGAGUACAAGUGUGAGAAACACUUAGAGUGAAGAGAUUGGAGAGAUAAUCUCUUGUUGUAAAGGUUUAUUGACACCUCGAAGUCAAUUGUAAUCGUUGAAGCCUUGGAAAGGCUUGGAUAGUGAAAUCCUCAAGCGGGUGAGCUUGGAGGCGUGGACGUAGGCGGGGAUAGCCGAACCACGUAAAAAUCCUUGUGUUCAUUUUCUCUUCCCUUACUCUUUUAAUAUUGUGUUUAUUUGAAUUUAUUGUUUUCGAAUUGAUUAAGGCAUUAGAUUGAAUUGUUGUGUGGUUUGCCUAGGAUAAUUUUUAAAAUUCCAAUUCACCCCCCUCUUGGGUUGCACACUUAUACCUAAUUACUCACAGGAGCUGAUGCUAACGUCGCUGGAAGAUUAGUUGUAAUAAAGCCACUCUCCUGAUCAGGCAGCUAGGGAACCAAGCCAAUAGGAAUGCUCUGUCCACUUCCAACUUGGACACGACUCCCUUGGAUUAAAAUCUUCUGAGCAGCCAAAAUCGAUCUCCAUGCAUAACUCGGAUUACUUCCCAACUUAGCUUGAGUGAAGUCUGCAUUAGGCUAAUACCGUGCUUUAAAUAAUCUGCCCACCAGCGAAGAUGGAUUUGUAAUUAACCUCCAGCCUUGUCUCCCUAGCAUAGCAACAUUAAAGUUGUGGAUGUGUUUAAACUCAAUACCACCAUAAGAUUUGGGCUUACAAAGUUUUUCCCACUGCAUCCACUUAAUUCCACCACUACCAUAUCUUUUACUGCCCCACCAAAAAGAAUUCAGCAUCCUUUCAAGUUCUCGCAGAGGUCGAGAGGGAGGAGGUAAACUUGCAUAGCAUAAUUAGGUAUGGCAUGUGCCACAGUUUUAAUUAAGAUUUCCUUUCCAGCUCUAAAGAGGAGUUUCUGAUGCCACCCUUGAAUUCUCUGCCAAACUUUAUCCUUUAUAUAUCGGAAAAUAUCUAUCUUCUUGCGCCCAACAUAUGAUGGUAAUCCAAAAUAGGUACCAUGGUCUGUAGUAGCUGUAACUCCAAGUUGUUGACAGAUAUUAUGAACAGUAUCCUCAGCCAUAUUCCUACUGAAAGAAAUUGAGGAUUUAUUGUAGUUCACUUGCUGCCCCGAAGCUGCUUCAUAAGUUGUCAAAAUCUUUUUUACCAGGUGAGCCUCCUGAACAGUAGCUUUAAAGAAAAGAAAGCAGUCAUCAGCAAAAAAGAGGUGAGAAACCAAAGGAGCACCUCUAGCAACUCGAGCCCCAUGGAUCAUCCCAGCCCUCUCAUAGUGAUUUAUCAGCAAACUCAGCCCCUCUGCACAGAUGAUAAACAGAUAUGGCGAUAGCGGAUCUCCUUGUCUAAGACCUCGACUUGGCACGAUAGGGCCCAGCUCCAACCCUUCCCGGGUAAUUUUGUAGGUAACUGUAGUGACACAGAGCAUAAGAAGAUUCACCCAAACAACAUCAAAUCCCAACUUCAGUAAAAUCGAUCUAAGAAACCCCCACUCAAUCCGAUCAUAAGCCUUGGUCAUAUCGAUCUUUAAUGCAGCAAUCCCCUCAUUUCCUUGACGUUUCCGUUUGAGAAAGUGCAUUAUCUCAGCCGAGAUUAAAACAUUAUCAGCAAUAGCUCUACCUGGAACAAAAGCACUCUGAGAAUUGGAAAUUAUCGAUCCUAAAACCAUCUUCAUACGAUUAGCAAGCAUCUUGGCUAUAAUUUUAUAGAGGACAUUACAUAAGGAAAUAGGUCGAACAUCAGUUAAGAAUUCUAUAUGUUUCUUCUUAGGAAUAAGGACAAUGGAAGUCUCAUUAAAACCCUCAGGAAAAGAACACUCCCGAAUGAAUCUAAGACACGCCUCAGUAAUAUCAGUACCCACAAUAUUCCAAAACUUUUGGUAAAAUGCUGGGUUCAUUCCAUCAGGACCAGGGGACUUAUCAGGGUGCACAUCAAACACGGCAGAUUGAACAUCUUCAGCAGUAAAAGGUUCCAAAAGAGCUUGAUUUUAUACAUCAGUAAUUUUAGCUUCCACACAACUUAGCACAUCAUCAUAAGAACAAAUCCCAGUAGUAAAUAAAGUUGUGAAAUACUCACGAAUUAAAUUAUUUACAUCCGCAGGAUUAGUACACCAUUGCCCCUCUUGCGUGCGAAGCUUAAUUAAGGUAUUCUUACGCUUCCUUGAUGAGGCCAUGGCAUGGAAAUACUUUGAGUUUAAAUCCCCAUCCCGAAGCCAAAACAUCUUCGAACGCUGCUUCCAAUAAACUUCAUGGCUAUGCAAGAGCUCAUUGUAUCUAUCUCGAGCUUCAGUAAAAUCAGCCAAGCUAACUGUAUCACGCUUGCCCCGAAGCUGAUUCAUUUUAUCCUUGCACUCCUUAAUUUGAACUUUGAAAUCCCGAGUACGAUGAUAGCCCCACCGAACUAAAUCUAAGCUGCAAGCCGGAAUUUUACUGAGAAUAGGAAGCCCACUCGUCAUAGACCAACUCUUCUCAACAAUAUUAGCACAAUCCGGAUUUCUAAGCCAUGAGUUCUCAAAACGAAACUUCAUUGACCGCCGUCUCAAAACCACAGGAGACACAUCCAAAAAGAUAGGGAGGUGAUCUGAACUCGAAGCUUCAAGACACAGAACCUUCGCUUGCGGGAAAAGAUUCACCCAAGCCGAAUUUGCAAGGGCUCGAUCUAACCGUUCUUCAACCCAAGCUUCAGUGCCCCGUGACCGUUCCCACGUGAACUGGUAACCAUCCAUACCCAAAUCAAUGAGGCCCGAAUCUGAAAGGGCAGCCCUGAAACCAUUUAUCUUCCACUGCGGGUGGGCAUGAGAGCCGCGGUUCUCUGAGGAAUUGAGAAGGUCGUUGAAGUCCCCUAGGCAGACCCAUGGUAACGACGAAGAAGAAGCUAGGUACCGGAGAAGAUUCCAAGAAUCAUGUCUGCGAAAUGACUCGGGAAACCCAUAGAAACCCGUAAGUCUCCAGAUGCCCCUUUCACUAUCCUCAACUGCAACGUCUAUGAAAUUACGACCAAACUUCAAUAGUUUAACUUUAAAACUAUUUUUCCAGAACAUAGUAACCCCACCACUACGACCCUUUCUAUCCACCACAAACAAACCCUCAAAGCCUAAUUUAAUUUUGAUGCUUUCUAACUUAUCUCUGUAACAUAAUGUCUCAAUCAAAAAAAUAAAGUCCGGUCUUUUAUUAUGGACCAACUCAACAAGAGCUUGAACUGACCGUGGGUGGCCCAACCCACGACAAUUCCAACUUAAACAACUCAUUGCUGUCGGUGGGCCUGGGAUACAGGGCCCACCGCUGGUCCAUUUUUUGAGUGCUCACUCAUCUCUAUUGUCUCGUUAUCAGCAUGCUCUUCUAAAGUCAAAUUGAUAGAAGGCCCACCUCCUGAUCUUCUCCGUUUUGCAUCAACUAAAAUUAAUGCAGAAUUAUACUCCACAUCAGUUUCCUUCACAAGCAUCGAAUGAUUAGCUAUUAGUUCCUCGUCAAUUCCAGCUACACACGUUGACUUACAGCCUGUUACAAGAGUAUUAGUUUCCAUAGUAGAAGUCAUUGUGGCUUGAUCACUUUCCUUCCCAAGGUCUCCAUGACCAGCUGUCCCAUGAUUCACGCUAUUUUCCAAGUCAACUGCCAUUGCAACAGCGGAAGUUGAGGAAUUACCAAAUUUCACCUCAUCUAUCUCCAACACUCCCGAUCUGAGCCAAUGGUCACCAGUGUUCAUCGAAUUUCUCCGAUUGGGAGCCUUCAUCCAAGGGCCAUAAGGUUUUGUAACAGGGGUAGCAUCGGUUUCAUAUAUUGAAGGGCAAUUUAUAUCAGUGUGUCCUAAAAUGCCAUAGAUAAAACAAAAAUUGUGCAGUCGCUCAUACUUGAAGUCUACCCAUAACCACUCCCCACCCUCCCAUUUGAGGCGCAUUCGUCGUUUAAGAGGUUUCCUAACAUCAAUCGAAACCCUCAGCCUCAUGUAAUUACGCCAUACUCCUGUAAGAUUAUGUUCAUCAGACGCCAAAAAUUCACCAAUAAAGUUGCCAAUACUCUGUAAUAUUUUCUCGGAUUGAAAUCCAAGAGGCAGAUUAUACACUUGAACCCAGAAAUAUGUGUGGAAUAGAGGGAUAUUCUGCGGUUGUUCAACUACCCCAAGUCUCCGAAUGAUAAGAAUAUGCUGGUCAAAAGUCCAGGGACCAGAUUCAAGAACCCUCCUCACAUCAAUUUCAUGAAAGAACUGGAAGAGAAAAAGCGUGGGAGAUAAAUCCUUAAUACAAACACCACGCCCAGGACGCCAUAACGAAGCCAUAGUAUUUUUCAUGGCAAUAAAGUUCACUACUUUAUCCGUGAGAAAUCUUCCCACAAGGCAGAAUUUGGAAUCAAGGCGGAUAUCCCCAGGUUCACCAAUAUCUCCUCUCCAGCCACAAUCAAACCACCCUCCUCCUCUUCGUCAAGUUGCAGGCGCGCACAGAUGUUGCUCAUCUCAGAUGCCGGAGUAUUACUUGAGUUGGCCAUGGAUUAAAGAAAGAAAGGAUCGAAUCCGUAGACAGUAGAGAAAUAACAAAAGGAGACCAGAUUUUACUUGUCAAAAGACAAGACACACACACUUGUCAAAAGACAAGACACGAAUAAUUUUCCCACCUUAAAAGCUGGAAUAUCUUGGAACACUCUAAUGCACACUCGGUAAAAACAAAAGCAUGCUAAUUAAUAAACAUUUUUCACCAAAACCAAAACAGUGCUUGCCAUUUCUUUUUUGCACAGAAACCAAAACAAUGCUCUUAUCUUCCAUGCGGAACUUCCAGCAACUUUCACCGGCAACGGCUGGACAUAUUAGCGAUGGCUGGACAUUUCAGAAUGGAGACGGUUGAUGAAUGUGCGACGGGUCGGGUGCUGGUGGUGCUGGCAGUGGCAGAAAGAUCGCGCUUGGCGGGUGUUAAGUGAUACUAUUUUUGUAGCUUAGUCGCAGUUGCCGGAGAUACGUGGACGGCCAGCAAAAAGUACAUUAAUAUCUAUGUGUUUGAGAAGUUAUUCCAACCUUCUCUUAGAAUACUAUAAUCAGAUUUGAGUGGUUCUGUAAAUCAAGUUUGAACUAAUAAAUCCAUUCGGUGACUGUUAAUCCUAAGUACUAGUGUCGCUUGAUUUUUAUCUUAACCCGACACCGUGUGUUCUGCACUUGCUAUUUGUACUGAAAUAGAAGAUUAUCUCUUGAUGAUUAUUUAAUUGAAAAGAAUUUGUCGUUUAUAUUUGUUCACUGGCCUUUGGAUGAGGAUCACAUGUUUUAUGACAAUCCUAAUGUUGCUAAUGUAAGUCAAGCAAUUAUUUUUAAAUAAUGAUAUUAUAAUUAAAAAUCUAAAAACAUUUAUAAUACUUAAAGACUAAUUCAGAUUAUUAAUUUUUUUAUAUGACUUCAUUAUUAGCUGACAAAUAAUUAAAAGGCCAUAGAACAAUAUUUUUAGGUCCAAUUUUUACAAAACUUGUACUUUCAUUCCUAAGCUAAAAUAUAUCUAACCUACUAACAAUCAAGAAAUAUAUCUAUUCAACACAUAUUUGUUAGAAAGAUUAUCUACUAAUUAAUCAUUGGUUACGAGAUUAAUAUAUUGAAAUUCAGAACUUUUUUUUUUCCUUCUGCAGUUUAAAAAGGAGUCGCCCACGAGUAUUGAAAUAAUUUUAUCAGAUUCGCUUGAAAGUAGUUUUACGAGCAAGCAGUUUUUCCCUCUUGAUCCCCGUAUUCGUCAGCUCCUACUCUUUGCCUUCAAUUCUCAGUCAAGAAAACCUCUCCUGAUUUUCGUCUUUUGAUCUCAUACACACUUUGCUUCUAUUUAUCGUGGUCACUGCUCAUGCUAGCCGUUUUCUUAUUUACCUUCGUUCCCUUUCGCCAUCAGCUAUUUGCAUUUUCAUUGGAUCAAGCAACCCUUUUAUUGAUUCAAUUUUCUGAUCUAAAAAACACUUUGAUUUCCCUUGUUUUGUACAAAUAUCAUUUCUUUUUUCAACUUUGCCUUGUUUUGCUUCUACUUGAUUAUCAAUUGCGCGGUCGUUGACCCUGUUCUAUUUCUAUUCCGUUCACUUCCUCCCCCCCCCCCCCCCCAACAAAAAAAAAUGGACAUUUUGAAAAGCAUUGUUCCUGGAGUUGUAAACUGCUUGUCUCCGCGCGCACAACGCGAAUUUAGUUAUUGGUACAACUCCGCUGCCAACUUUGAGAAUUUCAAGGCAGAACUCGAUAGGCUCAAGGAUGAAAGAGAAAGCAUUCAGCACAGAGUUUCGGAGGCUGAAAGAAAAAGUGAAAAGAUUGAAAAGAAGGUUGAGAAAUGGGUGGUUAAUGCGAACAAGAGCAUUGAGCAGGCAGCCAAAUUCAUUCUAGACGAAGAGAAAGCAAAUGAACGAUGUCUCAUGGGGAUGUUUCCUAAUUGGAUUACUCGCUAUCAGCAUGGAAAGAAAGCAGAAACAGAGAAGGAGGCCUUUUUUAAGCUCCGAGAAGAAGCUGGGAGAUUUGAUGAUAGAAUUUCCUACCGUACCAUUCCGGAGGAGAUUUGGCUCAAGUCUCACAAAGGCUACGAGGCCUUCGAAUCAAGACGUUCUACUUUGGAGGCUAUAAAAAAUGCAUUGAUCGAUGUUGAUGUCAGCAUCAUUGGGGUGUCCGGCAUGGGCGGCAUUGGAAAGACGACACUGGUGAAGAAGGUCGCCAGGCAAGCUAUGGAAGACAAGCUCUUUGAUAUGGUGGUCUUUUCAGAGGUUUCCCAAAUCCCAGACAAAAAAAGGAUUCAACAGGAAAUUGCCGAGAAGUUGGGCCUAGAGUUGGGCGAGGAGGUUGAAUCCAGAAGAGCAAGUAGAAUAUUUGAGCGAUUGAGAGAUGAGAAGAAGAUCCUAGUGGUUUUAGACAACAUCUGGAAACACCUUGAUUUGGAGACCGUUGGAAUUCCUUGUGGAGAAGACCAUGAAGGAUGCAAACUACUGCUGACAGCAAGAGAUCGUAGUGUCCUCUUAAAAAUGGGAUCUAAAGACAACUUCUUGAUUAACAAUUUAAAUGAUGAAGAAGCAUGGAGAUUGUUUAAGAUGAUGGCCGGUGAUGAUGUUGAAAAUCGUGAGUUGAAAUCUACAGCAACAGACGUCGCCAGGGCAUGUGGAGGUUUGCCCAUUGCCUUGACUACAGUGGCAAAGGCACUGAGAAGCAAGAGUCUGCAUGAAUGGAAGAAUUCCUUGCGAGAACUCCGAACGCCUUCAAUGGUAAACUUCGAAGGAGUAUCUGCAGAGACUUAUUCAAGUAUUGAGCUGAGUUUCAACCAUUUAAAAGGUGAGCAACUCAAGAAAAUUUUUCUGCUCUGUAGUCUAAUGGAUAACCGUAUUCUUACUUCGGACUUGUUUAAGUACUCCAUGGGUUUGGGUAUAUUUAAAGGAGUCAAUAAGAUGGAAGAUGCACGAGACAAAUUAUAUGCAUUAGUCCAUGAACUUAGACACUCUUGUUUGUUGCUUGAGGAUGAUAGCAAUGAACAAUUUUCAAUGCAUGAUGUUGUUCGCGAUGUCGCAAUAUCGAUUGCAUGCCGCCACCAACAUGUGUUUUCGGUGAGAAAUGAUGAGGAUGUGUGGGACUGGCCAGAUGAGGAUACACUUCAAAAAUGCAAUGCUAUCUCUUUAAUAAAAAAUAGUAAUUGUGAAUUUCCUGAAGGAUUAGAAUGCCCAAACCUUGAAUUUUUAUAUAUCUCUCUCAAAGAUUCUUCUCGUGAAAUUAAUAUUCCUGGGAACUUUUUUGUAGGGAUGAAAAACCUUAGAGUUCUAGAUUUCACUCUAAUGCAGUUUUCUUCUUUUCCAUCUUCAAUUGAUCUUCUAGUAAAUCUUCACACACUAUGUCUGGAUCAAAGUUCGUUGGGGGACAUAGCAAUCAUUGGGAAGUUGAAGAGUCUAGAAGUCCUUAGCUUUGUGAGGUCUGAUAUUAAGAAGUUGCCCGAAGAGCUAGGUCAACUGUCUAAGCUAAGGCUGUUUAAAAGUCGGCGGCGCUUUUCGGUCAACAGUGAUCGCAAGAGUUUAAGAGCAUUGAAGCUCAAGCUUGAUUUUAUGGACAUUUGCUCCAUGAAAUUGCAGGGCAUCAAUAACGUAGAAUGCUUAUGGUUGGACAAGCUGCAAGGCAUCGAGAAUGUUCUUUUCAAUUUGGACACAGAGGGCUUUUCACAAUUGAAGCUUCUCUGGGUUCAAAAUAAUCCUGACAUCUUUUGUAUCGUCGAUUCAAGGGAGAUGGUCGCUUGUGAUGCCUUUCCUCUUUUGGAGUCACUUGGCCUUCACAAUUUGAUCAACAUGGAGAGGGUAUGUAUUGAUCGGCUCAAAGUAGAGUCUUUCAACAAACUCAAAACCAUAGAAGCAUAUAGUUGCGAUACGUUGAGUAAUAUCUUUUGGCUCUCUACUACAGAAUGCCUUCCAAGACUUGAGAGAAUUGCAGUUAUUAAUUGCAGCAAGAUGAAAGAGAUUUUUGCAAUUGGGGGAGAAGUUGAUAAUGCAAUUGAGAAGAUAGAGUUUGCUCAAUUAAGAUCUUUGAGUCUGGGGAAUCUUCCAGAGGUUACAAAUUUCUGCCGUGAAGUAAAGACUCCUUCAGCAUCACCAAACAGACCAGUGUCGCAAGAGGAAUCGACGACUAUGUAUUGCUCCAGCGAAAUCACUUUGGAUACUUCAACCCUGCUUUUCAACGAGAAGGUGCGUAAGCUUACAUUUUUUUUAUUCUAUCAUGCGUUCUCUUUUGAUGUCAUACGUGGAAAAUAAUUAAAUCAUUUAAAAAAUGGAAAGAAAAUGGAAAAAAGGAUAAAAAGAAUCUCACGCGCUCACUAAUUGAGCUCUUAACAAGUAGUAUGAAUUAGAAUGCAUCAAACUCAGCUGUCAGUUGGAAAUUGAUUCUGACUUGCAUUAUUCUGUAAUCAAAGAAGAAAAUUUCAACAAGUGCUUCCCAUAUGGAUAUUGGAUCUAACGAGAAAUUCUUUUUUUUUUAGGUUGCGUUGCCUAACUUGGAGGCUUUGGAGAUAUCUGCAAUUAAUGUCGACAAGAUUUGGCACUACAAUCAUCUUCCGGUCAUGUUUCCUCGCUUUCAAAAUUUAACACGAUUGAUUGUGUGGCGUUGUCACAAACUAAAAUACAUAUUUUCAGCGUCUAUAAUCGGAAGCCUUAAGCAGCUCCAACACCUACGUAUACGCCACUGUGAGGAUUUACAGGAGAUCAUUUCUGAAAACAGAGCAGAUGAAGAGAUCCCUAAUUUUGUCUUUCCACAGCUCACCACUGCAGAUUUAUCGCAGAAUAAUGAGAAUGAUCAACUUGGUAUUCCUGCACAACAGCCCCCAUUGCCGUUGGAAAAGGUAUGAAGACAUUUUCUAGAUUUUUUGUCUAUAGCUUAUUUUUAGCUUUGAAAAAUAUGGCAAAGCAUCCAUAAAUUAAUACUCAAUAAAUUGAAAACUUUUAUUAUACAAUAAUAUUUGCUAGUCUAGAUUAAGAGAUCAAUGUAGUAGAUUAAUAAUUAUAUGAACUUUUUUUGGUAUAGCAUUUAUAAAAGAAUCCUUAGUCUUUCCAUAUAGAAGAACUUACAAAAUAAAUUAGUAAUUUAUUAUUGUGCAAUAAAAUAAUUUCGAGCCAGUAUGAAUCAACCUUUUUCCCUAAUUUCUUUCUUACCUCUAAAAUUAACAUAUAAAAUAAAUUUUAUCAAUAAUUCAAUUUUUUUAAAAAUAUAAUAUAAAACAAAUACUAUAAAGUCACUGCGUGUGACCGUAGAUCAUCAAUUGACCUCAUUAGUUAUUAUGAUUGAUGAUGAUCAGAUCGUACCCAACUUGAAGGAACUAUCACUAAGUGGAAAAGAUGUGAAGAUGAUUUUGCAGGCCGAUUUCCCACAACACCUUUUUGGCAGUCUUAAACAACUAGACAUUGUUGGAGAUGACUCAGCUUGUUUUCCAAUCUGGAACGUACUGGAGAGAUUUCACAAUCUCGAAAUGCUCAUACUGCGUUAUUUUUCAUCCCACGAAGAGCUAUUUUCGAUGGAAGGAUGCUUAGAGAAACAUGUGGGGAAGUUGGCAAUGAUAAAAGAAUUAGAGCUGCACGGGCACGAUCAUCUGAAGCAGCUGUGCAAACAAGACUCCAAACUUGGCCCCAUUUUUCAGUAUCUUGAAAUUCUAAGAGUAUAUUAUUGUCAAAGUCUGUUAAUUCUAUUGCCAUCAUCAUCGGUAUCUUUUGGGAACCUAACAAAACUUGAAGCUUUCGGUUGCAAGGAAUUGAUACACUUGGUAACAUCCUCCACAGCAAAAACUCUAGUGCAACUCGUCACAGUGCGUAUAUAUGGAUGCAGAGCAAUGACAGAGGUGGUAAUAAAUGACAAAGGAGUUGAAAAAGAAGAGAUUGUUUUCAGCAAAUUGAAGACAUUAGAACUUUGUGAUUUAGAUAGCCUCACAAGUUUCUGCUCUGCCAAUUACACCUUCAGAUUCCCAUCUUUGGAAUAUCUGGAAGUGAUUGGUUGUCCCAAGAUGAAGAUUUUUGCUACAGGAGAAUCAAUCACGCCUCCAAGAGUAAAUGUCUGGUAUGGAGAGACAGAGGAUCGAUGGCUUUGGACCAAUAAUGAUCUAAACACAACCAUACAACAAUUACACGCUGAAAAGGUACGGAUAUACAUAGUACUCUCUAUCUCCCAUGGAAACAUUUUACAAAAUUUUUUUUUUUAAUAAAAUAUAGAUAAGAUAGUUGUUAUAAAGUAAAAGUUUAAAUUGAUGAAUAAGAAUUUUAUUUUCAGCUGUUGGCGGUGCCGUCGAUAUUCUCUACCCAGUACUAAUUUCAUAGGCUUCUUAUGACUUGGGAGUUGUGUAUUUUUAGAAGAAAGCCUCAGCUGGUAAUUAAUUUUUAUUUCAUUUAUUUGAUCUCAUGGCUUGUUUCGCAAUUUCAUCUGAAUUAUUUAGAAUGGGUCAAUCGGCUUACUGUUAAAUUUGGAAUGCAAUUUUAAUGAUUCGUUCAGACUUUUGUGGACAGAUUUUGCAUCAUUGAAUGUCUUCUAGUCUAGUUUAAUUUGAGUUUUUUUUCUUUUUUUUGAGAGUUCCCCUUGUUUUCUAAAAUUUUAUAAUUCCUUGCAUACUUUGUAUGAUAAAAUUUCAUUAAAAGCCUUCAUAUUUUAUAAUUCCUUGAAAACAUCAUUGCUGUUCUGUUAUUUUAGUUUGGUUUGCUUCACACCUAUCUUUCUUUGGAAAUUUUUUUUUUUUUUUUUUUGAUGAUCUUUCGAAAUGCUCUUCCCUAUGAACACAUAAUUAAGACCAGCUGAAAAUCAUUCAUCGGAUAAAAAAUUAAAAAUAAACAAAAUCUAAUCAGAGCAUUAUGCCUAGAACAAAUCCUUAAACCAUCAAAGCAAAACUCUUCGCUAUGAAAAAAUAUACUGUGGAAAUAUUGUUUGAAAACGUUGGAUACCAAGAAAGGGACUAAUUUGGUCUAGUUUUAUGAGAAGUAUAGAAGAACGUUGUUUUCUCUGUUUUUCCUGUUAGAACUCUUUACUCUGUGAUUGUAGAAUGUCUGGAUACUGAUGAAGAUUCAAGUAACUCUUCUCCUAUGCAUCAUUUGAAAUAAGGUUUUUUUUUUUGGGGGGGUAAUAUCUCCUACUGGGUUAUAGUUCAUACAAAGAGAUUCUUAAAUCAAGCCGGAUACUGCUAGAAACAAGUGGGGAAGUAGGCACUGAUAAAAUGGUUAAUCCUGUCGAGACUUAAUCAUUGAAGCAACUCCAAACUGGACUCCAUUUUAAAUAUCUUGACAUUCUAAGACUAUUUUACAAGCAUUUAAGUCUAUUCCCAUGAUCAUCUAUAUCUUUUGGGAAUCUAACAGAACUGUUAGUUUUCCAUUGCAAGGAAUUGUAACAUCCGUCCACUACAGCAGAAAGUCUAGUGCGGCUCGUAUCAAUGAAGGUAGCUGGAUGCAGGGCAAUGACAGAGGUGGUAAUAGGUGACGGAGAAGAAGAUGAAGCACCAAAUUUAAAUUCAAAACAAGAGAUUGUUUUCAGAUAAAGAUUCUUGAAAUUGUCCUACUUACUGCUGACAUUUCCACAAGAAGUUAGAGAAUAUAAAAAAUUCAUUAAUCGUUAGUUUUUAAUUUCAUUAUUCAAUGAAAAGCCCUGUCAAAUUAAAUUGCAAAUCUCAAUGUGCAAGUACCUAAAUUUACAAAAUUUACUUUAAAUUAAUGAAUGAAAGAAUUUAUAUUCUGCUGUUGGAGGAGUCGUCAUCUCUCUCGACAUAGUAUACGAUAUGUUUUGAUCCCAUAGGCUUUUUAAUAUAUUACCUUGUGUUGUUUGAUCUCUAGGUUUAUUUUAUCGUUUCAUCUUAUUAUUUGCAAUGCGUCAGUUGGUUUAUUUGUUAAUUUUGGAAUGAAGUUGAUGCAGCUGAUGGUUGCAUAGGAUGAGUAGGAUAUCACUCCUAUAUCAUAACUUGAGCGGGUAUCUAUUCGGCAAGAAAUUCUGUUUAUUUCGUAGUUAUUUUACAAAGUUUAAGUUAUUUUCUUAUUUUUCUUAUUAUUUUCAAUAUUUUUAUAUUUUUUCUCUAAAUAUAAGAUUUUAAGUAUGAUUUAUUUUAUUUUUCUUAUUUCAGUUAGGAGAACGUUAUUAUGUAAUAAUAUUUCAAGUUUGUCUAUUUUGAUAAAUACAUAAUAUUUAGAAUUUGUGUAAAAAGGGUCCAAUACCCUAAUUUUGUUAUUCAAACUUCUAUUAAUAAAAUUUCAGACUUUUUAAAAAAAUUUCUCUAUGUUUUCAAUCUCAACAUCUAUGUUUCCCUUUCAUCAUAAGUUCUAAUGUCUGGUUCUGAGCUAGCUUUAUGUGCAUAUUAGACAUCAUUGAAGGUCUUUUGAUCUGAGUUAUGAUCAAAAAAUUAUGCUCGCUUCUGUCUGGUUGUAUGAAAAUUGUACAAAAUAAUAUUCUUAUAUAAUUUUUAUCCUCCAUUGUUACAGAAUCCCCAAGCUUCGAAUUUGUAAACUUUGAAAGCAUGGCAGAAAACUUAGUACUUAAUAAGGCUCUGGAAUAAGACUCUUUAUGGCUUCAAUAUUUUACUUAACAUGAAAUUUUCUUUCUAGCUAGCAUCAUUGUGAAGAUAAAUUGUGGUAGUUCUGACAAGUACUGCACAAUUAAUGUUACCAGCAAUCAAUUGGCGUGAGCACCAACAACCAUUUUCAUAUUUAAGCCUUUAGAAAAGUAACACAAAAUAUGGCAAGUGGCAACCACAUCAAACAAUCAAAUUGUUGAAAGAUUUUGAAAGCUUUAAUUUGCUUGAUAUAUAUUUGAAUAUUUCAACAGAUGCAUCUUUUCUCCACUCAUGGGGCACGUUGAGUUAGAAACGGUUUGAAUGUCAAUAUUACUCCAAGUGCCUCCACCGAAUUCAGAAUGAAAAAAAUCAUCUGGUUACCUGCACUUUAGUUUAAGCAGCUAACUAAGCUAAUUAGCACCAAGUAAUUCACAAACUAGUGAGAAAUUUCAUUAGUUAAUUAUCAUACCUGUUAUUAUACCAUAAACCAACCAAUUAAUUUAAACUUUGGCACAUACAAAAUUUGAAAAAGCUGAAAGCAUGGAAAUGUACUAAACAAACAAAAGAAAAUAUAUUUACCACUGCUCUAUUUUGCAGAAGGAACAAUCCAGUUAUUGUAGACACCUGAUGUUACAAUUCAGGAAAAGUAAAAAAGAAUUACAGCAAUUCUAAUAAAAAAGACAUAAAAUAAUUUUAUACAUACUUUCUGGUGGAUAAUAUAACCUAAGUAUAUGGAUCAAUGAUUAGGAUAUCCACUUACAGAUAAAACAUUCUUCAUCACAGAAGCACAGUUUAUCAAAAAGGCAAGGCUGAACCCAGAUAGCAUUGCUAUGUAAGUGUAACUUGUCAAAAGCGGUAUCGAUAAAACCUGUACAUACAUAGAAAGUUAUGGGACCAAAACCAUGAAGAAAAGUAUUUUAUAAACAGAUAUGUUUGAAACAAACUAUCAAAUGGUCCAAAUGCCGCAUGAGGUGUUCAAAAUAUUACCCCCUGCAAUUCAUGUUAUGAUUAUUGGCCCAAUAAUCCUCUCGACGUAAGGGUACAGAGUAAGUUGAAAAACAAGGAGAAUGAAACCUAUAGUAAGUUCAAAAUGAGGACAAUCGACAAUCGUCAAGCAGUUUUGUGGGGGUGAUGCAUGCGAAAGCAAGUACAGAAAACAAGUAACAUUUUUAGUUUCGUAAUAAGUUUGGUGCUGAUCGCGCAAUAUUUCACAUGCAUAUGCCUCGUGGUGUAAGAGAAGUUUGAGCACAAAUAUUUACAGGAACUAAAUUGGAAUUAUCAAUAAAUACCCCCAAUCAACACCUUUAUUGGUCCAAGUAAACCAUUCAAUUGAAAGAAAUUGAGAGAAAAUAUUGUUUGGUUGCUGAGAAAAUAUCUCAGAAAAUUUCCAGAGAACUUUCGGAUUUCUUGUAUUUAUUUUUCUUAGAAAGAAAUGUUAUGAUUACAACUUAUUUAUACUCAAAACUCAAGGAUUACUAAAGCUAAUGACUAACUAAUUCAGUAGAAUCUCCACAUGCAUAACCACAGCUCGAUAUACAAAGUAAUCACACCAGACUGUUAACUACUUAAGCUGAGGUGGCAGCUGAGCUGUCAUUCUGCUUACAUUCAUCUGACAUCACCAGCUUGCUGGUUUUCCUUAGCUUGUGCAGCUUCCUCUUUUCUGCACAAUGAGCUUCUCUAACAGCCCCCCUCAAACUCAAAGGACAAGAGUGAACAUUGAGUUUGGCCCUCAAGUAAUUAAACUGUAUGAAGGAAAGAGGUUUAGUCAUUAUGUCUGCAACUUGAUCUGCACUUGCUAUAUAUUGAAUGCUGAGCUCCUUAUUAAGAACCUUGUUGCGAAUAAAAUGUAUGUCAAUCUCAAUGUGUUUUGUUCUGGAAUGGUAAACUGGGUUCUUGGCCAAUUCAGCUGAACUAAUGUUAUCACACCAAAUAAUAGGUUUAGCUAUGCAGCAUACUCCAACUUCAGCAAACAAGGACUGUAACCAAGUUAAUUCUGCACUAGCUGAUGCCAAUGCCCAGUACUCACUCUCGGCACUUGACCUAGCUAUUACUCCUUGCUUUUUAGAAGACCAUGAUAUAAGAUUAUUACCCAGGUAGAUACAAUAUGCACUCACUGAUUUCCUGUCAUCUAAAUCACAUGCCCAAUCAGCAUCUGUAAAUCCAGUAAGCUCUAUAUUGCCUUCUUUAAUGAUCUUUAAACCAUAGUCCUGAGUGGCCUUUAGAUAUCUUAAAACCCUUUUACAUGCCAUGAGAUGCUGUAGUGUAGGAGCAGAUACAUACUGACUGAGUUUGUUAACUGCAAAAGCAAUCUCAGGUCUUGUCAAAACCAGAUACUGCAUGCUUCCAACAAUGCUUCUAUAGUAUGUAGGAUCUUCAAGAUAAUGACCAAGCUGUCCUUGAACAGACUUCUGUAACUUCAGACCAGUGCUUAAAGGAGUAUCAAUGCCCUUACAAUUAAUCAUAUCAACCUUAGCUAACAAAUCUCUGAUGUAUUUCCUCUGAGACAGAAAUAUGCAAUCUUCAUCAUAUAAGACUUCUACCCCAAGAAAAUAAGAUAAAAUGCCAAGAUCUUUUAAAGCAAAAGUUGAGCUUAGUGUUGCAAUAAAAUGUUCUAAUUCAGCACUGCUAGGACCUGUAACCAAGAUAUCAUCCACAUAUAUCAACACAAGAAUCAUGGAAGUAUGACUCCUUUUCAAAAACAGAGAUGUAUCAGAAGUAGUAUUAGUGAAUCCCCACUGCAGCAAGCAGCUCUUAAGUUUAUCGUACCAAGCUCGAUGAGCUUGUUUAAGUCCAUAAAGAGACUUGUGCAAUUUACACACAUAACCAGGCUUUGUGUUGUCAAUAAAACCUGUUGGCUGAGACAUAUAAACUUCUUCUGUCAAAUCCCCAUUGAGAAAUGCAUUAUUGACAUUAACUUGUCUAAUUUUCCAUUUGUUCAUCACUGCUAAGCUUAAUACCACUCUGACAGUUGCUGGUUUAAUAACUGGACUAAAGGUUUCAAAGUAGUUUACCCCUGCAAUUUGUUGAAAACCUUUGGCAACAAGCCUAGCUUUGUAUUUGGCUACACUCCCAUCAGUGUUGUAUUUAAUCCUAUACACCCACUUAUUAUCCACAAUCUGUUGAUCAGUCUCUUUAGGAACCAAGGACCAAGUAUUAUUGUGAACUAAGGCAUCAUACUCAUCUUGCAUAGCCUUCACCCAUCUAGAAUCACUCAAAGCCUCUUGCACUGAAUCUGGUUCUUUGUGAGUGAGAAUGGUUGUAUACACUUUUGGUUUAAAAGUGCCAGAUUUGCUUCUGGUGCUCAUAGGAUGAAUGUUGGAUUGUAUUUGAGGUAAGUCAACAGGAGGAGUUAAUGAUGUUGUAUUAUCAGAAACAGAGGCAGAUAAGAAAUAUUGUGUAUUAACAGGUAGAUGAGUUUGAGAACUUACUUGCUGUGAAUUUUGAUCAUUUGUUGUUUGUGCAGGAUUUUCUGAGUGAGUUGAGUUGCUGCUAUCAGGGUUUGCAGAUAAGGAAUAACCAGUGCUAUUUUCAGUAAAUGAUUGAACAACAGGCAAAGUGGAAAGAUGAUAUAUUUGCUGAGGAGAAAAGGAAGUAGAAGAAAGAGGUGAUGAUGAUGACUCCGUGAAACAAUGAAAGCUAGAAUCAGUAGAGUAAGAAAAAGUGAGUUCAUCAAAUAUGACAUGUCUUGCUAUGUAAAGAUGACCUGAAGGAUGUAAGCACUUGUAACCUUUGUGUGAUGAACUAUAUCCUAGAAAAAUACAUUUACUGGAAUGAUAGUCAAAUUUGUGUUGGUUAUAAUCCCUCAAGUAAGGAUAGCAUGCACAACCAAAACACUUAAGCAUAUCAUAGUUGGGUUGGUGUUUGAAAAGUUUCUCAUAGGGAGACAAAAGUUUGAGAACAACAGAAGGCAAUCUAUUUAUGAUGUACACAGCUGUAUGAAAUGCUUCCCACCAAAAUUUAAAGGGUAAUUUAGAUUGAGCUAGCAGUGUAAGUCCCAUUUCAACAAUAUGCCUAUGUUGUCUCUCAACCAAUCCAUUUUGAUGAUGAGUGUAUGGGCAGGAGUGUCUAAAAAUGAUACCACACUGAUUUAAGAACUCAGUGAAAGGUCUGUACUCACCCCCCCCCAAUCAGAUUGUAACUGCUUAAUGGUGGUUUGAAACUGAUUUUCAACCUGUGUUUUGAAAAGCUUAAAGACACUUAGAGCUUCAGACUUAAACUUUAGAGGGUAGAUCCAGGUAAACCUGCUAAAAUCAUCCACAAAACUGAUAUAAUAGUGAUAUCCAUCUCUAGUGUAGACAGGUGAAGGACCCCAGAGAUCUGUAUGUAUCAGUUCUAAAAACUUGGUUGUUUUGGUUGUGGAUGAAGGGAAAUGAAGCUUAUGGCCUUUGCCCAUUUGACAAGCUUCACAGAUGUAUUGCAGUGCUUGUAUUAUUUGAUUAUCAGAAAAAUUUGCAGACUUGAUGUUUUUGAGAACAAGCUUUAAGAUAUAUUGAUUGGGAUGACCAAAUCUAUUAUGAAACAAAGCAAUCUUAUUCACUGAUGUUGUACAAGAUAAUGCAGUAGAUGAAUAACAAGAUUUUGAAUGGCUACAAUCUGCAUUAUUAACAUCAGUUACAGAAUUAAAAUGAAAACAUCACAACAUUGACAUUGGCUUAUUUGAACUGAUCUGAGAUAGAAAAGAUGAUUUAGAGAAUGAGUAUGGUUUGAAUAACAGCCUGUAUAAUCCUCUUUCAGCAAUACCCUGUAGCAGAACUUCCCCCUUCAGAGCAUCCUUCACAUAACAAAUAUUUCCAAGAAAUUCAACAGACAAAUGGUUAUCAGAUGUGAGUUUAGAAAUACUCAAUAAAUUUUUGGUAAUUGAAGGGACAAGAAGAAUAUCUUUCAGUACUAUGUGUGGGUGUUUGUGUUGAGCAAAUGAAGUUUUAAAAACAAAUUUAGCAUCACCAACAUGAGUUAUGGGCAAACCUUGUCCAUUUCCAAUGAUAAGCUGAUCAGAACCAUUGAAUUCCUCUCUGACCUGUAUAUUAGCCAUGUUGUUGGUUAAGUGAUGAGUUGCUCCACUAUCAAGAUACCACCCUUCAUCAGCAGGCCCUUCAAAAUUUGCAAGAUAAGCAGCUCCAGGUGCAGAAGACAUUUCAGAUGAACAAUGAGGCAUAGAAGAAUAUGUCACUGGAUCCAGAUUGUAAGACUGAUAAUUUAAGCAGUUCAUAGCAUAAGAAUCAUCAAAAUAUGGUGCAAACUCAGCAUGUGAGUUAAAUGUAGUCAUAUAAGCUGACUUAGGUCCUCUUCCUCUACCAAAAUGCCUUGACUGUGGCACAUAAUUCUCAAUAUAUAUGUGCCAACAAGCAUCAGCUGUGUGCCCUGACUUAUGACAUAUCUGACAAACAGGAAUGUUAUCAUCUGAUUCAGUUCCAGCUAACACAAAACCUUGACCAUAAGGCUUAGGAUGUGAUAAGACUUUGUGAAACUGCAUUGGCAUAGAGUUGCCUCUUCCAAAAUUAUGACCACUGUUAUUAAAGCCUCUAGGAUAUGUAUUAAACAUCAUUCCUCUUCCAGCAUUUCUGUUUCCAUUAUGAAUUUGUCCACGAUAUCCUCCAUAACCAAAACCUCAUCUUCUAUUAUUCCCUCUGACUUGAGAAUAAUUGGAAUUCAUCACUCUAUAGUUAGCAUUGAACAUGACUUUAGUAUUCUGAUUGGUCUGACUUUGUUCUAAUCGUGCCUCAUGUGUUAACAGUAAGGCAUAAGCAUCAUCAUAAGACAUCUUAUUAGCUGUGAUAAUAGAUGCAAGAUCUAAAUAACCAGUCCCUAAUCCAUUUAGAACUUGCAUUAACAAAUCCCUUUCUGACAUAGGACUACCAGCACAGGCAAGUUUAUCAGCUAAUAUUUUGACUUUUAAGCAAUAUUCUUCAACAGACAUGGAUUCCUUUCUAAGUACAUUCAAUUCAUAACGAAGUUGCAUUAUUUUAGCUUCAGACUGAGCUCCAAAUUGUUUCUCAAUAGAUCUCCAAGCAUCUCGUGAAUUGUCACAGUUAAGAAUAGAACUGAGAAUACCUUCAUUAACUGAUGGUAACAGCCAGCCAAGUAGUAUUUGAUCUUGAGCUCUCCAAUUUAUGUAUGCUGGAUUAUCCACUUUCUGCACUGAUCCAUCAGCUGUUGUUUGAAUGAUAUGUUGCUCUGGUAUGAUCUGAUUUUCAGAUAUGAAAUCUUCAAGCCGAUUUCCUCUGAUUGAUGUAAGAACUUGUUUUCUCCAGAUUAGGAAAUUAGAUCGAUCUAGUUUUAUUGGAUUACUGAAUGAGAAUGAGAUCUGUGAAGGUUGAUUUGCAUUUGUUGAAUUUGAAAGUGUUGUUGUGUUGCUGGAACUAGCCAUAUUGGCUCUGAUACCAUGAAAUAAAUUGAGAGAAAAUAUUGUUUGGUUGCUGAGAAAAUAUCUCAGAAAAUUUCCAGAGAACUUUCGGAUUUCUUGUAUUUAUUUUUCUUAGAAAGAAAUGUUAUGAUUACAACUUAUUUAUACUCAAAGCUCAAGGAUUACUAAAGCUAAUGACUAACUAAUUCAGUAGAAUCUCCACAUGCAUAACCACAGCUCGAUAUACAGAGUAAUCACACCAGACUAUUAACUACUUAAGCUGAGGUGGCAGCUGAGCUGUCAUUCUGCUUACAUUCAUCUGACGUCACCAGCUUGCUGGUUUUCCUUAGCUUGUGCAGCUUCCUCUUUUCUGCACAAUGAGCUUCUCUAACAAAAGCCCCAAGGAGAAACCUUGUAGCUAUGGCCAUCCAGAAAUUCACACUAAGCCCAAAAAGAGUGUUAAAAAUAAACCCUGUGAGCAUUUUAAGACAGACAAGAAAUCCAGAAAUUGCCGAAGUAUCAUCAAUUUCAAGCUUGAUCAUAUGAAAAUAGAAGUCACUAACACUGUGAUGCUUCCUAUUAUUAUUACAGGCUUUCGACCACAGCGGUCAGCCACCAUUUCUCACAAAACAGAUGUUAGAGCUCGGCCAAGCAUGUAUGAAGACCCUUCAAUUUCAUCAAGGUAUUAAGAUGUUUGUUAGGAUAACUUCUUGAGGAAUUUGAACUGUUAUAUUGGUCGUACGUACAUACACACACACACACAUACAUACAUAUAUACAUAUAUACAUACAUAUGUAAAUCGUUUCCAGGUGCGAACAUAUGUACUUUUUAAAGCAUAGACUUGGCCCUUUAAAGUUGUAAAGACGCGGGUCCGUAUUGUAAAGCUCUUGUACAGUGCGUUUACAGUGAUGUAAAGUCUCGGUAGAAUGUCUUCCCAGAGUUGUAAAGGCGUGAGUCAGCACUUUAUAAGGCGUGGACAUUCGUACCCAAGACGGACUCCAUACUGUGUGUCAGAAUUUGUUAUACCUUUUUUCUCUUCGUGUGAACGCAAGUUAGAGUGACAUCUAACAAACCACUGCGCAACUUCAAUUUCAUCAUGGUAUUAAGAGGUUUGUUAGGAUAACUUCUUGAGGAAUUUGAAGUGUUAUAUUGGUCAUACACACAUACAUACACACAUACAUACAUAUAUACAUCCAUACAUGUAGAUAUGUAAAUCGUUUCAGGUGCGAACAUAUGUACUUUUUAAAGCAUAGACUUGGCCCUUUACAGUUGUAAAGACGCUGUGAAGCGUUUGUACAGUGCGUUUACAGUGUUGUGAAGUCUCGGUAGAAUGUCUUUGUAGAGUCGUAAAAGCUUGAGUCUGCACUUUAUAAGGUGUGGACAUUCGUACAAAAAACGGACUCCAUAUUGUGUGUCAUUUAUUAAAUACAAUAAAAAAACAUAGAAUAACUCACCCACGUAACCAGCAUAGAAUCCAAUAUCUUGAUCCUUUUUGCAAUGUGAAAAUUCCUAAACUGAAAAAAAAUCAUAAAUGACUGCUGUGAAAAAGCAAUGAAUUAUUUGAAAUAUAAAACUUGUCUUUUCUUAUAUUUCUCAGAAAAUCACCAAGCAUGAUAGGAAAAUAUAAAUUUUCUCACUAAUAACCACUACGCUGAAGGCAAUAAUAAUCCACUCACCAUAAAAUAAAGGAAGGGAAAGAGAGAUGCGACCGGCAGAACUGAAAAAAAAAAUCACAAAAGAAUUGAAAAUCAUUGUAAAUGGUUCUCUCCAAAAUCAUUAUAUCGAGUUGAAGUUGAAAAAUUUUCCAGUUGCAAGCACAACAAUCCAAAUAAUUAAAAGCUUACGAAUUGGUAAGCCUCGUUCCGACUCUUUAAGCUUAUCAACCUUACAGCCUGAGCAGUUCUUAUAAUAUUUCUUCUUCAAUAGCGGCUCUCUCACUUUCCCCUCCGCCAUACUUGAAAAAUUUUCAGCUCAAGUAAUCGUCUUUGUCUAUUCAAUCCUAUUUCAAUGCUUAAAUAUAAGUACUUAGAAAAGAAGUAACAAAAUCAAUACAAAAGAAUCAAUGAGCUUAAGGAUAUAAUCAAACUAGAGAUAUAGUGAUCAUUUAAAGAAUUUUCAACAGAAUUCUAAAAUCAGUUGAUUUUCCAGCUGGGUCUGUCACCACCAUGGUAAUUAAAAUUAUUGGAUCCCAUGCAAAACAAAAAUUUUUCAUUACAUGCCCUCAUAGCUGACGUCCAAUUAAUCAUUACUCUUAUGAGAAUAAUUUUUGGUGACAAGAACAGCGGCAUCCUUGGACGUGGCAAAAUAAUCACAAAAAUCCCUUAUUUUAAAAAAUGAUCAUGAAAAUUUAUUGAGGAACACACAAAUUCAGGAUCUGUGUAACUAUUGUUAAAUACAAAAAAAGGUCUAUAUGCAUUAAAAAAGAGUUUGUAUGUUCAUUUUUUAAAAAUAAGGGAUAUUCAUGAUUACCAUGUUAAGCCACGAGAUGUCGUGUUGUUUUCUAAUUUUUCAUUAAAUCGUUGUUACACAAUUCGACAUGUAAAAGUAAUUUUUUUUUUUUGAGAGAUGGUAACAAACAUAGUGACAAAACUAUCAUAGUACCGUCUAAUGAUGAAACUAAUUGUUAAUUAAUUAAUAAAAAUACUAAGUGAUUGUAACGGUUCCGGUCACAGUCACAGUCAAAUAUAAUUAGGAUAAUUUAAUUUAAAUAAUGUGUAAUUAAAAAAAAAACCCUUUUUCCUUCGCCGCCUCUAUAAUUUAAUUUUGGGUUUGAUAUCUUUAGUUUUAAGAUUUUUGAUUAUUGGGUUUCUUUUUAUUGAAUUUUCUUAGUAUGAAUUUAUUUUGUAAAAGAAUUUUACAAUGAAAUUUGCUCUCAAGGAUUUUGGUAUCAUUAGUUUAGGGUUUCUUUCUAUUGGGUUUUAUUUGUUUUGGUGGGAUUAUUGGACUUAUUUUGUAAUGUACUGAUGAAUGUGUGUUUGAUUUUUUUCUUUCACAUUGGAAUCAUGCUUUGCCUCUGAUUUUGUAAUUUACUAGGUUUAUAAUCUUGGGUUCGUAAUCCGGAAAAAAAUCGUUUCCAUAUAAUUUUAAAAAUAUUAUAAUAAAUUUUUACUUUUUGAUUUAAAUUUUAUUAGUUGUAAGGGUAUGUUAGUACUUAUAUACCCAAUUCAUUUCAAAAUAGGGGUAGUAUAGUCUUUUAAAUUUAUAACAGCCUAAACAGUUAGAAUUAGUUGAUUUUUUUAACAGAAAUAGGGGGAGGUGCAUAUGGUCAAAAGAUGUGGGUGCGCUGUGUGAAAUACUGAACAAUUGGGAGCUGAUGCUUAAUGGAAGGAACAAAAUUCAGGAAAAGAGGAAUCAAAGUGCAAAAUGAAUUAGGAUACCUGAAAAGAAAGAAUGAAAAUAACUUUUUUUUUUUAAAUUAUUUAUUUGGACAUUGUGACAAACAAGUGAUGUGCAUUGUUAAUUCAGAUUGCCCAAAAUGUCAAGUCUUGAAAAACGACAACAUUACAUGAUUCAUGAGAAGCCUAUCACUUUGAGAUUAAUUUAAUUAAAAAAAGUUCCGUUUGCUUAAUACUAAAAUGUCACGCGCAAGUUGUCCUGGACUAGAGAGUCGUUCACCCGUACUUACACCCAAAAGUCACGAGGAUCAAAACCAGAUCUGUCACUGCAUUUGCUUGAAAAAUGAUUUUACUAAUAUAAAAUAUUAGUAAAUAUAUAUUUUGAAAAAUUAAUAUUCGUGUUUCGAUAGCUUUCUAAGUGGUUUAUUUACAGGUAUUCAAAAUAUAUAUAUUUAGUAAUUUCUAUUAAAAUUUUGCGACAAUUGUUUGGCUGGAAUAUUUUUUUAUAAGAAAAAUAGCGAUCUCACACUGAUCCACAGUUGAGCCAAUUACCUAGUUAAAAGCUACCUCAAUAUUUUUUAUUUUUACCCUAAUGCAUGUCUGAUUCUUUUAAAAUUUUACGUUAUAUAUAUUAAACAAAAAUUAUAAUUUUAAUCAUUGAAAAAUUAAUGACAGACAUCUUUUGAAUAAUUUUUUUUUGAAAAAUACAGAGCUAGAGAUAAUGCUAUAAUUGAUUGAAUAAGAAGGCUACAACUUGAUGAUAACUUUAUUGCAAUGUUGCGUGAUCUCAAUAUAUUAUUGGCUUGUGUGAGUAAAAGCUGCUGGCUCUUGUUUUACUAAUUUGCCUUUGUAUUUGACUGGCUCGACAAAGAAUCGAUUUACCUCAUACUCAAAUUACAAACAUCGAAACCGGAUCUGUCAUUACGUUAAUUGGCCUCCUAAAAUAAUCAAUCACUUUCUCUUUAGUCUACCAUCCACUCUUUCCAGUCGCUUAGUUUCAUUCUAAUCAUCUAAACGCUCUUUGCUACUGUUUCUUCUAUUCGUCAUUGUUCUUGUUCUGUUAUUAUUUAGCUUUGCUCACUCCUCAGUCUCAUUUCUUAUUCUGUACCCAUCAGCUCUUUUAGCUCUUUACGUCGUGAUCGAAACCCUUUUCUUGUUUCCUUCAUUUCAUCUGAAAAACACGAACUGCCUGUCCUAUCGCUGUCUCUUUGUUUUUACUUUCCUUUGGCUUUCUUAGCUUCUACGUUUUUGUCAGGAUUCGAGAUGCUGGAAAUCAUUGCGACUAUCGUCUUGGAACUUGUAAAAUGCUUGGCUCCUCCAACUGAACGCCAACUUGUGCAUUUGCGAAAGCGGAACUACAAUGCCAACUUUGAGAAUAUCAAGGCGGAAAUGGAGAAGUUGAAGGUUGAACGUGCGAGCAUUCAGCGCAGGGUUUCAGAGGCGAAAGAAAAAGGGGAAGAGAUUGAAGAGAAGGUUGAAAAGUGGCAGGUUAGUGCGAACGGCAUCAUUGACCGGGCAGCCAAAUUCAUUGAAGAUGACGAGUCAACGAAUAAGCGCUGUGUCAAGGGCUUGAGUACUAUUUGGAAGAGUCGCUAUCAGCUUAGCAAGAAAGCAGAGACGGAGGUGAAGGCCAUUAUUGAACUUGGAGAAGAAGUUAAGAAGUUUGAUACUGUUUCCCACCGUACCAUUCGGGAGCAGAUACGGCUUAAGUCUAGCAAUGGUUACGAGGCCUUCAAAUCAAGACUUUCUACUUUGCAGUCUAUAAAAAAUGCAUUGACGGAGGCGAAUGUCAGCAUUAUUGGGGUGUACGGCAUAGGCGGCAUUGGAAAGACCACACUGGAAACAUCUUGAAUUGGAGAAGAAGCUGUUUUAUCGGGUGGUUUUAUCAGAGGUUUCAUAAACUCCAGAGAUAAAAAAGAUUCAAGGGGAAAUUGCAGAGAAGUUAGGUCUGGAGUUGUCCGAUGAAGCUGAAUAUAGAAGAGCUAGCAAGCUGUAUGACCGAUUGAAGAGUGAGAAUAAGAUUCUUGUGAUUCUAGAUAAUAUCUGGAAACAUCUUGAAUUGGAGACGGUUGGAAUUCCUUUUGCAAAUAAUCAUAAAGGAUGUAGACUGUUGCUGACAGCACGAGAUAAUACUGUGCUUUUAAGUAUGGGCUCCAAAGAUAACUUUUUGAUUGGCAAUCUAACUGAACAAGAAGCCUGGAGAUUGUUUAAGAUAAUGAAUGGUGAUGAUGUUGAAAGUUUUAAGUUCAAGUCUACAGCAAUUAAUGUAGUUAAGGCAUGUGGAGGUUUGCCCAUUGCGUUGAGGGCACUGAGAAACAAGAGUCUCCAUGAAUGGAAGAAUGCCUUGCGAGAGCUCCGAACGCCUUCAAUGGUAAACUUCGAAGGUGUGUCUGCAGAGACUUAUUCAAGUAUUGAGCUGAGUUUCAAUUAUUUAAAAGGUGAGCAAGUCAAGAAAAUUUUUCUGCUUUGUCGUCUAGUAGGUAACAGUGUUUGGUUUUCAGACUUAUUUAGAUACUCCAUGGGUUUGGGCAUAUUUCAAGGAGUCAACAUUCCCUUCAUAUUUACCAAAGGUAAGUGAUAAAUCCUACAUAUCCCACUCAAGAAUGCAUAUGUUUUUUCAAUCUCAAGUACCUAAAGUUUUCUUCUACGUUUAUAAAAAUUUCAGCACCAUCUCCCUAUAAUUCUCCAAGCUCACGACACAGCUAUAUAAGUGUUUAUGCGUUAUGCCAAAACAACACAUGACACCCAUUCACCUAGUACGUACCCAGAGAACACGAGGAGCAGCUACCGAAAAAGCCAUUUUUACGUGGGAAGAAAACUUCAGCUACUAGCUACCAGAGAGAACUAUGCAUUCCCAAACUGUCCAAGCCUGGACAAUUCAAGAAUUAUUAAUAGACAUAUGAUCCUCACUAUCAUCCAAAGAUGACACUAAUACAACAUGUGUCUAUUAAUAAUUUCUUAAACAAGUCUAAGCUUUCAAUGCACGUAUCAAAAGUUUAAAAUUGAAUCUGAAAUUUGAAUAGCACAUAAAUAUCAUAAAUCUCUUCAAUUUAUUCCUGAUACAAUGUAGCAUUAUUUCACAUAUCAUUUCUUAAGCAAAACCAUAAAAAAUACAAACGAUAAAUACAUUUUCCCACUGAUGCAGAUUAUGUUUACUGAGCAAUAAGUUUUAAGCCAUUCAUUUUGAAAUACUUCUGCCUAUUCUUUCAACAUAUAACUAGUACGUACACACAAUUAAUAAAUUAAAAAAAAAAACCUUCUGGUGAAUCUUGCAAAAUCUUCCUUUUUUCUUUUUUUUUUCUUUUUCUUCUUUUUUUUGGGGGUGGGGGGGUGUGUUGGGGGAACUAUGAAUCUUGCAAAUCCUCAAGAAGCUAUGUUAAGACAAGGCCAGCUUACUAUUAGGGUAUGAAAGAUAAAACCUUUUAUUUCCUUUUCAGAAUAAAAAGAACAUUGACAGUGUUAAAAAAAAUCUAGAGGAUUUCAGGCCUCCAGAUCCUUACAAAUCAAGGAUAUUAAAAAAAUUUACUUAGAGGAGAAAGGUUAUGCUCAUUUGUAUCUUGUUAGAAGAAAUUGAUCCAAAGCCUCAGUUUUAAUUAACUUCAUAUAGCCAAUGAUUAGGUGUUUAAAAACCAAUGAAUAUUUUUAUAAGAAAUCGACAAUAUUGUUGAAAGAAAAACCAAAUAAAAAUAAUAAAGCCAAUGAAUAGAUCAAGGCUCUUUGUGGUCUAAAACUAAUCAAACUAAGUUGUGGGCAAAGGCGAAUAUGUUUGUUUGGUCAAUAAUAAGCUCAACAAAUCACUAAUAAUCACCUAAUCACUAUUCCUUAUGCUCUGCAAUAUAAUGGCCUGGGUAAUGGCGCCAAGGCAGAUAAUAACUAGCUAGCCAGUUAUGAUAGUUGAUUAACUUAACCUACUGGAAAUCUGUAGACCAAAACGAAGAAGCUUUGCCUAGAACUAGAAUAGGAACAUUCAUACCCAAAACUGAUAUACACGAUUAAGAAACUUGAUUAUAUGGAUAUUUCUGGUGGCCACACUUAAAGAGAAUUUUCAAAAGAUGCUAAGGUACACCAAAUCCCACUAUUUCAUACUCAUAAACACAAAAACCCAUGGCAAAAAUUAAUGACUAUAUCAAAUAAAAUCAGUCAUAGGACAAUGAGAUUAGGACAACUUGAUUUGUAUACCAUAAAUCUGCAUAGUGAACUAUAUUUCUGUUAGAACUCUGAAGUUUUUCUAUUAAAUUUUUUUCUCUGCUAGGUAAACCACUUUUAACUGAAAUGCUUAAGCCAAUAUUGACAAUCAUAGACAUAAAAGUAUUAAUAGGCUCAUUCAAGUGAAAUGAGCAUUAUUUCACACAUCCUUUAGGUUUUUAAGUUAUUUAGAAGUCAUUCAUGUUAAAAAAAAAAUCAUAUACUUUCAAUAUAAUUAGUACAUACACAAUUAAUUAAUUAAAUAAAUUUGUUUCAGCUAAUAUAGGAACUUAAUUAAUCAAAGCUAGUAGUUAUAGCUAGGACUUGAACGAGGCACCUUUCAAAGUUCAAGAAGAGCAUCUGAACAGAAUGAAAGCAAUUUGUAGAAAUGGUAAUGAUGCUUUACAUCUACAUGCUCUUACACAAUAUGAACUUUCAUUUACUCCAAGCUCUUAUUCUACAAGUCAAUUCAGUUUGUAGACGCACGCCAUUGUAAAAACUUUUGUAUUAUAAUUUCUGAAAAUAGAAUGUAACAUUAUUAAUAUAGAAUCAGCAAUGUAUAUAACUUAUCAGACAAUAUAACAAGCACUUGGUGAGCAUACAAGAUAAACUAAAACAAGUUAUCUAGAAAAUGAAACUAAAACCCAAGCUCCGCUAUUCAUUGUAGAAGCUUUAAACAUAAAAUUAAAGUAAAUCUAAUAGCAAAACAUUAGAAUGGAUAUUGAAAUUAAAGCUAAAUUCAAUAGUAAUUCAAAUGAAUCCAUUUGAACUUUGUAAAUUCCGCAGAACAAAAUUAAUUUGAGUGAGCAAACUCACCAAUGGAACAAGAACACAGGGGCUUCAACUUGUAGGAAUAAAAAAAUAUUGCUGGCGGGACAAAAAUUGACAAUAACAGCUACAAUACGAAUUUUAAAAAAAAUCAAAAUCUAUAAUUACAAGCUAAGUAAGAGAAGAAACUCAUAAUCACAAGCUUAACUCAAAAGAUGAAGGGAGAACACGAUGAAGAAGAAGAUGGCUGGUGUUUUACGCCGUUCGCCGGCAACCAGUUAGGUUUACGAUGGUGGCUAGUAACACGGAGUCCAGCGAAUAGUUUUCUAACUGGAAAUAAAUUUAAAAUUCUAAAAUAGUACCGAACGGCUCAAGCUCUCUAUAUAGUUACUAAUUCAAUUCUCCUUCGAAAGGUUCUCUCUGUCCUAGAGAGAACUUUGAAUGGAAGAGUAAAAGGGUCCUCAUGACUCGAGUAGUCACUCACAGGUGAGUGAAGUAUUUCAUUUCGUUACCUUACAUCCUAGUUCAAGUAGAUAUUCAGGUCCUUUUAUUGGGGUGAGCAGAGUUGGUGAGGGGUAUAAAACACAGGGUAUUAACAACCAAGGCUGUACAUCAAUUUCUCUAUCUGUUAAAAAGAGAGCUUCCAUAAAUAUGGAUACUGAGGAACUGAUUAGGAAAUGCAAAGCUAGGGGAGGAUAAAGAAAAGAUAGUGAACUUUGAGGGAAGCAUGAGGAGCAAAGGAAGACAAGUAGUAGCUGGUUGUUUGGUGGGUAAAAUCCUACACAACAGGAGUGUUAAUCAAGAAGGAUUGAAGAGUGCGCUACAAAUGGUGAGGCGGACAACCAAAGAAGUUCGGAUUGAAAGCUUGGGAAAUAAUGUCUUUUUGUUCAAAUUUGCGCAAGAAGCAGACAAGAAAAGAAUCCUAGCAGGAGGUCCUUGGCAUUUUGACAGAGCAUUGAUAAUCCUCACAGAGCCAAAAGGAAUUGGGGAGGUUACUAGACAAGCCUUCACACAUACUUCAUUUUGGGUACAACUUCGGAAUGUACCAAUCAUGUGUAUGGAAAAGGACAUCCUAAAAGUGUUGGGGGAGCAAAUCGGGACUGUGGAAUAAGUAGAGACGAACGGAUAUGGAGAAUGUAUUAGUGAAAUUGCUAGAAUACGAAUCUCUGUUGAUAUAACACAACCACUGCCCAAAAUGAUUUUUCUCAGACUAGAAGGGGAAGAAAAAAUCCCAAUGCCAGUUGGCUAUGAGCAUCUACCAGACUUUUGUUUUUGUUGUGGACAUAUUGGUCAUAGCUUCAAAGAGUGUGCUCAGUACAAGGGGCAAGCUAAAGAGCAGCUACCAUAUGGGGUCUGGAUGAAAGCGAUCAAGAUAAGUGAAAGAGCAAAACUGAACCGCAGUAGAGUAAAUUGGAGUAGAAACCAUGGGAAAACCGACGGUAAUCCAACAAGUUCAGAGCAAAUUGACAAUGGGAAAUCGCAACAAAGGCGGGUUGAACCAAACCCAGAUAUGGUGCACGGGUCGAAACCAGCAAAUGAGGAAACGGGUCAAAUCAUUGAACAAGCUCGAGAUGCUGAGGUGGAGUGGAAAGCUGAUGAGCAUUUAAUGCAAGAUAUCGGAGGAUCGAAAAAGAAGCAAAUCAGGGACAGUAAGCACGAGGUAGCAGCUGACAAUGGAAAAUCUUUUGGAAAUUCGAGAUUUCAAGCGAGAAAGGAAAAUACGAAAGAGAGGGAAAAUGGAGGAGCUGAUUCAAUUGAAUUAGAUUCGGGUACAGUGGGCUCAGAACACCAAAUUCAAAAAACCAAAAAUCAAGCAAAAAAGGGAACAAAAAAAUAUGGUUUGGAUAAAGGGCCACGCAUGAACUACUCGAGGCCCAAUAGAAGGAAAUGGAAGCUGCAGGCUCGGGCAACAUGUAACAAGAGUGGAUGCAAGGCUAGUCCAAAGGUUUCAAAAAGCUCAAGUUGUCACCUAAUUGGACCAAGCCCAAAACACAAAAACAUAAAGCUUGUUAGCCCGAUUAAAUCAGCAAUGAAGCAAAAACAAGAAGGCUCCCCAGCAGCAAAGCUCAAACUUACUUGGGAGCCGUUGGCAGUGGAAGAAAUGGAGAUGGCAAUUCCAAGCUUAGAAGAGAUAUCGGCGGAGGCUAGUGGCCAGCCCCGCCGGAAGCCAUGAGGAUCCUUAGUUGGAACGUUCGGGGUUUGGGGAAUACCCGAACGUUUCUAGCAUUGCAAAAGAUUCUCUAGUUGCAUAGGCCUCAUCUUUUAUUCUUGUGUGAAACGAAGUUGUUGCCUGCGCAAAUGAACGGGAUUAGUAGGAAGUUGAACUUUGAAAAUUGCUUUAAGGUGGAUAGAAGAGGUAGAGGAGGAGGAUUAGUGAUGUUGUGGAACUCUGAAAUUGAAGUGCAAAUUAAAUCUUUCAGCAACCACCAUAUUGAUGCUAAGGUUCAAACUGAAAAUGGGAAGCACUUUCGAUGCACCGACGUUUAUGGCCAUCAUGAGGCAGGGCAAAAGAAACAUACUUGGACACUUCUGAGGCGGUUGGCAGGAUUAUACCCUUUGCCUUGGUUAUGUUUUGGCGACUUUAACGAAGUAUUGCAUCCUUAUGAAAAAACAUGAGGUAAUGAAAGAGAGCUAAGCUUGAUCAGAAACUUUAGAGAAGCUUUGCGAGAUUGUAACUUAGUUUGACGUGGGAUACAAAGGAUACCCAUUUACCUGGAAUAAUGGGAGAUAUGGGCCUCAUUACAUUGAAGAACAGCUUGAUGGGUUCUUGUGUAACAGGAGCUGGAGUGACAUUUUCUACGAUUGUGCAGCAGCUCAUCUAUCUACUUGGACUUAUGAUCAUUGUCCGUUGUUGAUAGAAGUUCAAGAAAGGGGGAGGGAUUAUGUUGGAAGAGAAAAAAAUCCACUCGAAUUCAUUAUGAGGAUUUAUGGAGCCCAUAUGAAGCUUGCAAAGAAAUAAUCAAGACUGAUUGGAGUAGUUACGGAAGCUAGAAUGAUGCAAAUCCCAUACCCUUAUUUCAAAAGGUGGUUAAAGAAUCAAUGGCUAGGCUGCUUGUGUGGAGCAAGGAAGAGUUUGGAGAAAGAGAGAAGAUGCUGAAGCAGAUUAUGAAUCAGCUGGAGAGGCUGAAACAAAGCUGCGUGCAAUAUGAUAAUGGGGAGGAGAUUAAGAAGUUAGAGGGGCAGAUUCAAGAUAUCCUCAUUGAUGAAGAAAUAUUUUGGAAGCAGCGAUCGAGGGCAGAGUGGUUGAAAGCAGGGAACAAAAAUACCAAAUACUUUCACUACAAAGCAUCAUCGAGGAAGAAAAAGAACCAGAUUUGGGGAAUUGAAAAUGGGUCAGGAAGCUGGACUGAUAAGGCAGAAGAGGUGGAGUAUGAGUUUUACGAAUAUUUCGCAAAACUCUUCACUACAUCAAAGCCAAGUCAAGAAGAAAUUUCGGCAGCAUUAGAAGGCAUCACGCCAAGAGUCUCAAAAGCCAUGAAUGAGCAUUUGGAGCAACCUUUUACACCGGAGGAUAUUACGGAAGCCUUAGCUCAAAUGUCUCCAAUAAAAGCUCCGGGACCAGAUGGUUUUCAAGCAGCCUUCUAUUAGAAGCACUGGAACAUGGUGAAGAAAGGGGUCAUCACAACCUGCCUCCACAUUCUAAAUGAGCAAGGUACUAUGGCUCCUCUUAACCAUACCUAUAUUGCUUUAGUCCCAAAGGUCAGAAAGCUUAAGAGAGUAACAGAUUACAGACCAAUUAGCUUGUGCAAUGUGAUCUAUAGAAUUGUGGCUAAAACGAUUGCAAAUAGGCUGAAACAUAUCCUCCAUCAAGUUAUUUCCCCAACAUAAAGCGCUUUUAUUCCUGAUAGGCUUAUAACAGACAACAUCAUAGUAGGAUAUGAGUGUCUACACAAAAUUAGGCAUAGUAAGGGAAAAAUAAAUGGGCUGGUAGCUUUGAAACUUGAUAUUAGUAAGGCUUACGAUAGAGUCGAGUGGAGCUUCUUAGAACAAGCCAUGACUAGGUUGGGUUUUUCUCCAAAAUGGGUGAAUCUAAUUAUGAGAUGUAUAACUACAGCGUCUUUCGCUGUGAUUAUAAAUGGAGUACCACGAGGAGUUAUCCAACCACAGAGGGGUCUGAGGCAAGGGUGUCCACUUUCUCCAUAUUUGUUUAUCAUGUGCGCAGAAACUUUUUCUUCUCUAAUGUUACAGGCGGAAAGGCAGAAACUCAUUCAUGGAUUAUCAUUCGGCAAAGACAUAAAUAUCUCGCACCUCCUCUUCGCUGAUGAUAGCCUAAUUUUUAUUCGAGCUUCGCCUACGGAUUGUCAGAAUCUGAAAAGAAUUUUUGACUGCUAUACUACUGCAUCAUGACAACUCUUUAAUUUCGAGAAGUCAUCAAUGUUUUUCAGCAAUAACACCAAAGUUGAGCAAAUUUCAGCCAUACAGAAUAUUUUUCAGCUCAAUGUGGUUUCAAGGCAUGAGAAAUACUUAGGUUUACUAUCAAUGAUAGGGAGGAAGAGAAGUAGUUUUUUCCAAGAUGUCAAACUCAAGGUGAUGGAGAAGAUAUCCAAUUGGCAGCAUAAAUUUUUCUCUAGUGGGGGCAAGGAAGUGUUGAUUAAGGCUGUGGCUCAGGCUGUUCCAGCGUAUGCCAUGAGCGUGUUCAAAGUUCCUCUUGGAGUUUGUGAUGAUAUUUAGAAAGCUAUUGCCAAUUUCUGGUGGGGAUCCAAAAAAGAGAAGAGAUGUAUUCACUGGGCGAAAUGGGAAUGACUAAGUAUAGCAUUUAUAAAAGAAUCCUUAGUCUUUCCAUAUAGAAGAACUUACAAAAUAAAUUAGUAAUUUAUUGUUGUGCAAUAAAAUAUUUUCAUGCAAAUAUAAAUCAACCCUUUUUCCCUAAUUUCUUUUUUACAUCUAAAAUUAACAUAUAAAAUAAAUUUUACCAAUAAUUCAAUUUUUUUUUAAAAUAUAAUAUAAAACAAAUACUAUAAAGUCACUGCGUGUGACCGUAGAUCAUCAAUUGACCUCAUUAGUUAUUACGAUUGAUGAUGAUCAGAUCGUACCCAACUUGGAGGAACUAUCACUAAGUGGAAAAGAUGUGAAGAUGAUUUUGCAGGCCGAUUUCCCACAACACCUUUUUGGCAGUCUUAGACAUCUAGAGAUUGCUGCAGAUGACUCAGCUUGUUUUCCAAUCUGGAACGUACUGGAGAGAUUUCACAAUCUCGAAAUACUCAUACUGUGUUAUUUUUCAUUCCACGAAGAGGUAUUUUCGAUGGAAGGAUGCUUAGAGAAACAUGUGGGGAAGUUGGCAAUGAUAAAAGAAUUAGAGCUGUACUGGCACUAUCAUCUGAAGCAGCUGUGCAAACAAGACUCCAAACUUGGCCCCAUUUUUCAGUAUCUUGAAAUUCUAGGAGUAUAUCAUUGUCAAAGUCUGUUAAUUCUAUUGCCAUCAUCAUCGGUAUCUUUUGGGAACCUAACAAAACUUGUAGCUUUCGAUUGCAAGAAAUUGAUACACUUAGUUACAUCCUCCACAGCAAAAACUCUAGUGCGACUCGUAUCACUUUGUGUAUACGGAUGCAGAGCAAUGACAGAGGUCGUAAUAAAUGACAAAGACGGGGUUGAAAAAGAAGAGAUUGUUUUCCGUAAAUUGAAGACGUUGGAACUGCGUGAUUUAGACAGCCUCACUAGUUUCUGCUCUGCCAAUUACACCUUUGAAUUCCCAUCUUUGCCAAUUUUAUUGAUUUCACUACAGGAGAAUCAAUCACGCCUCCGAGAGCAUACGUCUGGCAUGGAGAGACAGCGGGUCAAUGGCUUCGGGCCAAUAAUGUUCUUAACACAACUAUACAACAUUUGCAUGCUGAAAAGGUACGGAUAUACAUACUGCUCUCUAUCUCCCAUGGAAAAAUUUUACAAAAUUUGCUUUUUUUAAUAAAAUAUAGAUAAAAUGUUUGUUAUAAAGUAAAAGUUUAAAUUGAUGAAUAAGAAUUUUAUUUUCAGCUGUUGGCGGUGCCGUCGUCGUUCUCCACCCGGUACUAAUUUCAUAGGCUUCUUAUGACUUGGGAAUUGUGAAUUUUUAGAAGAAAGUCUCAACUAGUAAUUAAUUUUUAUUUCAUUUAUUUGAUCACAUGGCUUCUUUCGCAAUUUCAUCUGAAUUAUUUAGAAUGGGUCACUUGAUUUACUGUUAAAUUUGGAAUGUCAUUUUAAUGAUUCGUUCAGACUUUUAUGGACAGAUUUUGCAUCAUUGAAUGUCUUUUAGUCUAGUUUAAUUUUUUUUUUAUUUGGAGAGUUUCCCUUGUUUUCUAAAAUUGUAUAAUUCCUUUCAUACUUUUUAUGAUAAAAUUUCAUUAAAAGCCUUCAUAUUUUAUAAUUCCAUGAAAUCGUGCGUACUUUUUUCCUAUCUUUCUUCGCCAAUUAUUUGUUUUCAUCAUUGCUGUUCUGUUAUUUUAGUUUGUGCUCUGUUUGUUCAUUUGGUUUGGUUUGCUUCACACCUACCUUUCUUUGGAAACUUAGAAGGCAAAGGAAGUACUUAGAAAAUGCUCUUCCCUAUGAACACAUAAUUAAGAACAGCUGAAAAUCAUUCAUCGGAUAAAAAAAUUAAAAAUAAACAAAAUCUAAUCAGAGCAUUAUGCCUGGAACAAAUCCUUAAGCCAUCAAAGCAAAACUCUUCGCUAUGAAAAACUAUAUUGUGGAAAUAUUGUUUGAAAACGUUGGAUACCAAGAAAGGGACUAAUCUGGUCUAGUUUUAUGAGAAGUGCAGAAGAACAGUAUUUUCUCUGUUGUUCCUAUUAAAAUUCUUUACUCUGUGAUUGUAGAAUGUCUGGAUACUGAUGAAGAUUCAGGUAACUCUUCUUCUGUGCAUCAUUUGAAAUAAGGUCUUUUGUUUUUUUUGGGAAUAUCUCCUACUGGGUUAUAGCUCAUACAAAGAGAUAUUCUCAAAUGAAGCCGGAUACUGGUAGAAACAAGGGAGGAAGUUGGCACUGAUAAAAUGGAUAAUGAAGCAACUCCAAACUGGACUUCAUUUUCAAUAUCUUGAAAUUCUAAGACUAUAUUACUGCUUGUAAAAAUCUUUUAAGUCUAUUCCCAUGAUCAUCUGUAACUUUUGGGAAUCUAACAGAACUGGUGGUUUUCCAUUGCAAAGAAUUGUAACAUCCAUCCACUACAGCAGAAAGUCUAGUGCGGCUCGUAUCAAUGAAUGUAGCUGGAUGCAGGGCAAUGACAGAGGUGGUAAUAGGUGACGGAGAAGAAGAUGGAGCACCAAAUUUAAAUAGAGAUCGUUUUCAGCAAAUUGAAGACGUCAAGUCUGUGUGAUUUAUCUGUGUGAUUUAGAUAGUCUCACAAGUUUCUGCUUUGCCAAUUACGCUUUCAGAUAAAGAUUCUUGAAACUGUCCUAUUUAGAGCUGACAUUUCCACAAGAGUUAAGAGAAUAUAAAAAAUUCAUUAAUCGUUAGUUUUUAAUUUCAUUAUUCAAUGAAAGUCCUGUCAAAUUAAAUUGCCGCUAUUGAAUCUCUCGCUCCCCUUGCAAAUCUCUAUGUGCAAGUACCUAAAUUUACAAAUUUUACUUCAAAUUAAUGAAUGACAUAAUUUAUUUUCAGCUGUUGGAGGAGCCGUCGUCUCUCUCGACGCAGUACGAUAUGUUCUGAUCCCAUAGGCUUUUUAAUUUAUUACAUGGUGCUGUGAAAUUUGAAGAACAAGGUCCCAGGUAACUAUCGUUUUCAUUUCAUUUUGUUUGAUCUCUAAGUUUAUUUUAUCGUUUCAUCUAAAUUAUUUGCAAUGCGUCGGUUGGUUUAUUGUUAAUUUUGGAACAAAGUUGAUGCAACCAACGGUUGCAUAUGAUGAGUAGGAUAUCGCUCUGAGAUCAUAACUUGAAUUAUAGGUAUCUAUCUAGGGCGUAUAAUAUAUCAUUAAUCUAUUACUAUAACAUCGUAUUGGUCUCGUGGUCCAGCUAGAAAUUCUGUUUAUUUCAUAGUUAUUUUACAAGUUUAAGAUAUUUUCUUAUUUUUCUUAUUAUUUUCAAGAUUUUUAUUUUUUUUAUAAAUAUAAGAUUUAAGUACGAUUAUUUUAUUUUUAUUAGAAGAAUGUUAUUAUAUAAUAAUAUUUUAGGUUUGCCUAUUUUGGUAAAUUCGUAAUAUUUAGAAUUAGUAUAAAGAGGGUCCAAAAUCCAAAUUUUGUUAUUCAGACCUCUCUAUUAAUAAAAUUUCAGACUUUUCAAAAACUUGUGUUUCUCUAUAUUUUCAAUCUCAACGUCCAUGUUUCCGUUAUCAUAAAUUCUAAUGCCUGGUUCCAUCAGACCUCUCUAUUAAUUGAGGCUCUUGAAUAAGACUCUUUAUGACUUCAAUAUUUUACUUGAUAUGAAAAUUUCUUUCUAGAUAGAAUCAUUGUGAAGAUAAAUUGUGGUAUUACUGACAAUGAAUAAGUUGAAACAUCAACAGAGAUAAAUAUUGAGCAAUUAAUGUUACCAGCAAUCAAUUUGUGAGCACCAACAACCAUUUUCAUAUUUAAGCCGUUAGAACAGUAACACAAAAUAUGGCGAGUGGCAACCACACAAAUAAUCAAAUUCCUGAUAGAUUUUGAAAACUUUAAUUUGCUAGAUAUGUAUUUUAAUAUUUCAACAGGUGCAUCUUUUCUCUACUCAUGUGGCACGUUGAAUCAGAAACGGUUUGAAUGUCAAUAUUACUCCAAGUGCCUCAACCAAAUUCAGAAUGAAGAAAAUCAUCUGGUUACCUGCACUUUAGUUUAAGCAGCUGAUUAAGUUAAUUAGCACCAAGUAAUUCACAUACUAGUGAGAAAUUUCAUUAGUAAAUUCAUACCUGGGAGGAAACCAGCAUCUUGACGCUUUUGUGACCAAGAAAAUCUGCCAGAACCCCAAUUAAUGAAAAAAAAAUUAUAACAUCAUUUACAUAUAAUUUUAAAAAAUCAAUAGGACACUUACAGAGCACCUCCUACAGCUGGACCGGCAGUUUUGGUAAGCGACACCACUGUCAUAGCAAGUCCAUUAGCAGCUCCUCUUUGAUGCUGUUCCUGUUAUUAUACCAUAAACCAAAAAAAUAAUUUAAACUUUUGACACAUACAAAACUUGAAAAAGCUGAAAGCAUGGAAAUGUACUAAACAAACAAAAGAAAAUAUAUUUACCACUGCUCUGUUUUGCAGAAGGAACAAUCCAGUUAUUAUAGACACCUGAUGUUAUAAUUCAGGAAAAGUGAAAGAGAAUUACAACAUUUCUGAUAAAGAAGAUAUAAAAUAAUUUUUAUACAUACUUGCUAAUGGGUAAUACAACCUAAGUAUAUGAUGGGUGUCGAAGCCAACAAAAAUAAAUUCCUACUCUAAAUAAAUUGUGUAUAGUGAUUGAGCAGGGUCGUGUCCACAGAGAUCGGUAAUUAUUUAAAUCCUUUUGAAACGUAAAACGUAAAAUGGGGGAAUUGUUGACAAUAAUAAAAAUCAAAUUGAAAUAAACAAGAAUGCAAAUUAAAGUUGUAAUUCAAAUUGGAGAAAGCUCUGGUUGAAGGAAUUAACUCAGCUUGAUUCGACUACUGAUCAUUGAUUCAAAUAUAGAUUAUUAUUAUUACUUAUGAAUAGAUCGGUUAUAGCUACUGGGACCCUCUAAUAGCCAAUCUCUCCUUAACUAGUCGAUAACCAAGGUACGACCGUUGGUUAUUUCCCUAAUCAAUAGACAACCCUAGAUACGAUCAUAGGAUUUAAUCAAUUGACAGCCUGAGAAACCAGAGAGACCCAAAUCCUAAUCAACACAUAUGAUGAUUCAUUUAAAUUAGAUUGUUUAUUCUCACAACACAACUCUCUGCUAUGUUAUUUGUCACAAACAUUAAAUUCUUCAUACGAUGAAUCCUUUAAUUGACAAUAGAUUAAGUUGAUAAUUAAAUAGUGGCCAAUUACCUAAUUAACAAACAUAAUCAUGAAACUAAUUUAGAGAAUAAACAAAUACCCAAAAAGCAAUAAAACAAUUAAAGCACAAGAAAGAUCUCACAGUAGUGAUGAAUCAAAGCUUCAUUAUCCUUCAACCAGAAAAAUGGGUUUAGUUCCUUAUAGAGAGAAGAGAAAAAUUAGAUCUAGGGUUUCUUUUUCUCCAAUCCAAAAAUCCCCCUUUUUCACAAUAGAUUCCUCCCUUCAAUACUCUCUCUCUCUUCUCUUUUAGAAUUCUAUUUAAAAUAAAAUACUAAUAUCUGAAAUAUUAAAUUCGUAAUUACAAAAAUAACCAAAAAUACAAAACACGUUAAACUAAAAACUGCAGGUCCGCAGUUGACAGCACGCGCCCACGCCUUAUCAACAAAGUUCUUCUGACGCUCAGAAAUUUCUCCAAGAGAACAAUCCUCCUUAAACAUCAUCUUUUAGCUCAAUUUUAUCAUCAAUCAAUAGAAUUGCACCUACAAAAGUAAAACACAAGUAAAACAUUAUUAUUAAAUGCAAAACAUCGAUAUUAAGGGAAGUAAAUAAUGCAAAACUAGUGCAUAAAUUGCACUCUAACAAAUUCUCCCACACCAAGAUGAUGCUUGUCCUCAAGCAUAUAACUCAAGAUUAAUCCCAAAUCUCCACUCAAUUCUCAUCUCAACUCAUCCAAAAAUAAUUUUAAGCAAGCAUACCUCAAGAAAUUAAGUCGAUCAACAUUCGAGAGACAAGGAUUUUAAAGCAUAGAAUCUCAUAAGAUAGAAUAAGAACAUUCAACCACCAAGAAGAUCCAUUCAAAAUUCAAGUGCAACAAGAUGUAAUAGCCCUCUCAAUAACUUCACUCCAUGCACUCAAAGUGUUUAGGGUGUCAUUUAUCCACUCAAAUCAAAUCAAAGAAUGCUAUUACCAUAAGCUUGCUCAUAAAUCACAUCUCAAUCCACAAAACAUGAAUAAAAUGCAAAAAUCUAAGGGUCUUAAAAGGGUUGUAAUGGGGUUAAAUGGGUUAAAUGAAAAAGAAAGGUUUACGAAAGAAAAAGAGAUCAAAAUGAGAAGAAUGAACUCAUUGAAUGAACUUAUGAUAUCAAAAUGCUUAUUUCUACUCAAGUCACCAAGAAUGUAAACAUUUUUUUUUUCGAUUUUUCUUUUUCUUUUUUUUUUCUUUUUCUUUUUUUUUCUUUUUCCUUUUCUUUUUCUUUUUUUUUCAUUUUUUUUUGUUUUUUUUUUUUUCGAAUCAAACAAAAGAAACGAACCUUGCACAAUUGAAUUCAAGCAUAAUGCUUGUUGAUCUAAUUGAGAAACUUUAAUACAAGGUAGAAAAAGCAACAAAAUAUAUCCAUACAAUGAGUCCAAAAAUCUCCUUAAAUUGAGGCUCAAAAAGAAGAAAAAUGGUUAAGUAGACGGAGAGAAUUAGAUGGGUAAUGGUUAAGGCUCAAACAAAGGUAGCAAAUAAAGGUCUUCGGGUAAAGAAAAAUGAAAAUGCGAGAAUAGAAAAAUGGUAAAUGGUUUGCCCUUAUCAUUUUAAUGCCUAAAAUCCCGUAAUGUGGCUUCAACAUGCAUAACAAAGCAAGUUCUAGAAUAAACAAACUAGGAUUGAUAUUCACAUAACAAAAAUAAUUAGAGCAAAGUGGUUGCUCAUAGGCUCAAAUCCUCACAAAGUUGGUAAAUUUGCCAUCAAAUCAUGUACACUCUUCAAAUGAAUCAACCAUCAAUAGUGGUGUAGAAUGAGAAGAAGGUAUGAGUGAUAUAUAAAAGGAAAGGUAAAAAUGAUAAGAAGUGAGAAAGAUGAAAAGUGAAAGAUAAAAUGUGAGUGAUGAAAGAGUAUGAUAGAAUAAAAAUAGAUGUAAAUAAUUUGAGAUAGAUGGGAAAAAAAAAAAAAGUAGUGAGAAAUAAAAGAAAAGAAAAAAUAAUAAUAUAUAAAGCAUACUAACUCCAAAAUCAUUUAAGGAUGAGUAGAGUGAAAAAAAAAAAAGAUAAGUAGAGUGAAAACAAUAAUUCCAGCAUCAAUAAUGCAAAAAUCCCUCCCCCACACCAAGAACUUACAUUGUCCCCAAUGUAAGAUAAUCAAAGCUCACAUAAAAAUUAAAGCAUAAGGAUAAAAGUUAAAGGGCAAAAAGAAACUUCCCUGAAUUGUGAGCUUUGAUCCACAUAACGUCUAUGGGCUUGGCGGAAAUGGUGGGGUAAAUCCCACACUCUCAAAGUAUGCGGCCAAAUUCUGCUCCAUUUUGUUCAACUUGUGCUCCAUUUUCUCUAACUGAAUGCUCAAAGGUGGUGCGGAUGUAGAAGGAAUAGUUGGCGGGGCAACAGUGUCGUCGUCAAACUCGUCAUCAGAGGUAGCACCACUCCUAGCAUAAAGCUUCUUCGGAAGUUGAGUGGGUCCUGGUUCAGUAAACUGAAAUCUCCCCUCCUUGAAUUCAACCACACCUGUUCUUUCAAACACAAACAUAUCCAAAAAUUCCUUUUUGCAAGCAGGAUGCAAAUCAUUAUUGUCAGGAUCAAGCACACAUAGGUUUAUAGCUAACAGAGUAAUGUAUGGACCAAGAAAUAAAGUCCUAUACCGUUUAAGCACACUUUGAAAUUGAUCCGCUAACCAAAAACCUAAAUUAGGCCUCACAUCAUUUAACAUGCACCAGAUAAAAUAAAAUUCAGUUUUAGAGAAAAUUCCUGAGUGAUAUUUCUUGCCUAAAAAAUUAUAUGCUAAGAAUCGAUGCACACAUUUCAAAACAGGAUCACGUAAGAAAGAACUCUUUGAUUUACUCGGGUCAUAGGCAUUGUGAUCAACAGAUAAAUUACGCCAAAGACCAUAAGGCUCAAAAUUUUUGCUAAAGUCACAAGUUGUUCCUAAAUAUUCAUCACUAGUAGAAUAAUCAUCAUCAAUGAAUCCUAAAGCUAGGUUAAAAUCCGUGAUAGAGUGUGAAAAACUUCGUCCCAUUAACCUAAACUUAAUGACAUCCGGGGUAUGCAAAGUAAAAUCAUUCGGCAUAGUGAAUUGAAAAGUAGCAUAAAACUCCCUAAUCAACUCAACAUAACCCAAGCAAUCAACAUCAACAAACUUACGCAACCCAAUCUUAUCUAUCAAAGAAUCAAAAUUAUCUUUAACAUUUAAUUUUUCAAGAGUCGGGUAAUGAAUAUACUUAGCUGGAAGUAUUUUGCGCGUGGAAAUAUCUUUGUACCUCUCUUUCUCUUGUUGAGUCGCGAAUGCGAGGCACCCUCCGAGAUUGGAUUCCGCAAGUGGCAAAACACUCAUGCCUUUUUCAUGCUUCGAUCUUUGUCUCACGGCUUGGCGUGAAUCUGAAAUUAUGUUCCAUGGAACCGUAGUGGGAGCGGCAAUCUUAGAUUUCUUUGCGACGGGUGUCUUUUUCGACGACUUGGAAGUAGAUGCUUUCCUCUUCGGCAUUGUUACAAUAAUUGCACUCACGGAUUUCGAUUUACUCGGCUGGAAUACAGGGCGUAGGCUGGUUGUGUUGCGCUUGCUGCUCGGCUGGAGCUUGUUGCGCGAGUUGGGGCUGGUUGUGCGCGCUGCUGAGGCUUGCUUUGCGGGUGCUGGUUCGUUGCUGUGUUGCGCGCACGGGGCUGUUGCGCGGGAGAGCCAGUUCACGUUGCGGGUCUGCGUUGCGGAUCUGUUGCGCUGCGCGCGCGGGACUGAUGUGCUGUGCUGAGGCUGAUUCGCGCUGCUGCUGGUUGCGGUGCGCGAUGCUGUGCGCGGCGGCUGGGGCUGCUGGAGCUUGCUGCUGGUUCUGGGCGUACUCGUCUGCUGCUGCUGGUUGCGCGGUGAAGGCUGGAGCUGAUGCUGCUGUAAAACGAUAAUCAACAGUAAUUUUGGAAUUAGGGAUUUGUAAACAGUGAUUUUCGAUUUUUGGUUUUUUUUUUUUUUAUAUAUAUAAAUAAAUAUAGAAAAGAAAGAAAGGAACGAAAAUAAAUAAAUAAAUGAUGAUUUUCGAUUUUCGAUUUUUGGUUUUUUUUUUUUUUUUUUUUUUUUUUUUUUUUUUUUUAGUGAUGAAUCACUUUGAGACACUAAAAAUUUCAGAAGUACUUUUCUAAUAAGUACGUGGGCACGCCUUAUCAAAAAUUUUCUUCUGACCAAAAUAAGCAAACAAAUUAAAUUUCAGAAGUACUUUUCUAAUAAGUACGUGGGCACGCCUUAAAACUUUGUGACAUUAAAAAUCACAGAAGUACUUAUUAGUUAAGACGUGGGCACGCCUUAUCAAAAAUUUUCUUCUGACCAAAAUAAGCAAACACAUUAUUUAUUUUUUUUAAAAAAAAAAAAAAUCUGAAUCAAAAUUAAAAGAAGAUAUAACAAAAACCAAAAUAAAUAAAUCAUUUGGGUUGCCUCCCAAAAAGCGCCUUUGUUUUAUGUCUUUGGCUAGACACAUUUAUGCAUCAAUCUCCAUAAUUGGGACUCUCGAGAGCCACAUCCUCCAUAAUAUUCACCGAAAAACCUUCAUAAAAAGGUUUUAAGCGAUGACCAUUAACCUUAAAAACUUUGUCAGAGGUCGGACUCCGAAUUUCAACUGCACCAUGAGGAAAAACAUUAGUAACAAUAAAAGGUCCAACCCAGCAAGAACGUAAUUUACCCGGAAAAAGUUUAAGCUUAGAAUGAAAAAGAACUUUUUGACCAACAGAGAACUCCUUUAUCAAAAUCAUUCUAUCAUGAAAUGUCUUCGUCUUUUUCUUGUAAAAAACUUCCUGCACUAUAGGGUUAAUAACAUCCACAGAGAAUAUUGAAUGUUCCUCACUAGGAUAUUUCAUGGCAUCAUUCAUAUUGAAUUCUAUAACCUCUCCAUCAAACUCCAUAGUGAGAGUCCCUUUAUGUACAUCCAUUUUAGUCCUAGCAGUCUUAAGAAAAGGUCUUCCUAGCAAAAUUGGGACAGAAUUAGAGGAGUUAUCAUCUUCCAUAUCAAGUACAUAAAAAUCAGCAGGAAAAACCAACUCAUUAACUUGUACUAAGACAUCUUCUAAUACCCCAUCAGGAUAUGCAUUAGACCUAUCAGCUAGUUGAAUUAUCACGCCAGUUUCUUUUAAUGGACCAACAUUCAAAGAUGAAUAAAUGGAACGAGGCAUGACAUUAAUAGAAGCUCCUAGAUCUAACAUAGCCUUUUCAACUCUAACACUACCAAUUUUACAAGGGAUAGUAAACAUACCUGGAUCCUUGCACUUAGGAGGUAGUUUCUUUUGGAGAACUGCUGAAACAUUCUCCCCCAUGUGAACUUUUUCAUCUCCUCUUAAUUUUCUCUUGGAGGUGCACAGUUCCUUAAGGACUUUAGCAUAUCGAGGUAUUUGUUUUAUAGCAUCUAACAAAUGAAUAUUUACCUCAACCUUGCGAAAUGUCUCAAGGAUGUCUUUAUCUUGUUCCUUCUUCUUGGAUUUUGCAAACCGGCUUGGAAAAGGAGGAGGUAUCACAAUAGGUAGGGGUUUCGCUCUUGUGGGUUGUGCAUCUUGAGAUUGAGGCAUCAAUUCAUUCUUCUCAAGCUCAUCUUCUACAUGCUUUGUCACUUUCUUACUAGGCUCUUGCAACUCCGUCCCACUUCUAAGGAUGACAGCACUAACGUUUUCCUUUGGAUUCACCUCAGAUUGUGAAGGCAAUCUCCCUAAUACUUGAGACUCCAGACGGCUCACUGUAGUCGCCAAUUGACUCAUUUGGUUCUCCAAGUUCUGAAUGCUUGCUGUAGUUGCCUGCUGAAAUUGUUGAGUGUUAGUCGCAAGUGAUUUAACAAUUUCUUCAAGAGAUAUACCUGACUUGGAGUUUGACUGUGGAGGUGCUGGUUGUCUUGGUGGAUACUGUUGUGGGAAUCCUGAUUGCCUAACUCCAUAGCUGAAGUUGGGAUGAUCCUUCCAUCCCGGAUUGUAUGUUUGUGCAUAAGGAUCAUACCUCCUCUGAGGCAUGCCUGGAAAUCCUCCAACUGCAUUGGCUUGUUCAACGGGUUCUUCUUGAAGUGUAGGACACAUAUCAGUUGAAUGACCCAUAUUGUAACAAAUGCCACAAGUCUUCACCUGUUGCACAUUACCUACAACAAACUUUUCCACAAGAGAAGUAAGUUUAUCUAAACGUUGUUCAACAGAAGAAAUAUUUACCUCAUUCACCGUUCUUGAAGUGGCAUCUUGUCUGCUGCCAAAUUGUUGUGCAUUGGCAGCCAUAUUUGAGAUCAACUCCCUUGCUUGAGUAGGGGUCUUGUUCACCAACACACCUCCACUAGCAGCAUCUAUCAUACUCAUAUCCAUCAAUGACAGUCCUUCGUAAAAAUAUUGAAUAAGAAGUUGAUCAGAAAUCUGAUGCUGAGGACAGCUGGCACACAAUUGUUUGAAUCGCUCCCAAUACUCUUACAAAGUCUCCCCAGGAAGUUGUCUGAUCCCACAAAUAUCUUUUCUGAUGUUGGCAGCUCUUGAAGCAGGAAAGUACUUCUCAAGGAACUGCUUCUUCAAACCAUUCCACAUUGUAAUCGAUCCAGGAGGCAAGUAGUACAACCAAUCUUUAGCUAGCCCAUCUACAGAGAACGGAAAAGCACGCAGCUUAAUCUGCUCUUCAGUCACGCCUUGUGGCCUCAUACUUGAGCACACAACAUGAAACUCCUUAAGAUGUUUAUGAGGAUCUUCACCUGCAAAACCAUGAAACUUGGGUAAUAAAUGAAUAAGACCAGACUUUAAUUCAAAAUUUACCUCCAAAUCUACAUAUUGAAUGCAGAGUGGUUGCUGAUUCAAGUCUGGUUCAGCUAACUCUCUAAGAGUUCUUUCUACAGGUGCAGGUCUAUCCAUCACUUGUUCUUCUGAAUCACUAGAUGAUUCAACUAAAUCAGGCACCGUAUCUGUUUCAGAAAGCAAAGGCGACGAGGAUCGUUGCUUAGCUCGCUUUGUCUGCUGUCUCAGCUGGUGAGCUGUCUUCUCAAUUUCAGGAUCAAACGAAAGUGUACCUGUACGAGAAGAACGAACCAUACACCAAGUAAAACGUAAAAAGGAUUAAAUAAAUGACACCAAUCCCUGGCAACGGCGCCAAAAUUUGAUGGGUGUCGAAGCCAACAAAAAUAAAUUCCUACUCUAAAUAAAUUGUGUAUAGUGAUUGAGCAGGGUCGUGUCCACAGAGAUCGGUAAUUAUUUAAAUCCUUUUGAAACGUAAAACGUAAAAUGGGGGAAUUGUUGACAAUAAUAAAAAUCAAAUUGAAAUAAACAAGAAUGCAAAUUAAAGUUGUAAUUCAAAUUGGAGAAAGCUCUGGUUGAAGGAAUUAACUCAGCUUGAUUCGACUACUGAUCAUUGAUUCAAAUAUAGAUUAUUAUUAUUACUUAUGAAUAGAUCGGUUAUAGCUACUGAGACCCUCUAAUAGCCAAUCUCUCCUUAACUAGUCGAUAACCAAGGUACGACCGUUGGUUAUUUCCCUAAUCAAUAGACAACCCUAGAUACGAUCAUAGGAUUUAAUCAAUUGACAGCCUGAGAAACCAGAGAGACCCAAAUCCUAAUCAACACAUAUGAUGAUUCAUUUAAAUUAGAUUGUUUAUUCUCACAACACAACUCUCUGCUAUGUUAUUUGUCACAAACAUUAAAUUCUUCAUAUGAUGAAUCCUUUAAUUGACAAUAGAUUAAGUUGAUAAUUAAAUAGUGGCCAAUUACCUAAUUAACAAACAUAAUCAUGAAACUAAUUCAGAGAAUAAACAAAUACCCAAAAAGCAAUAAAACAAUUAAAGCACAAGAAAGAUCUCACAGUAGUGAUGAAUCAAAGCUUCAUUAUCCUUCAACCAGAAAAAUGGGUUUAGUUCCUCAUAGAGAGAAGAGAAAAAUUAGAUCUAGGGUUUCUUUUUCUCCAAUCCAAAAAUCCCCCCUUUUUCACAAUAGAUUCCUCCCUUCAAUACUCUCUCUCUCUUCUCUUUUAGAAUUCUAUUUAAAAUAAAAUACUAAUAUCUGAAAUAUUAAAUUCGUAAUUACAAAAAUAACCAAAAAUACAAAACACGUUAACCUAAAAACUGUAGGUCCGCAGUUGACAGCACGCGCCCACGCCUUAUCAACAAAGUUCUUCUGACGCUCAGAAAUUUCUCCAAGAGAACAAUCCUCCUUAAACAUCAUCUUUUAGCUCAAUUUUAUCAUCAAUCAAUAGAAUUGCACCUACAAAAGUAAAACACAAGUAAAACAUUAUUAUUAAAUGCAAAACAUCGAUAUUAAGGGAAGUAAAUAAUGCAAAACUAGUGCAUAAAUUGCACUCUAACAGUAUAUGGAUCAAUGAUUAGGAUAUCCACUUACAGAUUAAACAUUCUUCAUCACAGAAGCACAGUUUAUCAAUAAGGCAAGGCUGAACCCAGAUAACAUUGCUAUGUAAGUGUAACUUGUCAAAAGCGGUAUCGAUAAAACCUGUACAUACAUAGAAAAUUACGUCACCAAAUCCAUGAAGAAAAGUAUUUUAUAAACAAAUAUGUUUGAGACAAACUAUCAAAUGAUCUAAAUGCCACAUGGUGUGUUCAAAAUUUUACCCCUGCAAUGCGUGUUAUUAUUAUUGGCCCGAUCAUCCUCUCAACGUAAGGGUACAUAGUAAGUUGAAAAACAAGGAGAAUGAAAUCUAUAGUAACUUCAAAAUGAGGACAAUCGUCAAGCAGUUUUGGGGGGUUGAUGCAUGAGAAAAGAAGUUAAGAGGAACGAGUAACAUUUUCAGUUUCGUAAUAAGUAUAAAUGGGGAGCAAGAGUAUCAGUUUUGCACCUGAGAUGGCAAGAACUUGGCCAACAUUUUCGGUUGAGUAACUCAGACCCCCGUACUUCCACCGGCUGAUAGCCCACAGUGAAAAUAUCUAACAGAAUAGUUGCAAUAUUAUGAUUUAAAAAAAUUACACAGAUAAGAAAUUCUUAGGAUCAGUAAUAGCCAUAUGUCUUCUUUAUGUAUAAAACUCUCAACAAUCCCAUCAACAGCAAUAGCACCCUCUGUUUCAGGUAGAAGUUAAGAGAUAACUUUGCAAAUAUCUAACAGAAUGCGAUCUGAUCCAGGAUCCUGGACUUUAUUCAAGUUCGGGAAAGCCAUUGGUCAUUGGACUAUUAAACCAUAUGGCUUAAUAACUUUCCCGAACAUUAACAUAGUUUAGAUUUUGGAUUGGAACAUUUUUAUGUCAUAAUAAAGUAGAAUAUAUAUAUAUAAACAAUCAAGUAGAGAUAUUUAUACCUCGGUGUAAGCGAUAUCAUGAAGCGAGAAAACACAAUAAACAAUAAUAGAAGAAAUAAAGGGCCAAUUCUUCAUGAGGCUUUUCUUAGCAGUGGCCUCCUCACUUCCUUCAUCUUGUUUAAAUUCUGCAUUGGACCCACAGGAUGCGGAUUCCAAAGCAUCACAUGAUACAUCAAGUGAUACACCAUCUUCAUUGUGUUUGUGCAAUGUCUCACACUGAUCCAUAGUUGAGAGAGGCUGUGGGGAAGUUAAUGGAGUUGAAGGAGAGGGAUAAUGAUAAUGAAGAUUACUCUUCAUAUGCUAGUGAGGAUUAUGUCUACUCUUCUAGAGCAAUGACUGAUGAGGACUUCUCAUUCUCAGUAACUGGCUGAACUCAACUUAUUUUUUCUUUCUUUGGCUUUUGGCAGCUGAUGUUCUUUUUGGGGUUAGUAGAAGGAAGGAUAAAGCUGGCAAUUAAAGGAAGCCAUUUAUGUUAAUCUUAGUAAUUUCCCCAUAUAUAGAUAUAUCUUUGAAUGUUUUUAACUUUUGCAAGGUUCAUUAUGUAACGAGGCAGUGACACUGAUUAAACUUGUAUUAUUAUUAUUAUUAUUAUUAUUUUGAAUAGAAGCAAAUUGAUUGUGUUAUGGGUUUCUUUUGCUUCCCAUCGGAUUAGCAACUGGCACUGGCACCGGCAUGAUUGGCAAAGGCCAAGUUGAAGCUGCCUGCAGACUCUCAGUGGACUGAAUUACAUAUUACAUAAUACAAGUGAAAGGAAGGGACUCGUAAAGCUUUAUUGUCGUAGUUUGGAUAAGAUUAAGAAUUGCUGUCGCUUCUUGUCAGAUUGCAUUGAAACGCUAGUAGUCGCUGCUGCGAGCAUUGGUAUUAGAAGAUUAGCACAAGCAGCCCCUACCUAUCAUGGACUCUGAUGUUAUGGACCUUACGGAUAUCAAUUACCUAGUUAAAAGCUAGUUAAAAGCUACCUCCAUAUUUUUUAUUUUUACCCUAAUGCAUGUCUGAUUCUUUUAAAAUUUUACGUUAUAUAUAUUAAACAAAUAUUAUAAUUUUAAUCAUUGAAAAAUUAAUGACAGACAUCUUUUGAAUAAUUUUUUUUUUUAAAAAUACAGAGCUAGAGAAAAUGCUAUAAUUGAUUGAAUAAGAAGGCUACAACUUGAUGAUAACUUUAUUGCAAUGUUGCGUGAUCUCAAUAUAUUAUUGGCUUAUGUGUGAGUAAAAGUUGCUGGCUCCUGUUUUACUAAUUUGCCUUUGAAUUUGACUGGCUCGACAAAGAAUCGAUUUACCUCAUACUCAAAUUACAAACAUCGAAACCGGAUCUGUCAUUACGUUAAUUGGCCUCCUAAAAUAAUCAAUCACUUUCUCUUUAGUCUACCAUCCACGCUUUCCAGUCGCUUAGUUUCAUUCUAAUCAUCUAAACGGCUCUUUGCUACUGUUUCUUCUAUUUGUCAUUGUUCUUGUUCUGUUAUUAUUUAGCUUUGCUCACUCCUGAGUCUCAUUUCUUAUUCUGUACCCAUCAGCUCUUUUAGCUCUUUACGUCGUGAUAGAAACCCUUUUCUUGUUUCCUUCAUCUCAUCUGAAAAACACAAUUGCUUGUCCUAUCGCUGUCUCUUUGUUUUUACUUUCCUUUGGCCUUCUUCGCUUCUACGUUUUUGUCAGGAUUCGAGAUGCUGGAAAUCAUUGUGACUAUCGUCUUGGAACUUGUAAAAUGCUUGGCUCCUCCAACUGCACGCCAACUUGUUUAUUUGCGAUAGCGGAACUACAAUGCCAACUUUGAGAAUAUCAAGGCGGAAAUGGAGAAGUUGAAGGUUGAACGUACGAGCAUUCAGCGCAAAGUUUCAGAGGCGAAAGAAAAAGGGGAAGAGAUUGAAGAGAAGGUUGAAAAGUGGCUGGUUAGUGCGAAGUGCGAACGGCAUCAUUGACCGGGCAGCCAAAUUCAUUGAAGAUGAGGAGUCAACAAAUAAGCGCUGUCUCAAGGGCUUGAGUCCUAAUUGGAAGAGUCGCUAUCAGCUUAGCAAGAAAGCAGAGACGGAGGUGAAGGCCAUUAUUGAACUUGGAGAAGAAGUUAAGAAGUUUGAUACUGUUUCCGUAUCAUUCCGGAGGAGAUACGGCUCAAGUCUAGCAAUGGUUACGAGGCCUUCAAAUCAAGACUUUCUACUUUGCAGUCUAUAAAAAAUGCAUUGACUGAGGCGAAUGUCAGCAUUAUUGGGGUGUACGGCAUGGGCGGCAUUGGAAAUACGACAUUGGUGAAGGAGUGUGCUAGGCAAGCCAGGGAAAGGAAGCUGUUUGAUCGGGUGGGUUUUUCAGAGGUUUCACAAACUCCUAACAUAAAAAAGAUUUAAGGGGAAAUUGCAGAGAAGUUAGGUCCGGAGUUGUCCGACGAAGCUGAAUAUAGAAGAGCAAGCAGGCUGUAUGAACGAUUGAAGAGUGAGAAUAAGAUUCUUGUGAUUCUAGAUAACAUCUGGAAACAUCUUGAAUUGGAGACGGUUGGAAUUCCUUUUGGAAAUAAUCAUAAAGGAUGUAGACUGUUGCUGACAGCAAGAGAUAAUAAUGUGCUUUUAAGUAUGGGCUCCAAAGAUAACUUUUUGAUUGGCAAUCUAACUGAACAAGAAGCCUGGAGAUUGUUUAAGAUAAUGAAUGGUGAUGAUGUUGAAAAUUGUAAGUUCAAGUCUACAGCAAUUAAUGUAGCUAAGGCAUGUGGAGGUUUGCCAAUUGCGUUGAGGGCACUGAGAAACAAGAGUCUCCAUGAAUGGAAGAAUGCCUUGCGAGAGCUCCGAACGCCUUCAAUGGUAAACUUCGAAGGUGUGCCUGCAGAGACUUAUUCAAGUAUUGAGCUGAGUUUCAAUUAUUUAAAAGGUGAGCAAGUCAAGAAAAUUUUUCUGCUUUGUGGACUAGUAGGUAACAGUGUUUGGUUUUCAGACUUAUUUAGAUACUCCAUGGGUUUGGGCAUAUUUCAAGGAGUCAACAUUCCCUUCAUAUUUACCAAAGGUAAGUGAUAAAUCCUACAUAUCCCACUCAAGAAUGCAUAAGUUUCUUCAAUCUCAAGUACCUAAAGUUUUCUUCUACGUUUAUAAAAAUUUCAGCACCAUCUCCCUAUAAUUCUCCAAGCUCACGACAUAGCUAUAUAAGUGUUUAUGCGUUAUGCCAAAACAACACAUGACACCCGCUCACCUAGAACGUACCCAGAGAACACGAGGAGCAGCUACCGAAAAAGCCAUAUUUACGUGGGAAAAAAACUUCAGCUACUAGCUACCAGAGAGACCUAUGCAUUCCCAAACUGUCCAAGCCUGGACAAUUCAAGAAUUAUUAAUAGACAUAUGAUCCUCACUAUCAUCCAAAGAUGACACUAAUACAACAUGUGUCUAUUAAUAAUUUCUUAAACAAGUCUAAGCUUUCAAUGCACGUAUCAAAAGUUUAAAAUUGAAUCUGAAAUUUGAAUAACACAUAAAUAUCAUAAAUCUCUUCAAUUUAUUCCUGAUACAAUGUAGCAUUAUUUCAGAGAUCAUUUCUUAAGCAAAACCAUAAAAAAUACAAACGAUAAAUACAUUUUCCCACUGAUGCAGAUUAUGUUUACUGAGCAAUAAGUUUUAAGCCAUUCAUGUUGAAAUACUUCUGCCUGUUCUUUCAACAUAUAACUAGUACGUACACACAAUUAAUAAAUUAAAAAAAAAAAAACUGGUGGUGAAUCUGCAAAAUCUUCCUUUUUUUCUUUUUUUUUCUUUUUCUUCUUUUUUUGGGGGGGGGGGGUGUUGGGGGAACUAUGAAUCUUGCAAAUCCUCAAGAAGCUAUGUUAAGACAAGGCCAGCUUACUAUUAGGGUAUGAAAGAUAAAACCUUUUAUUUCCUUUUCAGAAUAAAAAGAACAUUGACAGUGUUAAAAAAAUCUAGAGGAUUUCAGGCCUCCAGAUCCUUACAAAUCAAGGAUAUUAAAAAAUUUACUUAGAGGAGAAUGGUUAUGCUCAUUUGUAUCUUGUUAGAAGAAAUUGAUCCAAAGCCUCAGUUUUAAUUAGCUUCAUAUAGCCAAUGAUUAGGUGUUUAAAAACCAAUGAAUAUUUUUAUAAGAAAUCGACAAUAUUGUUGAAAGAAAAACCAAAUAAAAAUAAUAAAGCCAAUGAAUAGAUCAAGGCUCUUUGUGGUCUAAAACUAAUCAAACUAAGUUGUGGGCAAAGGCGAAUAUGUUUGUUUGGUCAAUAAUAAGCUCAACAAAUCACUAAUAAUCACCUAAUCACUAUUCCUUACGCUAUGCAAUAUAAUGGCCUGGGUAAUGGCGCCAAGGCAGACAUUAACUAGCUAGCCAGUUAUGAUAGUUGAUUAACUUAACCUACUGGAAAUCUGAAGACCAAAACGAAGAAGCUUUGUCUAGAACUAGAAUAGGAACAUUCGUACCCAAAACUAAUAUACACAAUUAAGAAACUUGAUUAUAUGUAUAUUUCUGUUGGCCACACUUAAAGAGAAUUUUCAAAAGAUGCUAAGGUACACCAAAUCCCACUAUUUCAUACUCAUAAACACAAAAAACCAUGGCAAAAAUUAAUGACUAUAUCAAAUAAAAUCGGUGAUAGGACAUUGAGAUUAGGACAACUUGAUUUGUAUACCGUAAAAUAACUAUAUCUGCAUGGUGAACUAUAUUUCUGUUAGAACUCUGAAGUUUUCUAUUAAGUUUUUUUCUGUUAGGUAAACCACUUAACUGAAGUGCUUAAGCCAAUAUUGACAAUCAUAGACAUAAAAGUAUUAAUAGGCUCAUUCAAGUGAAAUGAGCAUUAUUUCACACAUCCUUUAGGUUUUUAAGUCAUUUAGAAGUCAUUCAUGUUAAAAAAAAAAAUUCAUAUACUUUCAAUAUAAUUAGAACAUACACAAUUAAUUAAUUAAAUAAAUCUUUUUCAGCUAGUAUAGGAACUUAAUUAAUCAAAGCUAGUAGUUAUAGCUAGGACUUGAACGAGGCACCUUUCAAAGUUCAAGAAGAGCAUCUGAACAGAAUGAAAGCACUUUGUAGAAAUGGUAAUGAUGCUUUACAUCUACAUGCUCUUACACAAUAUGAACUUUCAUUUAUUCAAGAACAUAACACUACUCCAAGCUCUUAUUCUACAAGUCAAUUCAGUUUGUAGAUGCACGCCAUUGUAAAAACUUUUGCAUUAUAAUUUCUGAAAAUAGAACGUAACAUUAUUAGUAUAGAAUCAGCAAUGUAAAUAACUUAUCAGACAAUAUAACAAGCACUUGGUGAGCAUACAAGAAAAACUAAAACAAGUUAUCUAGAUAAUGAAACUAAAACCCAAGCUCCGCUAUUCAUUGUAGAAGCUUUAAACAUAAAAUUAAAGUAAAUCUAAUAGCAAAACAUUAGAAUGGAUAUUGAAAUUAAAGCUAAAUUCAAUAGUAAUUCAAAUGAAUCCAUUUGAACUUUGUAAAUUCCGCAGAACAAAAUUAAUUUGAGUGAGCAAACUCACCAAAAUUAAAAAGAUAUUGCUGGCGGGAAAAAAAUUGACAAUAACAGCUACAAUACGAAUUUAAAAAAAAAAUCAAAAUCUAUAAUUACAAGCUUAACUCAAAAGAUGAAGGGAGAAUACGAUGAAGAAGAAGAUGGCUGGUGUUUUACGCCGUUCGCCGGCAACCAGUUAGGUUUACGAUGGUGGCUAGUAACACGGAGUCCAGCGAAUAGUUUUCUAACUGGAAAUAAAUUUAAAAUUCUAAAAUAGUACCGAAUGGCUCGUUGCCGUCACGUGGUUAGUAACAUAUGUGACCGCAGUGUGGCCGUCACAUAAAAGGUAUUGGGGUUACAAAGUUAGUGAUAUACGUGAUGGCUGCUCUUGCAUUCACAUUAGGGAUCACAUAUACCCUAUUUUCUUGUAGUGCAUGGUAAAUUCUAUUUGAAAAUUGCUAAGUAUUUUAGAUUUGUACGAAUUCAUUUUUGUGUGCUCAUUGGAUAAUAAUAUAUAAUAAAUUAAAUUUUUGGUGUCAACCAUACCAUACCAUACCAUAAAAUCAAAUUUUAUCGUGUCAUUCUUCUUGGUUCAAAUUUUUGGAAACAAUAAUCAAAUGCAUCCAUGAACUAGUAUAUUCCGACAUAUAUAUAUAUAUUGAAAUUUUAAUAACAACAAUUGGGCCAAGCAUAUGUUGGUACUUGAAGAUUUAUAAGCUCCAUCCUUGAAAAAAAUAAGGCUUGACUGUUCUCAAUCUAAAAUUCUUUUUGUUUUAAGUUCUUAAUUAAGCUUUCUUGCUUGUUUUCAAGAGCCAGUUUUGUAAUGAUCGACAAACAUGACUUGCAUAUACUGCACUUGGCUUUUAUGUGUCACUUAUUAAUUAGAUUUAGAUUUUAUGUCUCAUGCACUCGCUAAUUAAGCUCUUAAUUAAGUGCUCCUUAUAUGGAUAUUGUGUCAAAACAAGUGCUUUCCAUACGGAUAUUGGAUCUAAAGAGAAAAUUAUCUUUAGGUAGUGUUGCCAAAUUUGGAGGCUUUGGAGCUGAAUGCUAUUAAUGUCGACGAGAUUUGGCAUGACAAUCAACUUACGGCCAUGAUUACUUGCUUUCAAAGUUUGAUACGAUGGAUAGUGUGGGGCUGUGACAAAUUAAAAUACAUAUUUUCAGCUUCUAUGAUCUUAAGCCUUAAGCACCUCCAACACCUGGAGAUACGGAUAUGUAUGGGUUUACAAGAGAUCAUCUUCAAAGACAGCAGAUCAAGUGACCCCAUAUUUUGUCUUUCCACAAGUGACCACUGUGAAUCUCGAAGGUCUACCAGAACUCAGAUGUUUAUACCCUGGAAUGCAUACUUCAGAAUGGCCAGCACUAAAAAAAUUGGAGGCCUGUAAUUGUGAUAAAAUAACGUUGUCCCAGAAUAACGAGAAUGAUCAAUUUGGUAUUCCGCCACUACAACCCCUGCUCUCGUUCAAGAAGGUAUGAAACCAAAAUUUAGAUUUUUUUUAUCAAUUAUCUUUGUUGUUCCUCACUCACAGAUCAGGAGGUUUAAUAACUACCUAUAUGGAGUUUUUUUCUAGUGGGAAUGCCCUUAUUUUUUACUUUUUUCAUGCGGAGAAGCUUUCAAAUCCCUCGGUUUAAGAGCGUGUUUGUAAUGAUCCACAAACAUGAUUUGCAUAUACAGUAUUGCACUUGGCAUUUAUGUAUCACUUACUAAUUAGAUUUAAAUUUUAUAAAUUAAUUAAACUGAUUAAUAUUUUAUAUGUGCACUGAAUGAUAGAUACUACAUAAAUUGGGACACUAUAACUACGUAUCCCAACUAUGUAAUAUUUGUUUGUCACAAACCCAAUCAUGACCUGAUAUUCUGAAUAUUAUUUAGGAUACCAUUUCAAGCCCCAUGAGGGCUCUUUCCAUUUUAAAAAGUAUGAAAUAGAUGUAGAUUUUUCUUUAGAUAUUAUCAGUGAGAGUACCUUUGGUGGCAGUGGUCCGGGAUGAUUUGUGUUAAGGAAGCUCAUUGAGCACGUGUGUCAAUGAUGAGUCAGCAGUUAGUUGGGUAAAGAAGCCAGCUCAGCAAAUCUGUUAAUCAUGUUUUACGUUCUGUUCUUCAGUUGUUAGUAAUGCUUUUAAUUCUGUUGAGAUAUGAGUUAGUAUAAAUAUGUUGUUAUUGUAUUUGUAAUUGUGAACGUGAGAUUCAAUAAAAAAUAAGUAGUUUCUAAGGAAAAAUCUUAUCAUUAUUUUCUUAGCUUCCAAACAACUUUUACAGUCACAAUUCAACUUUCAAACAUGGUAUCAGAGCCAGUAAGAGCAAGCUCUAGUGCUCAGCAAACAAAUCAACAAAGUCAAAUAAAUUUUUCUUUCAACACUCCAAUUAAACUAGAUCGAUCGAACUAUCUACUUUGGCGUUUUCAAGUUUUUGCUUCCAUAAGAGGCAAUCGAUUGGAAGGCUUCAUCAAUGGAACAAAACCAGCUCCUGAAGAAUAGUUCACUCAAGUUGUAGCUGAUGGAUCUAUUCAGAAAAUUGAUAAUCCAGAAUAUCAGAAUUGGAGAUCACAGGAUCAAACAUUGCUUGGAUGGAUGCUAUCAUCAAUAAGUGAAGGUACUCUAAAUCUUGUCAUAAAUUGUGGUAGCUCGUUUGAUGUUUGGAGAACUUUAGAAAAGAAAUUUGGUGUGCAAUCUGAAGCUAGGGUUCUUCAACUUAGAUAUGAGUUGAAUACUCUUAGGAAGGAAUCAAUGAGUAUUGAAGAUUACUGCAUCAAAAUGAAAAUUGUAGCAGAUAAGCUUGCUAGUGCUGGAAGUCCUAUAACAGAGAAAGAUCUCAUGCUGACAAUUCUUAAUAGCUUAGGAGCAGGUUAUCGUGAUAUUGCUACCUUUAUAACUGGCUCAAAAAUGGACUAUGAUGAUGCUUAUGCAUUAUUAUUGACUCAUGAAACCAGACUUGAACAAGAGCAGAAUGAUAAAAGCAUGUUUAAUGCAAAUUAUGCUUACACAAAUGCCUAUUAUCCAAGGGCAUUCUAUGCCCAAUCUAGAAAUAAUUUUAGAAGAGGAGGAUAUGCUGGUGCUCAGUUUGGUAAUACUGGUAGAAAUCAUACUGCUGGAAGAGGAAAUAUUUUUCAGUCUCCAAGGAUGUUUACUGGCAAUCACAGAGGUGGAUAUGGAAGAGGACACUCAUUUGGCCCAAAUAAUGUUAACUCUUUUCAUGCACCUAGGAAUCCAAUACAAUUUACUAGGACUGGAGUCACUAAUAUGAAUGGACCUCAAGGAAUUCCAAGUAAUGCAGAAGAAUUGGUUUGCCAGAUUUGCUUUAAGCUGGUCACACUGCUGAUAUUUGCUGGCAUCGAUUUGUGGAGGAUUAUGUCCCUUCUUCAAGAAGUCUAGGCAGAGGAAAAGGACCAAGAUCAGCAUAUAUUGCUAAUUUUGAUGGCUUUACAUAUCCAUAUCAAGGUUAUGAUAACUAUGAUAAUCAUCCUGCAUCUGAGACAAGCUGCUAUUCUGGAAUUGAUAACUAUGCACCUACAGAAGCUUAUGUGGCUAAUUUUGAAAGCUUUGCUGAUGAUGGCUGGUAUUUGGAUAGUGGGGCAACUCAUCACUUGACCAACAACAUGGAGAACUUGCAUUUUAAGGAAGACUACAAAGGUACUGAUCAACUCAUUAUUGGAAAUGGUCAAGGUCUGUCAAUUUCUCAUAUUGGUCAUGCAUUUUUAUCAUUUAGAGCUUCAAAACAUCCUUACACACAUGCCUCCACUAUAGCACUUAAAGAUAUGUUACUUAUUCCUACAAUCACUAAGAAUUUACUAAGCAUCUCCAAACUUACAUCUGAUAAUUCACUCUCUGUUGAAUUUUGUGGAAAUGUUUGUUAUGUUAAGGACAUGAAAGGGCAAGUUCUUCUGCAGGGCCUUGCUGAGAAAGGUCUUUACAAGCUGUUGAUGAAAUCUUCUUCCAUGUCAUCUUCUGCUUAUCAUACAUCACCUGCCUUUCAUCUUUCUCAACUUCAGUCACAUAAACCAAUAUCCAUGCUGUCAUGCUCAAAUGUGUCUUCUAUUUCUCAUCAUUGUAAUGUCUCAACUUCAGUCACAUAAACCAAUAUCCAUGCUGUCAUGCUCAAAUGUGUCUUCUAUUUCUCAUCAUUGUAAUGUCUUUGAUAAGACUUGUUUCAGCUCAAUUUCAAAUAAGUGUAACCAGAAACAUGAUGAACUUAUCUUGUUACACAGAAAGUUUGGUCAUCCAAGCUCAACAGUAUUGAUGCAUUUGCUUAAGACUUGUAAACAAGUUAAAGUCUCUCAAAAAUCAAUUUUAUCUCCUGAGCAUUCUAUGUGUGAAGCAUGUCAAUUAGGAAAAGCUCACAAGCAACAUUUUUCUACAACCGAAACCAAAACAACUCAAGUAUUAGAACUGAUACAUACUGAUCUGUGGGGGCCUUCACCUACUACAUCUAGAAAUGGUUUCAAAUACUACAUUAGCUUUGUAGAUGAUUACAGUAGGUAUACCUGGAUUUACCCACUCAAACUCAAAUCAGAAGCUUUUGAAGUUUUCAAAUUAUUCAAAAUCCAAGUAGAGAAUCAGUUCAAUACCAAAGUCAAGAUGCUGCAAUCUGACUGGGGGGGAGAAUAUAGAGUUUUUACUAACUUCUUAAACCAGAAUGGGAUCAUUUUCAGACAUUCAUGCCCUUACACACAUCAUCAAAAUGGUCUAGUAGAAAGAAAACAUAGACAUAUAAUUGAGUUAGCUUUGACUCUCUUAGCUCAAGCCAAUCUUCCUUUUAAAUUCUGGUGGGAAGCUGUUCAUACAGCAGUGUAUCACAUAAACAGAUUACCAACACCUGUAUUGAAACUCUUAUCUCCAUAUGAGAAGCUCUUUAAACAUAAACCAGAUUACAGCCUCCUUAAAUGCUUUGGUUGUCUUUGUUAUCCAAACUUGAGAGAUUUUAACAAACAUAAAUUUGACUUUCAUACCAGCAAGUGCAUCUUUAUUGGUUAUAGCUCAUCUCAUAAGGGAUAUAAAUGUCUUACAAGCUCAGGUCGAGUUCAUAUCCUUAGACAUGUUGUUUUUUAUGAAAGUGUAUUUCCAUAUACAACAUUCUCUGUUCCUUCUUCAUCUGAAAAUGUUGCCAACUCAGAAACACCAGUGUCAAAUUUCUCUAAACAGCAAGUCUAUCAUCUUUUAACUCUACCCUUAUUCAACAGCAGUUUUGAAGAUACUUUCUCAGCAGGUGUACCAAGUGAUGAACAAACUCCUGUUUUGCCUGAGCAUACAGAUAAUUUGAAUCAACAAGAAUCAUCUAGUUAUUCUUUAUCAGAACCAUCAAUAUCACAAGUUAUCCCUCAAAUCCCUGAAUCUACUCAAACACAACCUGAACCACAAACAAGCAAUCAACAACACUCAGAAUAUAAUCCAAACAGAAUUCAGAUCUCACAACCUACACACAAAAUGAUUACCAGAUCAAAGUCUGGAAUAUUCAAGCCUAAGUUAUAUACAGCCACCUUGACCAACAAAGAACCUGACACAAUUCAAAAAGCUCUGAAUGAUAAAAAUUGGUAUAAGGCCAUGAAAGAGGAAUAUGAAGCUUUGAUCAGGAAUGAGACUUGGUCUCUUGUACCACCUCCAGCUGAAUACAAAAUAGUUGGAAACAAAUGGGUGUUCAGGGUUAAACAAAAUAGUGAUGGCAGUAUAGCAAAGUACAAAGCUAGAUUGGUUGCUAAAGGUUUCCAACAAACUGAAGGGAUUGAUUAUUUCGAAACUUUUAGCCCUGUUAUAAAGGCUUCCACAGUGAGGGUUAUAUUAAGCCUGGCUGCAAUGCAGAGUUGGAUGAUCAGACAGGUAGAUGUUAAUAAUGCUUUUCUGAAUGGUGACUUAACAGAAGAUGUCUACAUGUGUCAGCCUGAGGAUUUUGUUGAUGAGAAGAGAUCAGGCUAUGUAUGUAAGUUGAAGAAGGCUUUAUAUGGUUUGAAACAAGCUCCCAGAGCUUGGUUUGAUAAACUAAAAGGCUGUUUGGUUGCAAACUGGGGAUUUCAAAAUUCCAGAGCUGAUACCUCACUAUUCUUUAAAGGAAAACAAGAUUCAAUGAUAUUAGUUUUGAUCUAUGUUGAUGACAUACUGAUAACAGGGCCUAACAGUGAUGAACUUGAAAAGUUUAUUUCAGACUUCAGCAAAGUGUUUGCAUUGAAAGAUUUGGGAAGACUCUCAUAUUUUCUGGGUAUAGAAGUAUCUUAUGCUGAGAAUAACAUUUACUUAUCUCAAAGAAAAUAUGUUAGAGACCUGCUAAGUAAAGCUGAUAUGCUUCACUGCAAAGGGUGUGAUACACCAAUGGUUACAGGGACAAAACUUCAAAAGGAAGCUAAGGGAUCUUUGGGUCAGCAUGUUGAAGAUGCAACAAGUUAUAGAAGUUUAAUUGGAGGGCUGCAGUAUUUGGUUCUGACCAGGCCAGAGAUAGCUUUUGCAGUGAACAAGCUAAGCCAAUAUGUUUAUACACCUACACUACAACAUAUCCUAGCCUGUAAGAGAAUGCUUAGAUAUUUGAAAGAGACAGAAGACUAUGGAUUAAAGUUUUCAGCUGAUGGAGAAAUAAAGUUAACAGGUUUCACAGAUGCAGAUUGGGCAUGUGAUAUUGAUGAUAGGAAAUCAACAGGUGCAUACUGUAUUUACUUGGGAAAUAACUUGAUCUCUUGGUCAUCCAAGAAGCAAUCCAUAGUUACAAAGUCAAGUGCAGAGAGUGAGUACAGAGCUCUUGCUUCUGCAAGUGCAGAAAUUACAUGGUUACAGUCAUUGUUCAAGGAACUCAAGAUUGAAUGUAUUUCAGUGCCCACAAUCUGGUGUGACAAUAUAAGUGCAACUGAGCUGGCCAAAAAUCCUGUCUACCACUCGAGAACCAAACACAUUGAAUUGGACAUGCACUUUAUAAGAGACAAAGUGUUAGCAAGAGAGCUGGAAAUCAAUUACAUUCCCAGUGAAGAACAGAUUGCAGACAUCUUGACCAAGCCUCUCACAUUCACUCAAUUCAAUUAUCUCAGGAGCAAACUUAAUGUGCAGCCAUGCCCCUUAAGUUUGAGGGGGGCUGUUAAGGAAGCUCAUUGAGCACGUGUGUCAAUGAUGAGUCAGCAGUUAGUUGGGUAAAGAAGCCAGCUCAGCAAAUCUGUUAAUCAUGUUUUACGUUCUGUUCUUCAGUUGUUAGUAAUGCUUUUAAUUCUGUUGAGAUAUGAGUUAGUAUAAAUAUGUUGUUAUUGUAUUUGUAAUUGUGAACGUGAGAUUCAAUAAAAAAUAAGUAGUUUCUAAGGAAAAAUCUUAUCAUUAUUUUCUUAGCUUCCAAACAACUUUUACAGUCACAAUUCAACUUUCAAACAAUUUGGGAUUUGACAAUUCCACUCUCAUCUUAAUUAUCAAAUGGAAUGUAAGUAGAGAUAAACUUGUCCUGUUUAUAUAUUUGUGAUCAAAAUUAGGACCAAUAUAAAAAAUAUUAGGGUCCGACUAUCUAUACUUUAAAAAUCAUUAUGAACACUUAAUUAUUUAUGUACUCAGCUAAUAAAUUUAAAAAAUUAAGUUUUACUUUCCACACUUUUUUUAGGAGUACUUUCUACACUUUUUAAAAUAACAAAAACAUCUUUACAUGAACUUAAUAAGUUUCUUUAAAAAAAUUAAAUCAACUAUUUUUAUUUAUUCAAAAUACUAAUAAAAAUAUUUAGCAGACCGUGAAAGAAAAUUUUUAAGAAAUUUAACACGAUUUUAGUUAUUACUUAUUGUUUAUUAAAGAAUGUGUUCACUAUUGUAUUUAAUUUUGUUAGUAAAAAAAAAAAGAAGAAGUUUGGGUUUAAGAUACAUUUAAUUUUUAGUGUAACAGUUGUAUCAAAACAAUAAAAACUAAAAGAUCCAAAAGUCACAAGUUCCAACACCACCCAAAUAAAAAGGUCUGUUAAGAUUAUUUUUGGGAAGCUCAAAAGUGAUUUUAAAAAUUUAAAACUAAUUUUUAGUGUUUUAUAAAUUUUUUAGUAAUUACUUUUGGCAAAAUCAUCUCAUUGUACAGUAGAUUUUGAAAAAGUAGGGAAUGAAUAAUUUUUCAAAAUAUGAUUUUGAGAAUCACUUUUAUAUUUAAUCAAAUUCUAUAUAUAUAUACUCAUUAUAUAAUAAAAAUUCAAAAUUAUCUUUAUUAAUUAAGAAAUAAAAUGAUUAACUUUAAAGAGAUUAUUAUUAUUACCAAUUAUAUUGAGAUAAAAAAAUAGAGAAUAAAAUUUAAUAAUAUAAAAUAUUUAUUUUAGUUAUCAAUAAUUAUAUGUACAAUAAAAAUAUUUUAUAUACAUGUUUAUAAAUGUGUAAAUAAAUUUUAUUUAACAUUAUGUCCAAUUCAGUCAUUUACAUUUUUGGUCCAAUUUAACAAUAAGAUUUACGAAAUAUAUACGACGCUUUUAAAACUAAAAGUAUUUUUAAAAAUAAAUUUUACUAAAUGUUCAGCUGAUUCUCUUGACGAUUGAUCAAUUUCUACAGCAUAGCUAACUGUAAUUAUUUUAAAGGCUACAGGAUUACCAAACUGACCCUAAAUCAAACCAAUAAAAAUGUUUAAAAAUAAUAAUAAUAAACCAAAGUAAACGUACAAAAAUUCAUGCAUAAAUUGAUAAUCAACAAAAACAUCCACAAGUUUACCUCCAAGUUUUCUAUUCAAUUGACAUAACCCUUAAAUUUCAAAAGGCAUAAUCAAUUUUUGUCUAAUCCUAUAAAAUUAGAAAAUUAAAGAAUAUUAUGUACUGAUAAUUAAAUAAUAUGCAAUUAACAAUGUUAAAAAAAAUAAUGUUAAACAUAUUGUCAACUAAAACAAUUGGGAUUAACGAGCUGCUAUUGAAAUUAAUGUUAAAAAAAAUAAUGUUAAACAUAUUGUCAACUAAAACAAGCAUCAUGUGCAGUACCCACCGUGAUCUACUCACAUUGGAAUAAGUUGUUGGCAGCUGGUAAAAAAUUCAAUGUUGAUUUUGAUCCCACUAAAUUAAGUCAUCAAAAAUUGCUGGGAAGGGAGUAAUAUCUAUUUAUAACUGGAAAUUAGUCACCGUACAAAGAUGAUUGGAGCUGCAUAUAUCGUUUAUUAUUAACAACUAACUUAUGAAAUGCUUUGAAUGUACCUCCUAGGUCGUAUUAUUUACUAUACUAGUUAGGAGAAAUUGCAAUGUUAAAUUAUUUGAUAAAUACUUAUUAUAAUUUGAAAAUAUGUUAAUUUUGUCCUCCAUUUAUGAUAAAAAAUUUUGUAAUAUAUAUAAAUCAUUCAUUCUAUAAUCUUGAACUUUAUUAAAGUUCGAAAAACUAUUACUCUAUAUGAUAUAAUAGUGUGAUGUUAUUACACUAUUAUACCAUAUAAAAUAUAUUUGCUUUCUCAAAUUUUAAUAAAGUCUAGGUCUUGGACAGAAGCACUUUAUAUAUGUAUAUAUAAUGAUUCUCUAGUAACGACAUUCUCAUUUUAACAAAGUAAUGAUAUCACUAACAAACUAAAUAACACAUAUUUCAAUACACCAAUAGAUUAAAAAAAAUACAAUUUUUAAUGUGUUAAAAUAUAGGUCUUUUGUAUGUUAUUGAUAUUUUCACUUUAACAAAGUGAGGGUCUCCUCACUAUAAAAGUAAUUUAUAAAUAUUCCUUGUAUUUUUGUGAAAAUUAUUAUUUAAAUGUCAUAUCUUACCAAAAACUAUUAGUUUUUAUUUUAUUACUACGCUAUACUUUUCAAGAUAGAACACCUUAAUACCAUGACCUUAAUUUUUGAACCCUCUUGUACAAAGUUGUUGGCUGGUCUAUUUAGCUUAAUCUUUCAAUUAUUUGUCGUUUGAACUGAGAUGAUCCGAAUAAGGCUAUGUAUCAAUAAUUUCUUAGUGAAACUUCGGGAAAAAAUAAAAAUCAUCUCAUACAGUAGCAUUAUUUUAAUUCUCAGCUUGAUUAUGUUUUGAGUUAACUUAUAGAUUAUUUGAAAUGAAAAUAAUAUAAUUUAUUUUUUCCAACUGAAAUUUUUAAAUAAUUUUAUUAGUUUGAUGAGUAAGUAUACACUUACAAAGUUAUGAUAUAAAAUUAUAUCCCAGAAUCCCAAUAAUAUGACACCAAUUAACUAUUGCUAUGUGUUUCUUAGUAAUUAACUUUUUAUACUAUUAUUAAUGAGAUAAUUAACUUCAACACCAAUAAACAAUUAAUACAUCCUCUAACUUUAUUAUCAAAUAAUCAUACGUCAUAAUCAAACCAAGUUACCAGAGCCUACCACUAAAAGAUUGAUUGAAGGGUUUUCCAAGUUUGAAAAUGUUAGUAGCAUUGGCAAAUGGCAACUUCCAGGAAUCUUCCUGCUACAAUCAAUCAUUUAGUGAAAUGCCCAAAUGACACAAAGGACCCCGCCAACCGUGAAGUCACAUCAUUUAUUUAUUUGUAAAUGAAAAAUAAGGUUCCGAUCGGAAGAAAUCAGCACCUUAUAAUGCAUGAUUACCCGUAUGUCAAGUUUGGCGAUUAUAAGUCAUCAUCACAAUAACUUUGGAUUUUGAUAUUUAAGUCUCCGUUUGGGACCAAUGUAUGCCAAUUGGACAACACAUCACUCAAUUAUAGAGAGCGAAAUAUUGAUAUUGUCAUUAUUUUACGUAAUGUAUAAACUUUUCCUUUUAUUUUUGUUUGUUUAUUUAUUUUUAAUACCUAAUAAAUAUAAAUUUAUUUUUUAAUAUUUAAUAAAUUUUGUCAGAAAAUAACAAACAAUGACCCAAAUCCUUUUAUUUUACAGAAAUAAUUUCAAUUCACAACUAUGACAUUACAUUACCAAACAAACACUAAAUAUUUUGAUGAUUGGAGUUUAUCUUUCAUUCAUAGCAUGAAAAGUUUGAAAUAGAAUCUCAAAACAAAAGAGUACGACAUGUCUUGUUGGGUUUACAGAAGAAGUGUACGCCAUGUCAUCCGAAAACUAAAAGGCAUGUAUGACAACCAAACGGUAUCAUCCCUGAUUUGCCUACACUUUAAGGAUGAAUUCUGGGUUUUGAGUGACAAUUAAAAGCCAGAGUGAGAAUUAGAGAGAGAGUUAUAUAUUCUUAUUUAUUCCUAGUCACUUGCUAUAUUGUGUGGGUCUUUUGUGAUUCCAAUAAUAAAAAUGUUCAAUAUUUUUUUUGAUAGAGCAAUAUUUUUUAAAGCAUAAAGAAAGGCAGAAAUAUUGUAAAUCCAUCUCAAAUUUUCUGUUUAUUGUGGUUGCUGCUAGCGCUAGCUGUUUUCUUAUUUAACUUUGUUCCCUUUUGCCAUCAGCUCUUUGCAUUUUCAUUGGAUCAAGCGGCCCUUUUCUUGUUUCAAUUUUUUAUCUCAAAAGCACUUUGAUUCUCUUCUGUUACACUGAUUUUCUCCUUAUUUUGCACAAAUAUCGUUUCUCUUUCCCAUUUAGCCUUGAUUUGCUUCUACUUGACUACCAAUUGCCCAGUCGUUGACCCUGUUGUAUUUUUAUUUCAUUCACUUCCAAUAGACCAAAAAAAAAAAAGAGAUGUUGAAUAAAAGCUUAAAAACUAAUUUGAUUUUUAAUAUGAUUUAGCUAAGAUGUCCAAUUUAAUACUAAGAGUAAUGUUAAGGAUCCUAAUAAUUGAGUCCCAACUGAUAUGGUAGUCAUUUAUUAGAUGAUGGAAAUAUAAAUUUUAUUAGUUGUGAAAUUCAUUAUUCAAUAAAAAAAUAACACAUAACAAUUAGGUCUCAAGUUAGUAUUUUACUAUUGGAAUUCCUAACAUUAUUCUAAUAUUAAAAAAUUCAUCAAAAUAAUAUCCGUUGAUGCUGAAAUCUAGUCGCCUUUGGACCGACCAGAUUGGUUCACCAACGCUUGUAUUGACAAAGGAAUAGAGGCUGCGAUCCAUUAGCUUCAACAAUUUCCCGAGCUUCUGGGACCCAAAUCACCCGUCUUCUUCCUUCCAGGCCUAUGUUCACAUAAACAAAUCAGAGAAGCCGGUGGUUUUUUGGGCAUAAACCCUUCGAUACUUAAGUUAGUACAAGGUGUUUACGAGAAAAGUUAAUGAUUUGUGUUGUACAUAUUAGUUGCAAUAUUCUCAAUACCAAAUGUAUCAAGGAUUUGGAUAUUUGAAUUUCUGAUUAUAAUUUGACAGAGUUUCCCCUUUACUCUCAAUUUGUGUCUCCCCCUUUUCAUUGAUUUCUUGGCCUUUUAUAGGCAAUCAUCCCAUGUUUUCUGAGUAUUAUUCAUGCCCCUCAUUUUCGGGUGAUGACGGACCUUCAUGGGUCUCCAACCACCGAAUCGUGGGUAAACGUGGGGCGUCAUGUUCUCCCCAACGGUUUGGGGCAUGACAAAACUGUCGUGAGUUUGUGAGAUCGUGUCCUCUUUCUUUGAAUAAUGAGUACUUGGUCGAUAUGUACAUCUGGUCGGUACUCGUUUCUAGUCGGCAUAUGCCCCGUACAGGAUGUAUUACCAGGAAUCUGCUCGUGCCAUUCAUCUGGGGAGAUUCGCCCCAGGGUGAGGGAAGAGGGGAUAGCUGAGCUGGUACUUUUCAUUACUCAACAAUAUCUAUUAUCUAAAAAAAUAAAAUAAAAAUCUAAAACCAUAGAUUUACUUUUCAAUCUUCGUGAUUUGACUGAUUUCUUUUAAAGCUUUGGUUUCUUUAGAAGUGCAAGGAGAAAUAGUAAUAAGAUUAAAAAAGCAAUGAAGUAAAACUUUAAAAUUUUUGUUUCUUUAUAUUUUUAUCGGUCAUUUUACCGGUACUGGCGUUUGAUUUUCUGACUAAGCUACUGUUUAGUUCUAAGUUUUGGCAAUUACCCGGACUGCUCUCUUUCGUGUAACAUCGACACAAUGAGGCUUUGCAUCUAAAAGUCGGCAGCCACGCAACUUCUUGGAAUCUUCGUGCAAGUGUUGGAUAUCGACCGUUCGAUAAUGACGGCAGCAUUGUUCUGGAGUGUAAUUGACGCAGUGGAAUAAGGAUCACAUGUCUCAAACUUUCGGUGAAGAUAUUGUUAGAUAUUUUAUUGAUUAAGGAUCAUUCUUUGCACUCAUUCUCAAUCAAGAAACGCAUAUGCUUUUGUUCAUUGUAGUCACUGCUGUUUUGUUAUUAAUCUUUGCUCCCUUUUGCUGUCAACUCUCUUGAAUUUCACUGGAUCAACUUUUCUCUUGGCAUCUGCUUUGUUGUAAUCUCCAGUCUUUGUUAAUUAGUCUCUCCGCUCGCAAUCCAGUUGUUGAACUAGAAACCUUUUCCUUGUUUCCAUCUUCUCAGCAGAUCCAUAACAGCUAUUACGAUUUCUUUCAUUUCUCCUCGUCCACAACCAGAUAAACUGUCCAUCUUUGCGUUUCUUUUUCUUUUUCUCCUCACUCUCUCUGUGUUUCGCUCAUUGUUUAUUUUCUUGUCAGAAACUUCGAAAAAAAGAAAAGGGAUUCAGGAUGGUGGAAAGCAUUGUUACUAUUGUUUUAGAAUUUGUGAAAUGCUUGGCUCCUCCAACAGAACGCCGACUUGGUUAUUUGCGUACUAUAAAGCCAACGUUGAGAAACUCGAGGCAGAAAUAGACAAGCUCAAGGAUGAAAGGAGAAGCAUUCAGCACAGGGUUUCUGAGGCUGAAAGAAAAGGGGAAAAUAUUGAAGAGAAGGUUGAGAAGUGGCUGGUUAGUGCGAACAUCAUCAUUGAGCAGGCAGCCAAAUUCAUUGAUGAUGAGAAGACAACAAAUAAACGAUGUCUCAUGGGCUUGUGUCCUAAUUUGAAGACCCGCUAUCAGCUUAGCAAGAAAGCAGAAACAAAGGUGAAGGCCAUUGUUAAACUCCGAGAAGAAGCUGGGAGAUUUGUUGAUGGAAUUUCCUACCGUACCAUUCCGGAGGAUAUAUGGCUCAAGUCUCACAAAGGCUACGAAGCCUUCGAAUCAAGACUUUCUACUUUAAAGGCCAUACAAAAUGCAUUGAUCGAUGUUGAUGUCAGCAUCAUUGGGGUGUACGGCAUGGGCGGCAUUGGAAAGACGACACUGGUGAAGGAGUUUGCAAGGCGAGCCAUUGAAGACAAGCUUUACGAUAUGGUGGUUUUUUCGGAGGUUACCCAAUGUCCAGACAUAAGAAAGAUCCAAGAGGAAAUUGCGGAAACGUUAGGCCUAGAGUUGUCCGAGGAAGCUGAGUCUAGAAGAGCUAGUAGACUAUAUGAAAGAUUGAAGAAUGAGAAGAAGAUCCUUGUGAUUCUCUAUAACAUGUGGAAACCUCUUGAUUUGGGGACUAUUGGCAUUCCUUUUGGAGUUGAGCACAGAGGAUGUAAAUUAUUAUUCACAACAAGAGAUCUUGAUGUGCUGUUAAGGAUGGGAUCUGAAAAAAACUUCUCGAUUGGCAUUUUAAAUGAACAAGAAGCCUGGAGAUUGUUCAAGAUAAUGGCUGGUGAUUAUGUUGAAAAUCGUGAGUUAAAAUCUGCAGCAACAAGUGUAGCCAAGGCAUGCGGAGGUUUGCCUAUUGCCCUAACCACAGUAGCAAAGGCACUGAGAAAAAAAGAGCUGCCUGUGUGGAAGAAUGCCUUGCAAGAACUCCAAACGCCUUCAGAGGCAAGCUUCGACGAAGGAGUACCAGCAGAGGCAUACUCAACAAUUGAGCUGAGUUACAAGUACUUAAGAGGUGAGCAACUCAAGAAAACUUUUUUACUGUGUAGUCUUAUUACGCCAGCACCAAUUAUGGAUUUGUUCAAAUACAGCAUGGGCUUGGGUGUAUUUAAAAGUGUCCAUAAGCUAGAAGAUGCACAUAACAAAUUACAUGCAUGGGUCCAUCAACUAAGAGACUCUUGUUUGUUGCUUGAGGAUGGUGGCAGUAAAUACAUUUCUAUGCACGAUGUUGUUCGCGAUGUUGCCAUUUCAAUUGCAUUUCGUGACAUGAAUGCAUUUGUGGUGAGAAAUGAGGAUGAUUGGAAAUGGCCAAAUGCAGAUGAAUUAAAAAAAUAUUUUGCAAUUUCUUUUAAAGAUAGUAUUGUUAAUGACAUUCCUGAAGGGUCGGAAUCUCUACAACUUGAACUUCUAUUCAUGUCUCCCAAGAACUCUUUUGCUGUGCCUAAUAUUCCUGAGAACUUCUUCAAAAGGACGAAAAAGCUUCGGGUUUUGGAUUUGACUAGAAUGCGGUUAUUGUCAUUGCCAUCUUCAAUUGGUCUUCUAGUAAAUCUUCAGACACUUUGUCUUAAUCAAAGCAUUUUGGGAGGCAUAGACAUAGCCAUUAUUGGAAAGUUGGAAAAUCUAGAAAUCCUUAGCUUUUUGCAAUCUGAUAUUGUAGAGUUGCCUAAAGCACUGGGUCAACUGACUAAGCUAAGGCUGUUAGAUUUAACAGACUGCUUCCGUCUGAAAGUUAUUGCCCCAAAUGUCAUAUCGAGCUUAAUCCGAUUAGAAGAAUUGUAUAUGGGUAAUUGCUUCAUUGAAUGGGAGGUUGAAAGAGCCAACAGCAAAAGAAGUAAUGCUAGCCUUGACGAAUUGAUGCAUUUACCUCGGCUAACUACUCUAGAAAUUGAUGUUAAAAAUGAGAGUAUGUUACCAGAAGGCUUUUUGGCCAGAAAGCUCGAAAGGUUCAAAAUACAUAUUGGAAAUGGGUUAUUCAUGCAUCCCAUGCUUUUUGGACAACAUUGGUUUAAAAGUCAGCUGCACUUUUUGAUCGACAGUAAUCGCAAGAUUUCAAGAGAAUUGGAGCUCAAGCUUGAUUUUAUGGACAUUUGCUCCAUGAAAUUGCAAGGCAUCAAUAACGUUGAAUACUUACGGUUGGACAAGCUGCAAGGCAUCGAGAAUGUUCUUUUCAAUUUGGACACGGAGGGCUUUUCACAAUUGAAGGUCCUCUGGCUUCAAAAUAAUCCUGACUUCUUUUGUAUCGUCGAUUCAAGGGAGAUGGUCGCUUGUGAUGCCUUUCCUCUGUUGGAGUCACUUGCCCUUCACAAUUUGAUCAACAUGGAGAGGAUAUGUAUUGAUCGGCUCAAAGUAGAGUCUUUCAACGAACUCAAAAACAUAGAAGUAUAUAAUUGUGAUAAGUUGAGUAAUAUCUUUUGGCUCUACUACAAAAUGCCUUCCAAGACUUGAGAGAAUUGCAGUUAUUAAUUGCAGCAAAAUGAAAGAGAUUUUUGCAAUUGGGGAAGAAGUUGAUAAUGCAAUUGAGAAGAUAGAGUUUGCUCAAUUAAGAUCUUUGAGUCUGGGGAAUCUUCCAGAGGUUACAAGUUUUUGCCGUGAGGUGGAGACUCCUUCAGCAUCACCGAACAGACAAGUGUCGCAAGAGGAAUCGACGACUAUGUAUUGCUCCAGCGAAAUCACUUUGGAUAUUUCAACUUUGCUUUUCAAUGAGAAGGUGCGUAGGCUAACAUUUUAUUCAUAUAUAUAUAUAACAGAGUUUAUUCUAUCAUGCGUUCUCUUAUGUCAAACGUGGAAAAUAAUUAAAUCAUUUAGAGAAUUGAAAGAAAAUGAAAACAAUGAGGAAAAAAAUAAUCUCACGCACUCACUAAUUGAGCUCUUAACAGGUAGUAUGAAUUAGAAUGUUAAUUUGUAAUCAAAGAGAAAUUUUCAACAAGAAAUUCUUAUCUUUUUAGGUUGCGUUGCGUAACUUGGAGGCUUUGGAGAUAUCUGAAAUUAAUGUCGACAAGAUUUGGCACUACAAUCAAAUUCCAGCGGCAGUGUUUCCUCACUUUCAAAGUUUAACACGAUUGAUUGUGUGGGGUUGUCACAAAUUAAAAUACAUAUUUUCAGCGUCUAUGAUCGGAAGCCUUAAGCAGCUCCAACGCCUAGAAAUACGCUCCUGUGAGGAUUUACAGGAGAUCAUCUCUGAAAACAGAGCAGAUCAAGUGAUCCCUUAUUUUGUCUUUCCACAGCUCACCACUUUGAUACUCCAUGAUCUACCAAAACUUAGAUGUUUGUACCCUGGAAUGCAUACUUCGGAAUGGCCCGCCCUAGAAAUUCUUUUAGUGUAUCGUUGUGACAGAUUAAAGAUAUUUGCGGCAGAUUUAUCGCAGAAUAAUGGGAAUGAUCAACUUGGUAUUCCUGCACAACAGCCCCUAUUGCCAUUGGAAAAGGUAUGAAGCCAUUUUCUAGAUUUUUUAUCUAUAGCUUAUUUUUAACUUUGAAAAAUAUGACAAAGUAUUGAUAAAUUAAUGCUCAAUAAAUUGAAAACUUUUAUUAUACAAUAAUCUUUGCUAGUCUAGACUAAGGGAUCAAUGUGGUAGAUUAAUGAUUAUAUAAACUUUUUUAGGUAUAGCAUUUGUAAAAGAAUCUUGAGUCUUUCCAUAUAGAAGAACUUACAAAAUAAAUUAGUAAUUUAUUAUUGUGCAGUAAAAUAAUUUCGAGUCAGUAUAAAUCAACCUUUUUUCCCUAAUUUCUUUUUUACCUCUAAAAUUAACAUAUAAAAAAUCAUUUAAUAAAUUUUAUCAAUAAUUCAAUUUUUUUAAAUAUAAUAUAAAACAAAUACUAUAAACUCACUGCUUAUGAUUGGAUUACUCAAAAUCAUUUGAGAAAACAUCAAUUGACCUUAUUAGUUAUUAUGAUUGAUGAUGAUCAGAUCUUACCCAACUUGACGGAACUAUCACUAUGCGGAAAAGACGUGAAGAUGAUUUUGCAGGCCGAUUUCCCACAACACCUUUUUGGCAGUCUUAGAGAUCUAGGGAUUGCUGCUGAUGACUCAGCUUGUUUUCCAAUCUGGAAUGUACUGGAGAGAUUUCACAAUCUCGAAAUGCUCGUACUGUGUUAUUUUUCAUUCCACGAAGAGGUAUUUUCGAUGGAAGGAUGCUUAGAGAAACAUGUGGGGAAGUUGGCAAUGAUAAAAGAAUUAGAGCUGUACCGGCACUAUCAUCUGAAGCAGCUGUGCAAACAAGACACCAAAUUUGGCCCCAUCUUUCAGUAUCUUGAAAUUCUAAGAGUAUAUCAUUGUCAAAGUCUGUUAAUUCUAUUGCAAUCAUCAUCGGUAUCUUUUGGGAACCUAACAAAACUUGUAGCUUUCGAUUGCAAGAAAUUGAUACACUUAGUAACAUCCUCCACAGCAAAAACUCUAGUGCGACUCGUAUCACUUUGUGUAUACGGAUGCAGAGCAAUGACAGAGGUGGUAAUAAAUGACAAAGACGGGGUUGAAAAAGAAGAGAUUGUUUUCCGCAAAUUGAAGAGGUUGGAACUGCGUGAUUUAGACAGCCUCACAAGUUUCUGCUCUGCCAAUUACACCUUCAAAUUCCCAUCUUUGCAAGAUCUAUCUGUGAUUGGUUGUCCCAAAUUCAAGAUUUUCACUACAGGAGAAUCAAGCACGCCUCCGAGAGUAAACGUCUGGUAUGGAGAGACAUCGAAUCAACGGCGUUGGGCUAGUAAUGAUCUUAACACGACCAUACAACAAUUACAUGCUGAGAAGGUACGGAUAUACGUGUUACUCUCUAUCUCCCAUGGAAAAAUUUUACAAAAUUUGCUUUUUCUUUUUAAAUAAAAUAUGGAUAAGAUAUUUGUUAUAAAGUUAGUUUAAAUUGAUGAAUAAGAAUUUUAUUUUCAGCUGUUGGCGGGGUCGUCGUCAUACUCUGUGGAUUACGACUAAUUUCAUAGGCUUCUUAUGACUUGGAGUUACGAAUUUGAAGAAGAAAGUCCCAGCUGGUAAUUAAUUCUUAUUUUAUUUAUUUGAUCUCGUGGGUUGUUUCACAAUUUCAUCUCAAUUGUUUAGAAUGGGUCACUUGGUUUACUGUCAAUAUGGAAUGCACUUUUCAUGAUUCGUUCAGGCUUUUAUGGGCAGAUUUUGCGUCAUUGAGCGUCUUUUGGUCUAAUUUAAUUUAAUUUGAGUAUUUUGUUUUGAGAGUUCCCUUGUUCUCUAAAAUUUUAUAAUUCCUUGCAAGCAUUUUAUGUUGAAAUUUCAAUAAGAGGGGCAACACUUGCAUGUUGAAAGUGUUCAGAUUUUAUAAUUCCUUGAAAUCAUGCAAACUUUUUUCUUUCUUUCCUUGCCAAUUAUUUAUUGUCAUCGUUACUGUUCCGUUAAAUUUGUUUGUGCUCUGUUUGUUCAUUGGAAACUUGGAAGGCAACGAAAGUACUUAAGAGAAUGUUCUUGCCUAUUAACACAUAAUUAAGAACAGCUGAAUAUCAUUCAUCGGAUAAAAAAAAAAAAAUCUAAUUAGCCCGUCAUGCCUACAACAAAUGCUUAAACCAUCAAAGGUUAGCUAUGAACAAAUAUAUUAUGGAAAUAUUGUUUUAAAGCAUUCGAUAGAAUUUUCAAAAAUAUCAAGUUUUCACAAACCAAAAAGGGAACUAAUUUGGUCUAGUUUUGUUACAAGUAUAGAAGUACAAUAUUUUGUCUGUUAUUCUUGUUAAAAUUCUCAGCUCUGUGUUUGUAGAAUGUCUGGAUACUGAUAGAGAUUCAAGUCACUCUUCUUCUGUACAACAUUCGAAAUGAAGCCUUUUUUCCCCCUCCAUUCAAAUUUUAUGUUGUGAAGGGUUUCCGUUUCCAUCUUCAUGUGAUUUACUUCACCGUGUCGCUACAUCUAUGAUAGUGUGUGUUAUAUCCUGUCUGUUUCCUUUAUUUGACCAUCGAAAGUUCAAAGACAGUUUAUUCUAAAUAUGUGUAAAUUCAUUUUCUGUAUAAGCUCUUUGUAUGCAUUUUGACAUUUUAUUCUCAAUAUGUAUGACUUAAUGAGAGGUCUUUUGUUAUACAUAUGUCCCGAAUUUCUUGUGUAUUUUUAGAUUUGAUGAUGUAUUCUUGUCUCAUUGCAAGGUCUUAUAAUCACUGAUUCUCAUUUCUCGUAUACAUACGUAUAUAUGGGCAAGAAAUUUGGUAAAUGAUCUAGUCAUUUUCUCAGUAAAACAUCUAGUACUUUAUAUGUUGGAAGGGUACUAAGCAGCAGGCCAAGAUUUGUCAACUCAAAGAUCGUCAUGUCAUUUUUUAAAAAUAUUAAGGAAUUCUAAGGAACCUCAAGAGAAAAUUUAGAAAUACUAUAGGGACUACUUCUGCAUUGUUCAUUUUCGUAAUUACGUUCAUUAUUAUUUUUUUUUUUUCAAUUAAUCAAACUUCAGUUCCUUAGCAUUCAUCUAAUUAUGUACUUCAUCUGGAAAUCCUUAAUUUACUCAUCAAAAUGUGAACGCUAAGGAAACUAUGAAAAUAAAUAUAAAACUACUAGCUAAGUUUAUCAUCACAUAUGAUCAGCACUAGACUAUCAAAUAAUCAUAAAAGCAUAUAAAUUCAAGCUACUGUAUUAUUUGUAGCUUUCUAAUUUGUGUUUAUAAAGAAUUUAGUUAUGCAACAAAAAAAGGGGAUACGAAAGUAGCCAUAAAAAAUACUCUGUUUUGUAGUACUUCAACAUAUCUACUGGCUAAGAAGUAGCAUCACAUAUGAAAAUGUCGGCACAAAUACUCAAGCAAGUGCAAGUGUGUGGACGAGCCACUUGUGUUAUCAUGAAACUUAAUAUAAGUAUCAAAAGUUGGUGGAUUAUUGUGGUUUUCCUGCUUUAUCGUUUUUGGUUGAAUAAAAUAAUAUAAAGCUGUCGAUUCUGCAUUAAAGCAUAUGAUUUGUGAAGAUAUGAAUACCACAUCUUUCCAACUCCUCAACUCUUGAGUAAUUACUAGGUUCCCACCCAUGCAAACAUAUUUUCUUUCGAGAAAAAGGGAUGCCUGAUUCAGGGCAUCCGUUGCCUCGGUUUAUUUGAUUUUGUUUGGUUCAAUUGUGGUUCUGUUAUUUAGUUUUUCCUCUGAUGGUUCUGUUUCUCUGUAUAUUUCACUGGGUUUGCUUUGCUUCACAUCUUUCUUUCAAAACUAAGAAGGCAAGGAAAGAGAGUACUUAAUUAGAAAAUGCAAGAAGCAUAUAUUAAAUAUGCAUAUGGCUCAUGCUCUUGCCUAUGAACACAUAAAGAACAACUGAAUAUCCUUCGUCGGAUAACAAAAAAGAAAAUCUAAUCAUCCAUUUAUCCAUACAAGAAAUGAUACCAUUACUUUUAGCAAAUUGAAAGUGUUGUAUCUUUUUUAUUUAAAAAGUCUCUUAAGAUUUUUAUUUUUUCCGGUAAUUACACCUCCAAAUUUCCACAGCUAUAAUGUCAAUUUGUAAUUAUUUGUCCCAAGAUGCAGAUUUUCACUAGAGGAGAAUUAAUAAUUACGCUAUUUCGGCCCAGAGGACCAUGAAGCCCCUUGGGUUGUUGACAUUAACACUAGUGCGUUUACCAACCUAAACCUUCGGUUUGGUCAACAGUGUCUAAAUUGAACCUAUGGUGAAUGGAGGAAAAAGAAAAAGAGAUUUAUUAGAAACCUCCCCUGAAGUUUGAUAUAUUUUUAGUUUAAUAGAUUAUAUUUGUGUAUUCUCAAAUACCUCCCCUGCUGCUAGGGUUGGCAAUAGGACGAGAUAUGAUAGAAUUUACCAAUUACAGUCCCAUCCUGUAUAUGUAAAUGGGAUUAAAAAACAUAUCAGUCCUGUCCCUAUAUUUGUUUUUAGGACAAAAAAUAUAUCCUAAUCUCGUCCAAAAAGAGAUAGAAUCCUGUAGGAUCUCAUCCCAAUUAGAAAAUUUUUUAUUCUUAAUCGAUAAUGAGACGAGAUGGGACAGAAUUUGUCAAUCCUACUCCCGUCCUGCAUAUGUAAUUGGGAUAAAAAAAAUCUCACUCCCGUCCUUAAAUUUUUUUAUGGAAUAAAAAUAUGUCCCAAUUUCAUCCCAUCAAAAAAAAUUAUCAUUCCUAUCUGGCGCUAGUAUACCUUUCUUAAUACCCCUAAUUUAGAAAAAAAAAAUUUGUAUACUGAAAAUAAAAAAUUGUUGGUUAGUACCAGCAUGUUUGUUUUGGUGCCAAGGGAUGUGAAUGCAAUGAAAAUAUCAAAUCAUCCCCGUUACUUUCCAAAAUGACUUUGAUAAAUGAAACAAACAAAAGAUUUAAGUCAAAUAUCAAAGAAUCAGAGGGAAGCUGUUUUGCACUGGCCUAAUUGCUAUGCUGUCUGAAUCAAAUUUCGUUCAAUCUUGGUGUCCCUCUUUUAUUCAAUAUAAGAAGAAUGAAAAAAGUAGGUUGUUUUUUACACAAGUGAUAGAAAUACUUCUGAACUUUAGACAGUGUAACACCAUACACAUCAAAGAAAUAAGACAACAAACCAAUUCCCAUACAUAAAGCCAACAAAAUUACUAUUUAGUACAAGAGAUGCAACAUAAUUUUAAAUUUUAUUCCUCAAGAGCUACAAGUGAUACAAAUGAGUACACAAAUCAACCAUCUGUAGCUUAACCAGAAGUUGAUGCGAAUGCAUGAAAAUGAAAAAAGCCUACGAAUAGUAUACAUGGUAAGUAUGACUAAGUAAAAUAACAAUUCUGAUUGAUAAUACCACCAGCAACAGGACCUUCAUACCCUCUCUUUAUUAAUCACUAGUUGGUAUGCUAUAGCCCAGCCAAGUGUAAAAUGAAUGGCGAUCGAGCUCUUGAGCCUCUUUAUACCCUCCAUAAGUUGUCCUCAACUUCAUCAAGGACUGCAAAUAUAUUAAGCAAUAGAAAAAUAAUCGUGAUACAUUGAGUAACAUAUGGAGCAUGCACCUGCUUUAUAAAUAUCCAAGAGUCUGAAGAUAGAUACAUGGAGCUUGAUUUGCCAAAUGAUCUAUCAAAAAAGCCUCAGUGCAAAAUCUUCAUCCAUAUUCCAAACAAAACCAGGCAUAUCAAUCCUCUGCCAGGCGACAAUCCUAUAUAUGUAAAGCUUCUUAACAGGGAGCUCCGGCCUUUAAUCUGGGGGUCUCCUCUCGUCAAUAACUUAAACAUUCAGCGUGAUUUUCCAAAGACACUGCAAUUUUCAUUUAUAACUCAAACAAAUAAGACAGGACUUAUCUAAAGACACUGCAAUUUUGGACAUUGGCUAACAAGUGUGAUUAGGUCAAGACUUUGUAUAGUGGCAUAGCUCAUAUUCAAGGUUAUUAGGCCAGAGCAAACAAAAUUGACAGAUCACACUAUUUGAGACCAUAAUCAGGUUGCAUCUACAACUCAUUUUCCAAAAUUAUACCAAUCUCUAACCCAGUACAUUGCUAAUCAAUAUUCCUGAUUAAUAUAGGCAGCAAUGACUGUAUAAACAAUUAUUUCCAGCCAACCAGGUAUGCUAGAAGCCAAAUCUAUAGUAGAGAAGGUUUUGCAGAUCUCCUAAAAAAAAAUCUCAUCUUCAAUUUAACAAAAACUAGCAUGAAUCUCUGUUCAAUAAUCAGCAGUAAUACCUUAAACAAAUAAAAAAAUUUCAGAGCCAUUUUCAAUCUGUCACACGGCAGCAUAACAAAUCACAAGCCAUUUUCAAUCAAUCACAAGCUAACAUGCAUUUGCAACAAUCAUUCACCUACAACUAACAUUAAUCGAUGGAAAAAAAUGUAAGCGACAGAAAUACUCUAAAAAAUUUUCGAGACCCAUUAUUCUUUUUUCUAUUUUUUUACCAAAUAGAGUGACCAUGUCGUGCUGUGAAAUUUGAUAAGAAACCUCGACGUGUUUGUUUUGUUACUGUUUUGGGACUUUCAUUUGGUUUGCUUGUUAAUUUUAUUAUUGGUUCGGUUUCGGUUUUCAUUCAUCCCAACCGAAAUGAAACCGUCCAAUUUAGGUUAUUGCACAACCGAAUCAAAUAUCGAACCGAAUCUGAUACGGUUCUUCAAUUUUCUGCCCACUCCUACUUCAUGACAAUAAACAACAAAAACAAAAUCCAUAAUAUAGCUUUUGAAUUCUUAAAAGGGGGGAGAAAAAAAAGCACAGGUGAGUAAGCUAUUAAGGUAAGAAGUUGAGAUUAGACACGUAUCAGUAAUAUUGAUAUUUAAAUUUUACUCAAACAACUCUAAUUCAAAAUAUGUAGAAACAAUUCAAAAUAACAAUAAAAAUUAAAAAAAUAUUAUUUCAAGGAAUCCAAACAGGGUAUAUGAUGAGUAUGAUGCUGUUUUAAAUUCUCAACUGAGGAAAAACAGAGAUAGAGAAAGAACAUACUAUCAACACCAGCAAAGGCUUUGGAUUCUUAAGCAGGUGGUGAUGCAUGGUUUGUCAGGAGGUGGAGAUGGAAUUCUGAUUUGUUGUUGGCAAUAGCACACGAUUUUUGGCAGAUUCGGGCGAAAUUACAUUCUUAUAUAGAACCGAGGAAAGGGUGCUGGCCAAUAAAUGAUAAAGGCCUGUAUAAAGAAAGACAAACAAUAAUGUGGGCUUUAGAGAAUCAGAAACUUGAUAGAAGAGAAGGGGAAUAUCAACAAUUAUUUCAGAAGAAAGAAAAAGAAAAAAGCAAGCACGCUUGAAAAUUUUUCAAGAUAAUGAAACCGCAUUAAUUAACAGGUUAAAAUUUUUUGUAAGAUUACUGGUUUCUAAAAAAUUCUAUGAACCUUUCAGUUUCACAGAAAGAGAGAUAAAGACAAAGACAGUAGUCUACAUUAAAAGCACUUAAAAAAUCCAGUGCAGAAUACAUCUCUAAAAGUACUACAAAAUAUAUACAAGUAAAUAUUUAUAAAAGAAGCAUUGAAACGAGUCAGAAUGUGACCCACCGUGUGUCCUUGACUGUAUAUAGCAUUAAAGCAAUACUCCCCUAGUAUGAUAUGCGCACACACAAUUUAUAUAGACGCAUAAAACAAAAACAGCACAAAUCUUAUUAUUUGUCUUGCUAAAACCCAAGAAAUAGCUUAUAAGAUGAAAUGGACUGCCCAUGGUUCAUACAAAGAAAAGAAUAAGCCACAUAUUAAUUGAAGCUAACAACAGACAUAAAAUGAUAAAUGAAAAAUGCUCACCUUCAGAAUGAAGUCAAUGUAAUGAAGAGCUCAAAUUCAGUUCUGCCACCUGAAAAAAUGUGGUAUUCACCAGUAACUUUAACCCCAUUUUGCUAACCCUUAACUUCUGCAAGCUUUGUGUGGGGAAAAUUAUAAUACCAAAUCUAUCCCACACAGCAUGAGAACAAAUCUUAGCCCAAGUGAAUUAAAAGUACUCAAGUAUAUAUUUUAUAAUGCAUAAUAUAAGAUCAUACCCUAUCCCUGCUUUGGGGCCACUUAAUUGAGUGUUUGUAUCCUUCCGGUAAAGGAGCAAUACAGGUACAAGCUUCUUCAGGGCAAUACCUCUCUCGAUGUUCAUAAUGCUUUUGUGCUGGAAAGCAUUCUAAUUGCUUGCAAAUUGUCCAGGCAAGGGAUGCAAUCUGGCCUAGCAGUGGCAUUACACACUUUCCAGCGAUGACCAUACGGGUCCUUAGAUAUAGAAGUUUGUUGUGAUAUUUUCUGAUUCUAUGACUCAAUAGGUUGAGUUAAGCAAGCCCCAUUCUGAGCAUUAGUUUCCUUCAGAAUUUCUGACUAGUCACCAAAAGGAAAAAUCUCAGUUGAAGCCUGAUCCUUUCAACGACUCUCAGUGUCAUUAUCUUGAUCUUGAGAAUCCUUCUCCUUUUCAAUCUGACUAGCCUCAUCCAUUUAUUUUCAUCCAAGCUCUUCUCUGAUUCAAUUUGCUCAAUUUUAUUCAAUUCGCCGCCUUCUGUUUCUCCAGCUUCUGAAUUCGAAUCUCCACCUUCACUUUUAGAUUCCUUAUCUUCCCUUUUUCUAACAUCGUAAUUUUUAGACACCACCUUAGAUUCCUCUUCAGACUCAGUAUUCUCAUCAAAACUCUCCUUCACUAAAUUCUCUUCCUGGUUUUGAUUAACCAUAUUCUUAGAUUCACUCGUCUCACCAUCACCCUCAUACAUAUUCAUCUCUUCGUAAUUAUCUUCCACUCUAUUCUCUAACUUUUCAACAGGAACAUCAUCCCCAUCCCCAUUUGUUGAAUCCUGUCAUUCAUCACCUUGAUUUUCUACGGAAGGCCCAGAAAAAUCUCAGAUACUCUCUGUUUCACUUUGCUUAUAGGCUCUUAAGAGGACAACAUCCUGGAUCCCACACCAGUACAACUGAUGAUGACAUUAACAUCCAAACGCCAACCAGAAAACGACCAACAAACACUACUACAGUAACCAUUGAACAAAGACAAUAUCACAGGUUCUUUAGCUAUUUAAUAUUCCAUCAAAUAUAAUUAUAUAAUACCUACCAAGGAUUUCCGAAUAGAAGGCAUUCUCAUCAUUCUCAUCUCAAGCAGCAACCUCACCAGUAACACAUUUUCAUAUCAUGUUUCCACCACAGGUCGCACAUAUAGAAAGAAUGAAGUAUUAAUUAGCUUCAACAGAGCCUAUUUCUUUAUUUCUUUUUUUCCCAAAUAAACCUUCAUUCUUAUACGUAUAAUUAAAAUAUCAACUGAAUAAACAAAGUCUGUGAUUACUAGUACAACAUUUUCAUUUUCAAGCGGAGCUAGAUAAGAUAUCGAUGUCUGUCAAAUAAACCUAAUUUAAUCUUGAAACCAUAAACUGCACUAAGCAUAGCAGCAAAGCCAGAGCCUGACUAUAAAGAAGAUAAUAUAUAUAUAUAUAUAGAGAUUAAACUUUUGUUUUAUCUUCCACAAGCAAGAAAUUCGACUGGAACAUGAAAUUUUUAACAAUCUUACAAACAUUAUACACAAAUCUCAAUUAACGGCAAAUAGGGGGAUGAAUCACUGACAUCACCCAAUUCAUAUAUUCAAUUAAUGUAUUCCCACCCCAGUCAGCAACGUGCUACCACAGUUGAUUAGUUAUUAGGGAUAAGGCUUACCGCAAAGAACUGAAUGGCGUUAUCUAAAUAAUGAGUUGAAACGGCAUCUGCAAUCGCAUUAAAUGGCAUUGAACCGAAAGGUAGGGUUUAAAUGAAUGUUGGCCUGAGACAAAAGGGCGUGGCAUAUUGGGGUCUUAUGGCUUCGUUUUGUUUCAAUUGACGGAGGGAAGCUGAGCGAAAGCUUUGAUAUGUAAAUUUCAGCUUAAUUUAAGCUAGGGUCUUCUUUCGAUUGAAACAGAAAAAGAUUUUGGGUUAUUAAAGUGAAAGAGAUGGAAUAAUACAAAAAAUUAGCAAAGUGAAAGCGAGGGAAUACAAGAUUUAUUAUGGGUCCUAAGAGCUGAAGGCAAUUCGCCAUGGUUCUGAUAUACGGAAAACUUUCUUAGCUUUAUCGGUGGUGGAAGUGAGGGUUAGGGCUAGGGUUCUACACAAUGUCGUUGAGAAUGGCUCAAAGUUCAUUGAUUUUAGGUUGCGGCGAGAGAGGGGUUUAUUCAACACUUGUCGAUAUUUGGCUGAAGUGUUGGUAUGUUUUAAGUUUCAUAAAAACGACGUCGUUAAUUUAAACGUCAUCAUUUUAAGAUAUUAUAAAUCCACAAAACUUGAGCAUCACUUAUAUCUAUAAUUUAUUUAUGUUAGUUAAGUUAUAAGUUAUGAAUAUGUCAUAAACUCUAAACAUAUGAAUAUAUGCCACACCAAUAAAGUGUUGGCUCCAUUAGCAAUGGAGUCCCCUUAAGUGGCUUGAUUGGGUUUGCUCCUCAGUUCUAGUUGCAGGGAAGUCGCCUUUGUUGAGAGAACUUGUGCCUCCCGGUUCGAGCGGGGACUUCUAAUAUGGGUUGUGGUACGGGCUUAAAAGUGUCUCCCACAAUUGGGGCCCUCCUCAAAAUACCUCGUGGUUAAGACAAAAUAUAUAUAUAUAUAUAUGUCACAAAUCUAUCACACUUUCAUGAUACAUUUGUGACGUAUCGAAGGUUCAUGUCAUUCCUCCGGUGCAACAUUCGAAAUAAGGCCAUUGCCCUUGUGAAAUUUGCAUUACUUCUAUUGAAAAUCUACAUAAUAAGAGCUCUCCCGUUGCAUUUUUCGUUGUUUUGCUUUUGCUUUACUUUAAUGUGUCGCUACAUGAACAAGUAUAUUGCAACAUAUGUACCAUCAAUUUUGCUAUGUCUUAUUCCCAAUUUUAUAUAAUACAAAUCAUUUUGAAAUUAUAAUAACAACAACGGGGUCAAGCACAUUUUGUGUCUUGAAGAUUUGCGAGGGCUCCAUCCUACAAAGUUAAAUUAUUAUUGUUGUUGUUGUUAUUAUUAUUAUUAUUAUUAUUGAUGACGAUGAUGUGCUGUUGAUGUUUUUAUUAUUUGAGAGAUGGUAGAAUAAAGUUAUUCAUUUUGGAGCUUAACAGUGGAAAAUAAGGAAAACAAGAAAAAAGUUGUAUUCGUGUUAAUUUCCUUUGUCAUUUCUUGUUUCUAGAAAUAUUUUUGCUUCGUUUAUUCUAUUUUAUUUGCUUAUUUCAUUGGGCUUGCUUCACAUAUCAUAUCUAUCUUUCUUUCAAAAUUUGAAGGGAAGGAAAGUACUUAGAAAAUGCUCUUGCCUAUGAACAUGUAAGAAAAACUGAAUAUCAUUCAUCGGAUAACAAAAAACACUAAUCAGCGCAUAAUCCCUAGAACAAAUAAUUAAACCAUCAAAUGUUAGCUAUGAACAACUAUAUAUCCUAUCAUAUUUAACUUCUAUUUAUGGUCAUAUCCCUAACAUAUUUAGAGUGGUUUUGGAAUUUUGAUUACAUCUGAGCUUUCUCAAAAGCAGAUGCUGUGAAAUGAAGUUACUAUUUGCUUUUCAAAACUGUUAAUAAUGAUAGUAGUUUAGAAACUUGAACCACCACCUACGUGAGUCUGUGAAUUUCACCUUUUUGUUUGAUAAUUGGAGGUUUUCGUUUAAUGCCUAAAUUCGUAAACUGUGGAAACGUUUGAAAGCAUCUAUAGCAUAUUCAUUAAAAUCACGUUUUCACAAACCAAAAAGGGUACUAAUUUGGUCUCGAUGUGUGAAAAGUAACACCUACCUAGCCAUCCAUCAGGUAAGUGAAUAAGUAUAAAAAUAUUAAUAUUUUCUCUGUAGUUCCUAUUAAAAUUGUCUAUUAUAGUUGCAGAAUGUCUAGGAAGUAUAAAAGGAUGUCGUUCAAACAUGAUUAAGAUAGAAAGGGAAAAAAUAAGUAAUUAUCCAUGGACCACUUCAUCUUUUAGCCUUUAUAAAAAACAUACAAACAUUUUUUAUUGUUUUCAACAAUCCAUCUAAUAUUUACAAACUGCAUCACAGCUCCACUACUAUCAUAACCCUUUAAAAAUGUUGCUUAAUCACGAGAACCUAUUACUUGUAAAUUAUUUUUCAAGCAAAUGCAACAAUAGAUCUAGUUUUGAUCUGGGUGACUUUUAAGUGUACAGAAACGAGGAGAACGACCUUAUGUCAAGUUGAAGGAUUAAGAUAAAUCAAUUACAAAUCCAAACAAAACUUAUGAGUGACAUUUUAGUAUUAAGCAAACCUACCAUAAUUAAUCAUCCAGUGAUAGGUUUGUUUUCAAUUAGAGUAAUGAUAGAUAUCUCAAAAUAUUUUAUCCCAAAUGGUGUGUCAUUACUUGAAUAGUAGGUAAUUCUUUCAAGAUUUGAGUGAAUUAAUUGUAUUAUCUCUUCAAUCUAUUGAUAAAUACCAUAUCAUUUGAGAUAAUUUUUUAAGAUAAAAGAUUUAGGAUGUGUGGCACUACUCAUUAAUUAUGCAACUUAAAUGCAAUUUUUUUAAAACCAUUUAUUUUCAUUAAAUUUUGAGCCAUUAAUGAAAUAAAUAUAAGUAAAGCUAUUUGAACCUACUCAUUUUCUCACUACAUCAUUUAUUUAAUCAAAUUAAAAUUUAAUUUUAAAAUAUAAUUCAUUAAAUUAUUUGUUUGACUUUGUUCUCUCUCUCUCUCUCUCCCUUCCUCUCUCAUUCUCUCCAACCAUUUUUUUUUUGUUUACAUAGACUAAAUAUUUCAAUUAACAAAUAAAAUUGUUAUAAAGAAUAACAAAUUUAACCAUAGACACCAAUAUUAAUUAAUAAACAAAAAAAUUGAAGAGUGAUAGAAUUAAAGUCUGUUAUACCACAAUUUGCUUUACUUUUAUAUUUUUAUUUUAGUGCGGAUAUGAUGUAGACAUUAUUUUAGGAUUUUAUAAUUUUUAUUAUUUUAUCGUUUUCUAUUUUAAUUAUAGUCAACUAUGGUAUAUGUCUUAGUUUUUUUAUUUCUAUUAAAAUUGUGAUUUAGUUUUUCUUUUUAAGUUAACUUAGUGAAGUAGGUUUAUUAUAUUAUAAAUCAAAAUCUUAUUAUUGUAACUUCAACUAUUGAUCAACUAAUAAAGCCCUUUUUAAUAAUUCCCUCUAAAAUUAUUUAUUAAAAUCUCUCUUGCAAAGUUAUUUAGAUUAAAACGUCGUCUAAUCUCGCUUUAUGCGUUAUUAAAAUCUCAUUGAGCCAUUGUUAGAAUGAGAUCUACUCACGUUUCGAUUAGGACGUAAACUAUCCACAUUACCUUAGCCAGUAUUAGAACAAUAGCUAAUAUUUCCGACCUAUCAAUUCCACUUCCGCUAUUCCAAUUUGUUAGUUUGUAUUAGAGUGGUUCAAUGCCAAUUGCACAGUUUUCCUGGCUACCCAUAUCCAUCCCCACCAAAUCCAUCAUUGUUUAUGCAACAAAAAAAUAUUACAAAAUUACAAAACCUUAGCAGCCGCCCACCGCCAUUUCCACUCUCCACUAAUAGUUCAUCAUUGGCUAAUCCAUCUACCAAACUCAUUAGCCACUACUGACCAAACCUUAGCCACUCCUGCCAUCAAUCGCCGCUUGUACCUACUAUAAAUCAUCUAGACCUAAAAAUUGGGAGCAUCCACCAGCUGCCACCGUGAAACCAACCAUCUUCACUGUCAACCAACACCACCACUAAACUUGCUAGAUUCCACUGGUCAUAACUUGACAAAACCCACCAAUGAUCACCGCCAUAAAUCGCCACAACGCUAACCCAAAACCCGGGCUUCACCUAGCACCACCGCAAACGCCACUUUCUCAUUGUCGAUAUCCAAAUCGCAAUUGAAAUCUCUAACAUGAAUGAAGCACCACAUAUGCCAAUUCAAGUCAACUUUUUGACCAAACCACCGUGAAUCCAGCCAAUCCUCGGCCAUUGUCGAGUUUCUCACGACCAUAUCUAGCAAAUCUAACCACUAAGGUCACCAGCCCCAGCGAAAGAAACUCUAAAGGAUAACUUUAAUCUUAGGUGUUCAAGUAAAAUGGUAAUUUUAAUCUUAUGACAUCAACAAGAUUCUAACGAGCUAAGAUGACAGUGAAUAAUUAAUAAACUCUAGGUGGAUUUCUACAAAGAAAAACGUUUCUGUGUAUUUUUAAAAAAGACCCAAAGACUACAUGGUUAGUGGAUAAUUUCCUUUUUUGUUCUUAUUUUCUACUAUUAUUAACAAUAAAAGUUUUUCAAUAGUAAUUGUUCCAACCAUUAUAACAAUUAUUAUUGUUAUUGCUGUUGUUGUUGUUGUUGUACAACAAUUGUGAAAUUCUAUCUACACAACCCAGGAGGGCGGUGAAUUGGCUAUUAAAAUUAUACUUACAAAAAUACAAAACAAAUUAAACAAAUGCUUUAAGAAAUUUAUAAUAGCAAAAUUAAACAAUGAAUGCAAUUAAAAAAAUAAAGGAGAAGAUAACAAACAAACGAAUUUUUAUGUGUUUCGACAAAACUCGCCUAUGUUUAUGCCGCCGAGCAAACUAAGUUUGAGGAUUCCACUAUCCAAACCUUCUCAGGCUCCAAGAUUUUACAAUUGACUUUUAAUGUGUCAAUAAACUUUUAUAGUAGUAAUGUGUACACAUACCUCUUUCCCCAAGUGUUUCCCACACUUAUACUCAUAAAAUUUUGAUAUUUAAUUGAAGAUUACAAAGAUUAAUCUCUAUAAGAGUGUAUAAGCAAAUGAUAACUCAAUAAUGAUUUAAUGCAUGUAGAUAAGUAAAAUGAAAGCUCAAGAUUAGUUGUAUGAACAAGUUUUAACUUAAUUGGGAUUGAAAAAGUUGUUAGAUUUGAGUUUGAUUUGGGUUCUUCUAGUUUAAACAAUCAAACUAGUCAUAAUUGACUUUUUGAGGACCCACUGGAUUGCUGCUAAAAUAAAGAAGUUAGUUGCUAUAUUGAUGUGGCAAGUUACCGUUACAAAUAAAAUUUAAAAACUUUUUUGCCUAAGCAAAUCGUCGCCUGAUUUAAAUGGUUAGCAGCUAUGUUUUUGGACCUGAAGCAGUUAGCCACUAUUCGUUAAGUGGUUAGUCGCUACUGUUUCAAAAUUUAUAGAUUUAAACUAAAAGUUCCUAAAAUUAUACUAUGGCCUAAAAUUUUGAAAUAUUUACAAAUAGGUCCACUUCAAGAAUUUAAUACAUUACUAAUUAAUUUCAAAGUUCUCAAAACUUUUCAGUCCAUAAAUUUGAAAACAAUUAAUUUUAUAAAAUCAUUUUUACUUACGUUUAAAACUUUUAUAUUAUAGAAAAUGAUGAUUUAAUUUGAAAAUUGUAUGAAAAAAUAUCUUGAACUCUUAAAUACUAAAUCAUGCAUAAAUUAAAUCAUAUUAGCUUUACAAGAAAUAUAACUAUGAAGAUUGCUUAAGCUAGUACCUUUAGUAUUCAUCCUUGAUUGUUGUUGUCUAUUGAGUGACUUGAAAUUGAUCUCACUUGAAUGAUUUUUGUCCUUCAAGAACUUGUCAGAUUGUGAGAAAUAAAUUUAUCAUUUUACCUUAUGUGGUUUGUUAUCAUCAAAAUUAAGGAUCAUAUAGCCGUUUACCCCAACAAUCUCUCCUUUUUUUAUGAUGACAAACACCCUAUGUAUUUUGACAUUUCUAUUGCCCCUGAGUAUAUGACAUAAUUCAAAAAAUAUAACCAAAUAUAUAAACUCACUCCCUCUAAGUACAUGAUCCAUAUAAUUGUACAACAUUUGUAAACUCUCCUUGAGUGACUCAGAAAGUAACUAAAAUACUACAAACACUCAAUCAACCCCCAUGAGCCAAAAACAUGUCAAAACACUUCAAAAUACAUGUCAAUAUCUUCUCCCCCUUCAUCAUGAAAAAUCACUCCUCUAUUAUACAAAUAUUAUCAAUAAUUAUCCCCUACAAAGAUCAUCAAUCGAAAAUCCACACAUGACCAUUAAUCAAGUAUCCAUAUACAUAAUCCAUAAUCAAUAAAGAUAAUCCAUAAAGAUAAUUAAUAAAGAUACCACAAUCAAUAACUAGAAUGCAUAAAGAUAAUCCAUAUCAACUCAAGUAUCUAUAAUGCAUAAGUAAAAUAAAAUCCAUCAAGUAUCCAUAAUGCUAAAAACGAAAAUGCAUAUGAUAAAUAAUGUCGGUGCAUAAAACAAGGAAGCAAAAGAGAUAAAAGAAAAUCACUGAUGAGGCAGCAAACAUGAUAAUAAGGAUGGUGGCGAAAAUUUGAGAGCAAUGAAAAUAAGCUGGUGAUGGUCUAGAAUUUGUUGUUGUUGAAGAAAGAGACGCUGCUGCUCAGAAAGAAAAUGAUCCUGGAAUGCUGCGAACGAUAUCUUAAGUUCGUUUUACUGUUCGGAUAUGGAACGCACUUUAUUCAACAACUGCUGGAUUGGGUUAUUGGGAAUGGCUGAAGAUGAUGAUGGUGGAGCAUCAGAAGGCCAAUGUAGAGCUUGUGACCUCAGGGAAGAACUAAGAUCAAGAACCCAGUAAGGGGAAGCACAUCGUUAAAGAUGCAAUGAUAAAAAAGAGCCAGCUUUGUGGGUUUUCUCAACAAGUUCUAAUUUUUAACCUAUUGGUCAUCUACCCACCCAAAUCCUAAGCUAGCAAUGACCUCAUCCCUUAACUCCUUGGGUUCAUCAUGAGAUGGUUCAGCUAUAGGGACCCAAAAAUAUUGAAGGAUAUGGGUAAUGACACUACCAACCGAAAAGGAUAGGUUUCCUAUACUCAGUGUAUUAAGCAUGUGCUGAAUGAUAAUAUUCUCACAUUUAGCUUUUACCCUCAAGGAUGCUAUCUAAUAAAGUAACAUCUAAGCGUGUAACCUCAGCACCAUGUCCCUUGUGAGGACUGAUCACAAGCUGAAGGACAUUAUGUAGGAUCCGAACUUGAAGAGGCAACACUUGUGAUCUAAGAGAGGAGUUAAAAAGCUCCAUGGAUAGAUCAGAUCACCUACAUAUGUUUCGAACAUCUAUGUUUCAAAUAUCAUCUACAACUAAAUACCAGGGAUAAUCAAUUUUAAUCCUAGAUGUAUACAAAUGCAACCUAUCAUCUAGGAUUCAUGUUUAAAUCUUCUACAGUAAACUUAAUAGGAAUCCCAAUAACAUUAGUAAUAAUCAUGUUGGCAAUAUUUGUAGAAAUAAGCAUGUUCGAAUAAAAUACUCGUACCAAAUUAGGACAAAUAUGUUCCUUAAGAACUAAGACAUUUGUCCAACCCAAUUCAGCAAGUAAAGUUCUAAGAUUUUUGCUACAACUUGAAAAAUUUUCUAAUUAAUCAAGAUUAACAUAUAUAGUAUGGGAGGACUGACCUUGUCAUAAAUCGAUCAGAGAAUCAUUCCAUUGAGGCAGAUUUGGGAAGUGGGUGGAAAUGAAUUUCAAAAUGUCUUUAUGAAUCUUUUUUUUUUUACAUUUUAGGCAUAUGCUUACCCUUGGACUUCUCACCACUAGCCAUUAAGAAAUUAUCAAAAUGUGUCCAAAAUUGCACAAAUUCGAGUUCACAAAGUUUUUAAAGAAAUAGAUGAUUUUGAACCGAUUAAAAUGUUCUUUGAGAAGAUCUAAGGAAUGUAUGGGUUUAUUUUGGUCGAAAAUGGUCAAAUAAUGGUUCAAAUUUGAGAAUGUUGAAACUGGUGACUUAGGCUUUAAGAUUUUGAGAGAAGAAUGAUUAGAUUGUGUUUUAAAAGCAAAUGUGUGAAGAUUAAUUGAUGGGAAAUGAUUUGGAAAGUUUAAUUUGACACAAAAGUGAUGUAAAAAUGGAAGAUUUUAGAGAGAGAGUAAAAGAAAUGAGAGAUGACAGUGAUAGAGAGAGGGUAACAACUGAAAGUAGGAAAAAGAAGAUGAACAACAUUUGAAAAUGUGAAGCCAGCUAGCCUCUUGAAGAAAGCGGUUAACCGUUUCAUUUUUAGAAACCAAGCAAUUAACCGUUUACUUUGAGCCGGCUGGCCAGCUAGUUUCUGCCUCACAAUUGGCUAGUCGCUUGUGGUUAACGGUUAGCUAGUUCCUCUAAAUUUUGCAUGAUUUUGCUUUUUGGCCAAAAUUUAAUUAAUUUUGAGACCAUUUUGUGAUCCCGAAGUAUUUCAAAAGCCAUUUUUAAUGCAUAAGAUAUGAUGAUAAAUAUUCAAAGAAGUAAAUUCAAGCAUAUAAAACAUUAAAAUCAAGUUUUUAUCAUACAAUCAAUCAAGAUAGAAAAUCAAGCAAAUUUGUAGUCUCAAUAUCAUGCAACGAAAUAUUGAUGUGAAAAUGUCAUCAUUCCAAACUCAAUCCAAAUCUUUGAAAACUAUUCUUCACAAAAAGGCUUUGUAAAAAUAUCAACAAGUUAUUUUUCUAUAGAAACAAAUUCUAAAGCAAUAUCUCUCAUUUGAACAUGAUCACGUGAGAAAUAAUGCCUAGUUUCAAUAUGUUUGGUCCUAGAAUGUUGAAUGAGAUUCUUUGACAAAUUUAUUGAGCUAAUAAUUUAUAUGAGUUCCCUUAGACCAAGAUCAAUUGUUCCUCAUAAAUAAUGAAAAAUUAUUUUAACCGCAAGCAAAUGAGAUUCUUUGAGAUAUGGUUGAAAUCAUGCACACAAACAUACACUAAAGUAAUGUCUACUAGCAGUAAAGUAAAGUAAAGAUAUGAUCAUACCUCGAUAUCUUUUGAUACAACAUCUUUACUUUUUUUAUCCUUAUCGAGCUUGAUUGUAGUACUCAUUGGAGUGUCCUUAGUCCUGAAUGCAAAAUCUUUUGAGUAGAUCUCUGAAAUACUUGGCUUGAUUAAUGAAUUCUUUUUUUCUUUUAAAUUUUAAGUCCAAGAAAGUACUUCUAUUCUCCCAUCAUGCUCAUCUCAAAUUCUCUACUCAUGCAAGAUGAAAAUUCCUUACACAGAAACUCAUUAGUAGAACUAAAGAUAAUAUCAUCAAUAUAAAUUUGAACAAGUAUACCUUGAUCCUUGUAUUUAACAAAUAGAGUAGUAUUCGCUUUACCCAUUGAAAAACUAUUUUCUAAAAGAAAUUUACUAAGUCUAUCAUAUCAUGCUCUAGAUGCUUACUUUAAACUAUAUAAAACUUUGGACAACUUGUAAACAUGAUCCAAAAACAUUUUUCGUUUUUAAAAUGAGGGGGUUGUUUCACUUAAGCUUCUUCAUAAUACAACUAUUUAGAAAGGUGCUUUUAGCAUCCAUUUAAUAUAAAAUAAAAUCAUUAUGAUAUGCAAAUAAUAAAAGCAUGUAAUGGAUUCUAAUCUAGAUACAUGUGCAAAGGUUUCAUCAAAAUCAAUUUCUUCUUUUUGGUUGCAUCAUUGAGCUACUAAUCUAACUUUAUUCCUUACAACCACACUAGAUUCAUCGAUUUUAUUCAUAAAUACCCAUUUACUGCUUAUUACAGAUUGAUGUUAUGGUUUAUGAAUAAGUUUCCAUACAUUGUUUCAUUCAAAUUGAUUUAACUUUUCUUGUAUUGCUAUAAUCCAAGAUUCAUCAUUUUCCACAUCUGAAAAAGAUUUUGGUUCAACUUGAGAUAUGAAUACAGUAUGUUCACAUGUAUUUCUAAGUGAUUAUCUAGUAGUUAUACCUCAUGAAGGAUCUCCUAAGAUUAAGUCUUAGGGUGUGAAGAGACAUACCUUAGCUCCUUGGAGCGUGUUUGUGAAUUACCUUCAUUUUGAAUCUGUUUAACUUGUUCUUCUUGUUGCUUAUCUUGAUUUUUACCUCGUAAAUCAUCUUGUUUGUCUUUUAAAGACUUUUUGUUUUGUAACUCUUCAUAUGCAUCAUCAUCAACAACAACUUCCUUCAUAGAAGAAAAGUUAGAUUCAUCAAACAUAACAUGUAUAGAUUCUUUAGUGACCAAGGAUCUUUUAUUAUACACUCUAUAAGUUUUGCUUGUAUUUGAAUACCCAAGAAAAAUAUCAACAUCAGAUUUUAGAUUAAAUUUACCAAGAUUGUCUUUUGUAUUCAAUAGAAAACAUUUGCAACCAAAAACUUUAAAAUAGUCAAUGUUUUUUCUAUUUUUCCAAAGCUCAUAAGGAGUUUUAUUUAGGUAAGGUCUAAUCAAUGCACGAUUUAAAAUAUAACAAACAAUGUUGACGGCUCCAACCCAAAAAUAUUCUAGUAAAGCAUUUUCAUUUAACAUGGUCCUAGCCAUUUCUUGGAUAGACCUAUUCUUUCUCUCAACUACUCAAUUUUAUUGUGGAGUUCUUGGUGACAAGAAUUGAUGCUCAAUGCCAAAGUUAUUGUAAAAAUUUUCAAAAUAUAAUUUUCAAAUUCUCCACCAUGAUCACUUCUAAUGCAAGAAAUAACAUAUCAUUUUUUAUUUUGAACCUUUUUAUAGAAAUUUUGAAAGCAUUAAAGGUGUCAUCUUUAUUAGUUGAGAGUAAUACCAUGUGUAUAUAGAAUAAUCAUCUAUAAUUAUAAAUGCAUAAUAUUUACCACUUAAACUAGCAUAUUUAGAAAAUUCAAACAAAUCCAUGUGAAAAAGUUAAAGUGGUUUUGAAGUAGAAAUAUGAAUUUUAUUUUUAAAGGACGUUUUAUUUGUUUUCUAAAUUGGCAAACUUCACAAAUUCUAUCUUUUUUAGAACCAAUUUUUAGAAGACCUAUAACCAAAUCAUUUUAAAAAAAUUUUGAAAUCAAAUCCAUGCUCGCAUGACCUAGUCUUCCAUGCCAUAUCAACUAUCAUCAUGUAAUGUGAAAAAAAUAUUUAUCAUGAGUUGAUACACUAUCUAUAUCAAUGGUGUAUACAUUAACACAUCUUUAUCUAACAAAUAAAACUUUGCCAUCACAUGCAUUUUUAAUAACACAUUUUGUUUUAUAAAAAAUAACUCUAUAGCCUUUAUUACAUAAAAAUAACUUUGUAACCUUUAUCACACAAUUGACUAAUACUAAGCAAAUUCUAAAGCAAUAUAUUUCAUUUUUCUUUUUCAAAUCAUUUACAAGUAAACCUUUAUUCUUAGAUGAAACAUUUUGUUUUUUCUUUAAAAGAUGCAAUUUCUUCACAAAUACUUCUAGGCACUUAAUCUUUUUAUUCAAAGUGUCAUUCUCAUUUAAAAGUUCUACUUUUUUCUUUCCAAGAGAAACAUUUUACAUUUCAAUCUUCUUUAAAUCUUUAUGCAAUUUAGAGAAUACUUCAAACAACUCAUCCUAAGAGGUUUACCUCAUCAAGUUCAUCUUCUAUAAUCAUCUCCUAUAACCAUAAGUGCCAAAUUUGACACUUCAUGGGACUACUCUUCAUCUAUAGUCUCCUUAUCGCUAUCAUCCCGUGUUGCUACCAUGGCUUUCUUCUUUAAUUUUUUGAGAAAAGGACAUGCUAGUUUUAUGUGUCUAGGCUUCCUGCAUUUAAAGCAAGUAAUUGCCUCCUUCUUCUCUUUCUGAUUUUUGAAUUUCCUUCGCUCGAUGGAUUUCUUGAAAAUUAUUUUGAAUUUUCCAGCUAUCAUAGCCAUGUCUUCAUUUUCGAUCUCACUUUCGUUGUCACUUCUAGAUCUUGAUGCUUUUAAGGAAAUACUCUUCUUCUUCUCGUCUUCAUUAUAUUUUUUAGUUGUCAAAUCCUUUUCAUAAGAAAUAAAUGAACUAAUUAAAUCAUCAAUAGAUAAAGUAUCCUUGGCUUCCUUAAUGGCAAUUUUCUUAGGUCUCAAUUCUUUUGGUAAAGACCUACUGAUUUUUUUUACCUUCUCGCUGUUUGAAAAGGUUUUUCUAAGAGUUCCUAAAGUGUUUAUAAUGUCUGUUAAUCUAGUGUAUAUAGGAUUAACACUCUCAUUUUGUUCCAUUUAUAGCAAUUCGUAUUGCCUAGUAUAUUUACUAAUUUUAGACUAUUUGACUUGAUUUGUAGCUUUAUAAACGACUUUAUGUUUUUUCCAAAUUUCAUAAGCAUUGGAACAACCUUAAACUCUAUAGAAUUCUUUUUUAUCUAAGGCACAAAACAAAGCAUUCAUGACUUUGAAAUUAAGAGAAUCUUUUCUCUUUUCCGACUCAUUCCAUUCUUGUGAAGGUUUUAGAAUUUCUUUCCCUUCUUCAUUUUUAGCAGUAGGCAUGAAUGGACCAUCACAAUCAACUUCCUAUAUUUCAUAAUAUAAUGCUUGCAAAUAAAUUCUUAUCAUAAUUUUCCAACAUAGAUAAUCAUUCCCAUCAAAGAAUGGUGAUCUAGUAAGGGAUUAACCUUCCCCAAAUCUGGGAUCAUUUUGGAUUACUAUGGAUCUUUUACUCUAGAUGGUUAAGUCCUAACAAGAGAACUUCCUCUGAUACCAAAUGAAAUUCUAGCUAAGCAACCCAAGAGGGGGUGAAUUAGGUAUUAAAAAUUAUACUAACAAAAACACAAUACAAAUUAAACAAAUGCUUCAAGAAAUUUAAUAAUGGUAAAUUUAACUAUGCGUGAAAUUAAAAAGAUAAGGGAGAAGAUAACAAACACAUGAAUUUUUAUGUGGUUCGGCAAACCCGCCUAUGACUACGCCUCCAAGCAAUCCAAACUUGAGAAUUCUACUAUCCAAACCUUCCAAGGCUCCAAAAUUUUACAAUUGACUUCUAAGGUGUCAAUAAACCUUUACAAGUAAUUAUGUAUACACACACCUCUUUUCCCAAGUGUUUCCCACACUUAUACUCACUCAAUUUUGAUAUUUAAUUGAAGAUUACAAAGAUUACACUCUAUAAGAGUGUAUAAGCAAAUGAUAGCUCUAUAAUGAUUAAUGUAUGUAGAUAAGCAAAAUGAAAGCUCAAGAUAUAUGAAUAAGUUUUAGCUUAAUUGAGAUUGAAAAAAAUUGUUAGAUUUGAAUUUUAUAGUUUAAACAAUCAAACUAGCAAUUAUUGGCUUUUCUAGGGACUUGCUGGAUCGCCGUUAAAAUGAGGCGAUUAGCCACUAUGUUGAUAUGGUAAGUUACAGUUGCAAAUCAAAUUUGAAAACUUUGGUUCAAGCAGAUUACCACUUGAUUUAAGCGGUUAGCUGCUAUGUUUUUGGACUUGAAGUAGUUAGCCGCUAUUGGUUAAGCGAUUAGCCACUAUUGUUCUAGGAUUUAUAGAUUAGACCUAAUUUUUUUGAAAUUAUAUUACGACCCAAAACGUUUGAAAUAUUUAUAAAUAUGUCAAUUUCGAUGAUUUAAAACAUUAUUAGUUGAUUUCAAAGUUCUCAAAACUUUUCAAUUUAGUCCAUAAAUUUGGAAAAAGCAACUAAUUUUAUAAAAUCGUUAAAACUUUUAUAUUAUAGAAAAUGAUGAUUUAAUUUAAAAAUGUCAUGAAAAAUAUCUUGAGCUUUUAAAUGUUACAUCAUGCACACGUUCAAUUAUACUAUCUUUACAAGAAAUUUAACAAUAAAGAUUGCUUAAACUAGUACCCUUAGUAUUCAUCCUUGAUUGUCAUUGUCUAUUGAGUAUCUUGAUCUUGAUCUCACUUGAAUGAUUUUUGCCCUUCAAAAACUUGUGAGAUUGUGAGAAAUAAAUUUACCAUUGUACUCUAUGUAGUUUGUUAUCAUCAAAAUCAAGGAUUAUAUAACCAUUUAGGCCAACAAAAUAUUAUAAUAAAUAAUAAUUAUUAUGAUAAAAAAUUAAAGAUAUUUUGUAAUUUGUAACAACUCAUCGUGAUUUUAAAAUAAAAUAAAUAUAUCAAUGAUGAUAUAAUUUAUUUUAAUUUUAAUUUUUACAAUUUAAAUAAAUUAAUUAAUUAUCAUUCCAUAUUUUAAUUCCAACUCAUUCCAUUCCAAUUCAUUCAUAUUUUAAUCAGUAUAUCAACUACCCCCGAGCAAUGCCCGAAAGACAUUGAGGCAAGGGCCACAGAAAAAUAUGCACUUGUUAGCUUAGCGUUGGUGUCAAGUUUCUUUAGCAUUUUAAAUUCAUAAAAGAACUUAUAGUGUUUCUUCAUCCUUUGGCCUUUUCGGUGUUUACUUUCUGGAGUGAGUGUCAGCAGUGUGAAUUCCUCCCACUCCAGUGUUUACUUCACCAUUUUAAGGAGGGAUUGGGAAUCCCACUCCAUGGACCCCACUCAUUUUUGGAGUGGGGAGUGUGAGUGGGACUCCCAUGGGAAACCCACUCCCACCUCUCCAUUUUCUACUUUUAUUUAAUUAAAUUUAAUAUUUUAUAUUUAAUAAAAUAAAAUAAAAUAAAUAAUAUUAUUAUAUUAAUAGAGAAUUAAUAAUAUUACUAUAUGCUAUCUUUAUUUGAAGAUAUCAUAUUAUUAUAUUUAUUUAAAAAUAAUAGUAUUAUAUUUAUUUAAUAUUAAUAAUUAAUAAUAAUAAAUAGUUUAUUCUAAGAAAAUAUUAAUUUUGUACUAAAUAAUAUUAUAUUAUUAUUUAUAUAAUAAUAAAUUUAAUAUAAUAAAAUAAAAAAAUAUUUCAUUUUAUAUUUACCUUCCUUUUUUAACCCCCUUUUAUUAAAUUUACUAUAAUUAUAUUUAAUAAAAUAAAAUAAAUAAUAUUUUAUUUAUUUAAAUAAUAUUAUUAUAUUUAACUAAAUAAUAAUUUGGUUUGAUUCUAAGUUUAAAUUACUUAAAAAUAAUAAUAUUAUAUUAAUAGAGAAUUAAUAAUAUUACUAUAUACUAUCUUUAUUUGAAAAUAUAAUAUUAUUAUAUUUAUUUAAAAAUAAUAGUAUUAUAUUUAUUUAAUAUCAAUAAUUAGUAAUAAUAAAUAGUUAAUUAUAAGAAAAUAUUAAUUUUGUACUAUGUUCAUAGUAAAAAUGUUUCAUUUACAUUGCUCUUAUCAAUAAUUUUUAAUUUAUAUAAUUAAAAUUAAAAUUAAUAAAAAAUUAUGAUGUACAUAAUUAAGAAUAUUAAUAAUUAUUAUAAAUUUACAAAUAUAAUAAAAUAAAUGUUUAUUCAUUAAACAUAUUUUUUUAUUAACUUUGUAAUUAAAAACUAUAAUUCUUUAAAUAAAGGUAAAAUUAUAAUUUGAAACUAUUUACUUCCAAUCCAAGAUAAAGUAAACACAUAAAUUGGAUUAUAAUUUUCAUUCCGUGCUUAUAUUCCAGUGUAAGUAAACAACUUACACCCACUUUUACUCCAUACUCUCAAUCCUAAGAUUUCCACUCUUCAAGAUUCUCAGUCCAAUCCAAAAUGUAAACACUAUCUAUGGUAAUUGUUCACGCAACUAUUUUAAUCGAAAAUAUUUUAAUCGAAAAUAUUUUAAUCGAAACUAAUAGACCUUUCAACAAUUUUAAUCGAAAAUAAUAGACCUUUUAACAAUUUUUGCGGAUUCUGGCAAUUGUUCAGGCAACUAUUUUAAUAGAAAAUAUAUAUGGCUCCAUAAACAAUGAUUAUCUCUUGACAGCUGUUCUGGACUCGCUAUUUGUACUGAAAUAGAAGAUUAUCUCUUGAUGAUUAUUUAAUUGAAAAGAAUUUGUCGUUUAUAUUUGUUCACCUGGCCUUUGGAUGAGGAUCACAUGUUUUAUGACAAUCGUAAUGUUACUAAUGUAAGUCAAGCAAUUAUUUUUAAAUAAUGAUAUUAUAAUUAAAAAUCUAAAAACAUUUAUAAUACUUAAAGACUAAUUCAGAUUAUUAAUUUUUUUAUAUGACUUCAUUAUUAGCUGACAAAUAAUUAAAAGGCCAUAGAUCAAUAUUUUUAGGUCCAAUUUUUAAUUUAAUAUGACACAACUUGUACUUUCAUUCCUAUACUAAAGUAUAUCGAACCUACUAAUAAUUAAGAAAUAUAUAUAUUCAACACAUAUUUGUUAGAAAGAUUAUCUACUAAUUAAUCAUUGAUUACGAGAUUAAUAUAUUGAAAUUCAGAACUUUUUUUUUUCCUUCUGCAGUUUAAAAAGGAGUCGCCCUCUUGAUCCCCGUAUUCGUCAGCUUCUACUCUUUGCCUUCAAUUCUCAGUCAAGAAAACCUCUCCUGAUUUUCGUCUUUUGAUCUCAUACACACUUUGCUUCUGUUUAUCGUGGUCACUGCUCGUGCUAGCCGUUUUCUUAUUUAUCUUUGUUCCCUUUUUCCAUCAGCUCUUUGCAUUUUCAUUGGAUCAAGCAACCCUUUUCUUGAUUCAAUUUUCUGAUCUCAAAAACACUUUGAUUCGCUUCUGUUACACUGAUUUUCCCCUUGUUUUGUACAAAUAUCAUUUCUUUUUUCAACUUUGCCUUGUUUUGCUUCUACUUGAUUAUCAAUUGCACAGCCGUUGACCCUGUUCUAUUUCUAUUUCGUUCACUUCCCCAAAAAAAAAAAAAAAAAUGGACAUUUUGAAAAGCAUUGUUCCAGGAGUUGUAAACUGCUUGUCUCCUCACGCACAACGCGAAUUUUGUUAUUGGUAUAACUCCGCUGCCAACUUUGAGAAUCUCAAGGAAGAACUCGAUAGGCUCAAGGAUGAAAGAGAAAGCGUUCAGCGCAGAGUUUCUGAGGCUGAAAGAAAAAGUGAAAAGAUUGAAGAGAAGGUUGAGAAAUGGCUGGUUAAUGCGAACAAGAGCAUUGAGGAGGCAGCCAAAUUCAUUCUAGACGAAGAGAAAGCAAAUGAACGAUGUCUCAUGGGGCUGUUUCCUAAUUGGAUUACUCGCUAUCAGCAUGGAAAGAAAGCAGAAACAGAGAAGGAGGCCCUUUUUAAACUCCGAGAAGAAGCUGGGAGAUUUGAUGAUAGAAUUUCCUACCGUACCAUUCCGGAGGAGAUUUGGCUCAAGUCUCACAAAGGCUACGAGGCCUUCGAAUCAAGACGUUCUACUUUGGAGGCUAUAAAAAAGGCAUUGAUCGAUGUUGAUGUCAGCAUCAUUGGGGUGUACGACAUGGGCGGCAUUGGAAAGACGACACUGGUGAAGAAGGUCGCCAGGCAAGCUAUGGAAGACAAGCACUUUGAUAUGGUGGUCUUUUCAGAGGUUUCGCAAACUCCAGACAUAAAACAGAUUCAACAGGAAAUUGCCGAGAAGUUGGGCUUGGAGUUGCGCGAGGAAGCUGAAUCUAGAAGAGCUAGUAGACUAUAUGAAAGAUUGGAGAAUGAGAAGAAGAUCCUUGUGAUUCUGGAUAACAUCUGGAAACCUCUUGAUUUGGGGACUAUUGCAAUUCCUUUUGGAGAAGAUCAUAAAGGCUGCAAACUACUGCUGACAGCAAGAGAUCGUAGUCUCCUCUUAAAAAUGGGAUCUAAAGACAACUUUUUGAUAAACAAUUUAAAUGAAGAAGAAGCCUGGAGAUUGUUUAAGAUGAUGGCCGGAGAUGAUGUUGAAAAUCGUGAGUUGAAAUCUACAGCAAUAGACGUCGCCAGGGCAUGUGGAGGUUUGCCCAUUGCCUUGACUACAGUGGCAAAGGCACUGAGAAGCAAGAGUCUUCAUGAAUGGAAGAAUUCCUUGCGAGAACUCCGAACGCCUUCAAUGGUAAACUUCGAAGGAGUAUCUGCAGAGACUUAUUCAAGUAUUGAGCUGAGUUUCAACCAUUUAAAAGGUGAGCAACUCAAGAAAAUUUUUCUGCUCUGUAGUCUAAUGGAUAACCGUAUUCUUACUUCGGACUUGUUUAAGUACUCCAUGGGUUUGGGUAUAUUUAAAGGAGUCAAUAAGAUGGAAGAUGCACGAGACAAAUUAUAUGCAUUGGUCCAUGAACUUAGACACUCUUGUUUGUUGCUUGAGGGUGAGAGCAAUGAACAAUUUUCAAUGCAUGAUGUUGUUCGUGAUGUCGCAAUAUCAAUUGCAUGCCGCCACCAACAUGUGUUUUUGGUGAGAAAUAAGGAUGUGUGGGACUGGCCAGAUGAGGAUGCACUUCGAAAAUGCAAUGCGAUCUCUUUAAGAAAUAAUAGUAAUCGUGAAUUUCCUGAAGGAUUAGAAUGCCCAAACCUUGAAUUUUUAUUUAUCUCUCUCAAAGAUUCUUCUCUUGAAAUCAAUAUUCCUGAGAACUUUUUUGUAGGGAUGAAAAAGCUUAGAGUUCUAGAUUUUACUCGAAUGCAGUUUUCUUCUUUUCCAUCUUCAAUUGAUCUUCUACCAAAUCUUCAGACACUAUGUCUGGAUCAAAGUGCGUUGGGGAACAUAGCAAUCAUUGGAAAGUUGAAGAAUCUAGAAGUCCUUAGCUUUUUGAAGUCUGAUAUUAUGCAGUUGCCCGGAGAACUAGGUCAAUUGAAUAAGUUGAGAUUGUUAGAUUUAACCAAUUGUUUCCAUCUAAAAGUUAUUGCGCCUAAUCUCAUAUCAAGCUUAACUCGAUUAGAAGAGCUGUAUAUGGGUAAUUGCUUCAUUGAAUGGGAGGUUGAAAGAGCCAACAGCAAAAGAAGUAAUGCUAGCCUUGACGAAUUGAUGCAUUUACCUCGGCUAACCACUCUAGAAAUUGACGUUAAAAGUGACAAUAUUUUACCAGAAGGUUUUUUGGCCAGAAAGCUCGAAAGGUUCAAAAUAUCUAUUGGAAAUGAGUCAUUCAUGCCUCCCAAGAGUGUUAGAGGAUCAACAGUUAUCGCAAGAGUUUAAGAGGAUUGAAGCUCAAGCUUGAUUUUAUGGACAUUUGCUCCAUGAAAUUGCAGGGCAUCAAUAACGUUGAAUACUUAUGGUUGGACAAGCUGCAAGGCACCGAGAAUGUUCUUUUCAAUUUGGACACGGAGGGCUUUUCACAAUUGAAGCUUCUCUGGGUUCAAAAUAAUCCUGACUUCUUUUGCAUCGUCGAUUCAAGGGAGAUGGUCGCUUGUGAUGCCUUUCCUCUUUUGGAGUCACUUACCAUUCGCAAUUUGAUCAACAUGGAGAGGAUAUGUAUUGAUCGGCUCAAAGUAGAGUCUUUCAACAAACUCAAAACCAUAGAAGCAUAUAAUUGUGAUAAAUUGAGUAAUAUCUUUUGGCUCUCUACAACAAAAUGUCUUCCAAGACUUGAGAGAAUUGCAGCUAUUAAUUGCAGCAAGAUGAAAGAGAUUUUUGCAAUUGGGGAAGAAGUUGAUAAUGCAAUUGAGAAGAUAGAGUUUGCUCAAUUAAGAUCUUUGAGUCUGGGGAAUCUUCCAGAGGUUACAAGUUUUUGCCUCCAUGAGGUGAAGACUCCUUCAGCAUCACCGAACAGACAAGUGUCGCAAGAGGAAUCGACGACUAUGUAUUGCUCCAGCGAAAUCACUUUGGAUACUUCAACUCUGCUUUUCAACGAGAAGGUGCGUAGGCUAACAUUUUCUUCAUAUGUAACAGAUUUUAUUCAUAUAUAACGUUCUCUUUUGACGUCAUACGUGGAAAAUAAUUAAAUCAUUUAAAGAAUUGAAAGAAAAUGGAAAAAAGGAUAAAAAGAAUCUCACUCGCUCACUAAUUGAGCUCUUAACAAGUAGUAUGAAUUAGAAUGCAUACUCAGCUGUCAGUUGGAAAUUGAUUCAGACUUGCAUUAAUUUGCAAUCAAAGAAGAAAUUUUCAACAAGUGCUUCCCAUAUGGAAAUUGGAUCUAACGAGGAAUUCUUAUUUUUUUAGGUUGCGUUGCCUAACUUGGAGGCUUUGGAGAUAUCUGAAAUUAAUGUCGACAAGAUUUGGCACUACAAUCACCUUCCGAUCACGUUUCCUCGCUUUCAAAAUUUAACACGAUUGAUUGUGUGGCAUUGUCACAAAUUAAAAUACAUAUUUUUAGCGUCUAUGAUCAGAAGCCUUAAGCAGCUCCAACACCUAGAAGUACGCUUCUGUGAGGAUUUACAGGAGAUCAUUUCUGAGAACAGAGCAGAUGAAGUGAUCCCUAAUUUUGCCUUUUCACAGCUCACCACUCUGAGACUCGAAGAUCUACCAAAACUUAGAUAUUUGUACCCUGGAAUGCAUACUUCGGAAUGGCCCGCACUAGAAAUUCUUUUAGUGUAUCGUUGUGACAAAUUAAAUAUAUUGGCUGCAGAUUUAUCGCAGAAUAAUGAGAAUGAUCAACUUGGUAUUCCUGCACAACAGCCCCUAUUGCAGUUGGAAAAGGUAUGAAGCC
RNAcentral lists this long non-coding RNA (127786 nucleotides) under Citrus maxima (pomelo). RNAcentral's name for it is "long non-coding RNA (CMAX_LNC000105)". The stretch from base 73165 to 73271 matches the Rfam family "Plant small nucleolar RNA R71". The record is from RNAcentral. Lineage: Eukaryota; Viridiplantae; Streptophyta; Magnoliopsida; Sapindales; Rutaceae.